Molecule: long non-coding RNA, 130559 nt
Filed under: Erythranthe guttata (spotted monkey flower)
Lineage: Eukaryota; Viridiplantae; Streptophyta; Magnoliopsida; Lamiales; Phrymaceae
Description: long non-coding RNA (EGUT_LNC001886)
Source: RNAcentral
UCUCUCUUUCUUUCUCUCACACGCACACGCACGUAAAUUCACACACACACACACAAUCAUGGAGGCUGUUAGUAACAUUUCCGGCACAAGGCCACAUCAACCCAUCCCUUCAGUUCGCCAAGAGGCUGACCGCCAUGGGCAUCAAUAAAUGAUCACAUAGGUUAAAAAUUUACAAGUUUAAAAUUGUUAUGGGACUUCUCAAAAAUUUACAAGCUUUAAAUUCAACAAUAGUUAACUGAUCACCAUUGCCAAGAACCAAAAAUAAUUUACAAGCUUUAAGCAUCCAGUAUUUGUAAUUUAAAAAUAGAGAAAAUUUAUACUUACAUAGUAAUAUUAGACUCCAAAGACUCACCGAAUUUCUCUACUCUCGAAUAAUUGAGCUAUUGGGAUCAUUGAGACUUUUUGGCUUUCAAUUGUUGGGCUCUUUGGUGCAAGGUAGAAAAUAUGGGUAUAUAAGUGGCUACUCUUCUCCUUUUGAUUCUCAUUAUGGAAUAAAGAGUUGCACUGAUCAUGAUGCUUUUUUUUCCUUCUUUAAUCGAGGUGUUUUCGCCGAAAUUUUAAGAUUUGACUUUUUGGAAUAGCUUAUUCACCUCUAAUGACUUAUUAUCCUACUCGAUUAUCUAGAGUUCAAAAGUCUCCACUUUUGCUCUUGAGGUAUGGUUCCAGUUUUUAUUGGAAUAUUUGCGCAUGUCCUCCUUUUCCCUUCUAGUUCUCUUCUUCUUCGUUCUUUUUAUGAGAAAAAGAAAAACGUAACAAAUUUUCCAACAAAACUCCAAGGGAUUUUUUUCAAGAAUCUCCAUCUACUCUACCUUACACGCAUUGGCUAAAAGAAAUAACUCAUUUUCUUUGAGGCCCAAAUAUAGGUUCUAAGGAUAAUUUGGAUAAAAAGAUAGGCUUGAAAGGCUUAGAUGGUUCAAAUAACGCACAAAUCAUAUCCCAAAUCACUCAACGACUCGAUACUUCACUUUGCAAAUUCCAAAGUUGAGUUCUAAAAACGAACAUCAUAUGAUAUUUCAUAAAUUAGCUCCACGUUUGAAAAACAAAAUUUUCAACAAAAGCAACACAUAAUUCAUGAUUCUCAAUAAUGUCUCACUCCGAAAUUACUUUGAAUCGAAAGCUCGCCAAAAUUUAAGUAUAUCUACAACAAAACAAGUAAUAUCAUCAUCAAACAUUGGCCAUCUUUCUUCAUCAUAAUUCAUCGAUGCAUUCAACUCAAACAUUUUUUUUAAAGAAAACAAUAAAUAUAUGAAAACGACUAAAAAGAAAAAAAAAAUCCUAAAGCAUGCAAUCUAAAACAUAUAAAGCACAUAAAAAGUUGUUUUAAAAAAUAUCCUAUAGCAUGCAAUCUAAAACAUAUAAAGCACAUAAAAAAUAUUUUGCCACCCCCAAACUUAAAGUUUUGCGUUAUCCUGAAUGUAAUUAAAACAAAGUUUAAGGAUAGAAUACACCUUGAUUAGUCGGAACGUCCUCCACGCGUUGCACUCCUCCAUCUCUUCAUCUUUCAAGCAAACUUUUUUUUUUCAAUUUUUCGAAAAAAAAAAUAAAUAAAAAAUUCUCCAGGGGUGUUCCGGACGGCCGUCUCACCUUUUGCACUGUUUUUGAGAUGACCGUCUCAAUUUCCGAACAUUCACAACUAGUUGUAACUUUCUCGGACGAACGUCUAGAGUUUUGGCUUGAUUUUCGGACGACCGUCUUGCUUUUUGUGUCCUGUUUUUGACCUAAAAAUUCAAACAUGAUUAAAUUAUUAGAUUGCAAGCUUACAUAUUUCUAGGAAACUUUAAAAAAAAAUCACUAAAAAUAUGAGAAAAAAAAAACGAAAAAAACAAUAAAUGCUCGGGUUGCCUCCCGGGAAACGCUAAAUUUUAAGUCUUCAGCCAGACUUUGCUUCUUAAAAUUAUUAUGUCCGAUCUAAAUUAUUGUAAAUUGAGCAUCCAUUAAUGUGCUCUACAACUUCAAUUGCAACCAAGGCAAGGAUAGCAUUGCAAUAUGUCACAGGGUCCACCUUAGCUUGUAGUCUUUUUUUCGUUGUAAUCAAUCGGUACGAAGCCAAGAUGGGAUGUUCAUCAGUCGCUCCAUCAAAUCGGUACACAAAAACCUCAAGUCUGCGUAUAACAUCCACCUCAAACGCAUUCGCCUUCUCAUCAACCACUAUUGAUGCAUUCAAAACCACAUCAGGUACAACGAUAAGAUCUUCAAUUUGAAUAUUUGCACUAACCACAUCCAUCUCCUUCUUCUCUUGUUCCGAGACAUCUAUGGAGUUUAGCUCGAUUGCAUUCUCAGAUUCAUCAUCUUUCGGCGUCUUCAUAAUUUAUUUCUCCCUCUCAUCGACACUAUUUUCUAGGUCUGAAGAAUUUUUCUCACUACAAGUUUCAGACGAAUUUUCUUUGUUGCAACAAUUCUCGAUAUCGUCUGGAAUAUUUUCAGGAAACCUUUGGAAUUGACUCUUCCAAUUGUAUUUCCAGUCUUUGGGUAGAUGCUUGAGUGGAUUUCCUAAAAUUUUCAAGGAUGGAUUUCAAAUAACACUCCUCAAUAGUGGGUUCUCGUGGCCUUGCAUAAUAGGUUUGAAAAUCAUCAAAUUGCGGCUCCCGAUGUUGAAAAUCAUUGAAAGCUUGGCUCAGAACGCUCUGUUCGUACGUGUUGGUGUAUGUGUUCCAAUAACCUAUGUUGGUAUUAUCGAAGAAAUUAUUCGCUUUCGGUGCUUCCCAACAUUGGUUGGUGUAAUGAUUUCUACCACAUGUGGAACAAAAUAGUGGCAUAUCAUAGGUGUUUUGGAGUAUUCGCCAGAUGGAAGCAAUUCAUAUCCCGUUUGAGGUGCGCGGAAAUUGUAACCUGACAUGUAACAAAGGAAGAAACAAAAAAAAUUAAAAUUAAAAUUAAUUUGGGUGAAUCGAGAGAGUUGUUCGAAUCUAGAGUCAGAAUAAAUAGACAAUGUAUUAUAUGGUUUUGUCAUCUGGAUGAUUUCCUUCAGAUGAAUUUGAAUACAUUAAAUCAUCUAGUUCUUCAUCUUCAUCCUCCUCUUCAGAUGAGGCUCUUCGGAGAAAGAAACUCAAGAAAUGAUUAAUUAUAUUCUUGGGAUAAUUUUGGCAUAUGAGGAACAACCGUAUCAGCGACAAUAUAUCUAUCGUGAUCGCGAAGAAAGUCAGAAACUAUUAAGGAAAUAUUAUUUUCCUGAAAAUUGUACUUUCCAUUUUCUUAUUUUUGCAGGCGUUUUAGGAAGCGCAGGAAGUUGUUUUUUAUAUUAAAAAUGAUCUUUAAAAUUAUAACACAUACUUCAUCUGAAAGAGAGAUGCACGUGGUCGUCUUGGCUUAUCGUCUAUUCAAAAAAUAACUACUGCAAUUCCGGUUCUUGCGUAUGGGGCAUCUGCUGAUUUUUACAAUGAAUAUUAAAAGAUCGGGGAGGCAACUGGUAACGAAACUUUAAGAGAGUUUUUUUCAUCCAUAAUCGAACUAUAUGGAGAACAAUACUUGCGUUCACCAAAUGAACAUGAUAUUCACUGUCUUCUACAAGAAGGUGAAUCACGAGGUUUUCCAGGUAUGCUUGGAUCUUUAGAUUUUAUGCACUGGCAAUGAAAAAAUUGUCCAACUGCUUGGCAAUGCACACACAAGGGUCACCCCGACAAACCAACAUUAAUUUUAGAAGUAGUUGAAUACCAUGAUACAUGGAUUUGACAUUCUUUUUUUGGCAUGUCAGGUGGAAAUAAUGAUAUUAAUGUCUUUGAUCAUUCUCCACUUUUUGAUAAUAUGAUACAUGGUAGAAUGCCUCCUGUUCCUUAUACGGUGAACGGUCGUUCAUAUAUGACGAGUUAUUACUUAACUGAUGGUAUUUACCCAAAAUAUGCAACUCUUAUUCAAACCAUUGCUCAUCCCACCACUGCAAAAGAAAAAUUAUUUGCGGCAAAAUAAUAAUCAGUUAGAAAAUAUGUGAAGCGAGCAUUUGGUGUUUUACAAAGUAGAUGGGAUAUAACCCAAGGACUCAUCCGCUAUUGGUCAAAAGAAGAUAUGUGUAACACAAAGAAAACAUGCAUUAUCCUUCAUAACAUGAUUAUAGAAGCUGAACUUAAAAUUGACAUUGAACCAUGGAUGCCACUACCAUAAGAGAAUUUUCGCCCCCCUCAAUGUGAACGAGAUCCAUCAAUUUUGGCGGCACAUAUCUCAGCACGCCUUAGUCGGAUCCACAACCGACGAACCAUUAAUUUUAUUUGUGAGUUAUUGUUCUUUUAUUUUCACUUGAAGAAUUAUAUUUUAUACUGUAAUUGAAUUCAGUAAAAUUAAAUUACUACAAAUAUUAUUGUGACAUUUCUUUUAAUAAAAUGAUGAAUACGAGAGACAAAUGUGGAGCAAUCAAUAGGAAUUCACAUUGUUAUUCAUCUUGAACAAAUAAAGUUGUAACAUCUCUUUUACUAUUAGACAACAAUUAAUAAUAUUUAAGAAAAAAAGAUCAAAAUAAAUGUUUCGUGUACUAUAUUUUAUAAUUGAAUUUAUUAAAAUUUAAACAUAACUUUUUUUUAUCGAUAAAUCUAAAUGUAACAUUCCUUUUACUAUUAAUAUUAAAGCCAAUGAAAUUUAAUAUUGUAAUCCAUAAAAACAUAUAAUACAAUCAAAUAAUAAAAUAGAAUUAAACAUUACUUAGCAAAAAAGAAAAAAAAUAAUCUAUAUAUAUAUAUAUAUAUAUAUAUAUAUAUAUAUAUAUAUAUAUAUAUAUAUAUAUAUAUAUAUAUAUAUAUAUAUAUAUAUAUAUAUAUAUAUAUAUAUAUAUAUAUAUAUAUAUAUAUAUAUAUAUAUAUAUAUAUAUAUAUAUAUAUAUAUAUAUAUAUAUAUAUAUAUAUAUAUAUAUCCUUUUUUUUUCUUUUUUUAUCUUACCAUUUAUAAUACAUAUCUCUCAUUUACUUAGUGACUGCUCUUCCCAUACUCUUUUCUUUGUUCUCACUAUUACUUUUUUCUUUUUNNNNNNNNNNNNNNNNNNNNNNNNNNNNNNNNNNNNNNNNNNNNNNNNNNNNNNNNNNNNNNNNNNNNNNNNNNNNNNNNNNNNNNNNNNNNNNNNNNNNUCUAAAUAUAACAAUCUUUAUACUUAUAUUAUUAAAGCCAAUGAAAUAUAUAUAUAUAUAUAUAUAUAUAUAUAUAUAUAUAUAUAUAUAUAUAUAUAUAUAUAUAUAUAUAUAUAUAUAUAUAUAUAUAUAUAUAUAUAUAUAUAUAUAUAUAUAUGUAUAUAUAAUCAAAUAAUAAAAUAAUUAAACAUUAUUAAACAAAACAGAAAAAAAAAAACAAAACAAAAAAGAGGAAAAGAUACACGGAUACACGACACACACUUCAAUGGAUGACAAUUAAAAUAAUGCACAUGGCCCAUCUUUAUCCUGCCCGAACAUUUCUUAAUUGUACGGAAUAAAUUAAAGAGACCCAGCCUAGGUGAAGUAGAAGGUGCGGGAGCCAUUUAAUUCUUCUUUUUGGGAUUUGCAGAGGCUAAUUUUAUUUAUUAUUUGAAAAAACUUGACGAAGGAGGAUGGUUGAGAGGUGAUCAAAAGGCAGCGGAAGGUGGUGGAGGAAAUGGCGGGGAAGAGGGUGAUAAGAGGUAAGGAUGGGGUGGAAGGAGUUUUGGUCCAGCUCAUUUGCGGGUCACAAGUGGACAUCAUGUGAAAUGCACAUGAGGUUUUCGUCAAAGUUAACAGGAAAAUUAGACGGCCGAAACAAAAUUGUCAUAAAGUUGUAAGUUUUAGGAUUCAAUUCGUGACGGCAAAUGUUUGAGAUCGAAAAUCCUUGUAGGUGAUAAGUAUAACAACCAAAAGUGUAACUAUCCCGUCAAAAGUAACACCAUAUGAGGAUAAUGUAAGACCUUACCUUGGGGGUAAUUUACAUAAAAAAUAAUAUUAUUGCAAUAUUCAGUCAAAUUAGGUAAACUAUCAGUUAUAUUAUGAGAACAUCGGUCAUAUUAUUCAAAAAAUCCAACUAUAUUAUUCAAAACUUCAGAUUCAGAUCGUGGAAAAUGAAGUCAGAUUCAGCAACAAAUCUGUCCUAUCGUUAUUCAAUAUUAUGUUAGGUUAAUAGCAAUUUGCCACUUAUACUUUGCUUGUUUUUGCACUUUGUCACCUUAACAAAAAAAUAUUGCACGGGCACACCCAACCCGUUAUUAUGACUUACUUAACCACCUAGGGAGAAUAUUCAGACGAAUCUUCACAAAUUACGGCGCACGCGAAAAGCACAUAACAAUGUAAAUUGAACUUAAUUUGAAAUUUGCCUAAAUUUGAAAUUAAUUAAAAUAAAACUUUGGAUCUUUUUCUUCCAUUAGAGUUUCUCCCUUAUUAAUUAAAAUUAUGGUCGGUUGUAAUUACCAGUGCCAAGGAUCAGUUUAGCAGCUCACACAAAUACACGCACACACACAAACUCAUGUCCACGUCCGUCUCUGCCGUAAACAAAAACUCUUCACAUUCAAUUCAAAAGACACAAACAUGCACCUCCAAGAAAAGUUUUGUUUUUGUUUUCUUUUUUUCAUUCGCAAGUACUUUGUUCGUAGGAAUUGUGAUCCGGAUCUUUUUUCUUGAUCCUUAAUUUGUUUGCCAAAAAGAGAAUUUGAGUCGAGCGUCCUAUUUUUUUGUAAUUUGUUUUGUUAUUCAUUCAUGUUUUAAAUUUCGGGUCUUUUUUCACUUUCUGCAUUUUUUGACCAAAUGGGAUUUGCCAACAUGUAUAAACCACCAAAUAAAGUUAAGAUAAUAAGCUAAAGCAAACUAUUAUUAGAAUACAUUCCUUUACAAUUUGCAUAAAGUUGUAAGGAACUUUUGGGGCUAUGAUCUUAGUUUGCUUGUGAUUUGGUCUUCGUUUUAUGUAUUCUCUUACUUUCUUGGUUUGUAACAUUUCUUGUUUUCAAUAUUUUUUUUCAUACAGUAUUGUCCAAAUGUCGAGGAAGAUGGUAUGGUUAUCGAUGGGAGGGUUGGACAAACCGAGUAAGAGUGAAGAGGAGAUUGACUAUGACUUUUAUUUGUUUGUAAUUGAGGAGGUAAUCAAACCCACUGAAAUUAAUUGAAAUAAAAGUCUGGGUUUUCUUUGAAUUAAUUAAUGGGGAAAAACUCCCAUGGAAGAAGGAAGAAGACCCAAAGCUUUGUUUUUUAGUUAAUUUCGUAUUUUGACAAGUUUCAAAUUAAAUUCAGUUGAGUACUUGGAACAUUCAAUUUCAUCCCAUGUGAUAUUUUUAGGUGAAAAGACGAAAAAACCCAUUUAUUUUAUCAUGUGUUUCAUGCUUGCGUCUGUAUUUGUGAAGAUUCGCCAUAAUAUUUGCCCUAAGUGGUUAAGUGAGUCAUAAUAACGAAGUUGGGUGUGCUUUUUUCUUUUUAUUAAGGUGGCAAAGUGCAAAAACAUGUAAAGAACAGGUGGCAAAAUGCUAUUAAACCUAAAAUUUUCAUCUAAUUAUGCGUACACAAAUCCAAGUUCCUUUUGAAAGCAAACAACUAGAGCUACAACUUUCGUGUUUGGCGUAUUCGAUGAUACAAAGUUUAUGGUACUUACAGUUACAUAGUAUGCUCAAAAUUGUGCCUGGAUUAUGAAUUGCGCUACUUACAUAGUUUCGUAUUUCUGCCAUAACUAUCUCGUCUAAAGUCCAAGUGCCUUGAUACAAAAUGUAUUCAAAAGCCAAAAAAAUAGACCUACAAUCAGUAAGGAUUUGGGUUUGCGUCUUUCAAAAUUUAAAUUUCAACUCAACGAAAAUUGAAAAAAUGCAGGUGUACUUUUGUAAAAGAGAUGAGGGAACACAAAUUUCAUUCAUAAGAUUGUAAGUUAGAACACAAUAAUAUUAUUCAUGAAUAUCGCUCAAAUCAUAAAUAAAUAAAAACAUUCACGAAUCAAAUAUAUUAAUUUCUGAUUCUUGCAAGACAAUGACAUGUCCAGUAGGGCUCCGGGCUCCAGGGGAGGGUCCGGAGCACGGCAAUAUCCUCCGGGGCAAGGAUAGGACCCACAAGACACUUUGCUACACGCAAAAGUACAAACUUAUUCAAGACAUGGUUCCAUUUUGAAACUUGGUUCACCGUUACAACUUGUACUACACAUUAUUGAAACCAAACCAUAAACAAGAAAAAUAAUUAUUAGUACUUGCUUCCUGAUUGCUUCCAUUUAGCAGAGAGUGUUCAAUAUUAUAAACUGUCAUAAUUAUGUCUUUUUAUAGGUAGAAAUAUGUAAUGUUCAAUAAUACUGCAGUUACAUGAUGCACAAAUAAAAAGUUAGGUAGGGAUUACUUGAAUUACAUGAUGAAACCAUAAUUCAAACAAAGAUGUAUGCAAUAAUAUAAAUUUUCUCUUAAUAUAAAUAUAAAUUACAAAAUGAACGACAAAGUAUAAAUUACUGUAAUAAAAAUUGACUAGGUAUUUUUAUUAAUUUGAGUUGACUAUUGUAUUAUAAAGGACUCUUUGAGUUUUGUGCCAUUUCUCAAUGAAGAAAGGUCCAACCAUAUUUUUAGUAUUAAUGAUACAUUGAACCCUUAUUUUGUUUCAAAUUUACCCUCUCCUAUCUUACUCACCGCUUGAUUUUUUUUCUUUUUGUGUUUUCUAGUUUGAAUUAUAUAUAUAUAUAUAUAUAUAUAUAUAUAUAUAUAUAUAUAUAUAUAUAUAUAUAUAUAUAUAUAUAUAUAUAUAUAUAUAUAUAUAUAUAUAUAUAUAUAUAUAUAUCUAAAUAACUUACAAAAUUACCAUAAUAAACUAGAAUUUUAUUUUUGUGUUUUGGGUUUUGUUUCUUCUAAAAUAAACUAUAAAAUUACCGUAAAUAACCACAAAAAAGUGGUAUUCAACCACAAGUUUACAAAAUAAAAAUCAACUAUAAAUUAUCGAAAUCGACUACAAAAAUAUCAAAAAGUUAUCCAAUUAACUACAUGUUAACAAAAUAAACUAAAAAAAAAAACGAAAACACCCAAAUCAUGACUUGUCAAACUAAUGAGCAAAAAGUAAUUUGACUUGUGCGAUGCACGGGGCGGAUAAAAGUUAGUUUCGAUUAAAACUCAAUUUAAUUAGUUGAUGUGUUCAAGAGAAUGUCAAAUGAAGGAACGUCUUUGGAUAUAUUAAUAAUUUUAUUAGUGUGACAUAUACUUACUAUUAAACAAGUUACAUUCAACAAUAUCUCAUAUUCAUUAACUUACAAAGCCAACUCAAUUUUCCCCUUUACAGAUUUUAUUACACCCAAAACAAUAUAUUAGAAAAAAAUGGAUAUACAUGUCAUGUUAGCUAUCAAAGAACUAAGUAGUUAGUAAUGGGAAACAAAUGGGUGACGCUUAUUACACCUUAUAAUAGUACAUAAACUUAACAUAAUUUUCCAUCAUAAACAUCAUUAGGAGUAAUUGUGAAACAAAAUAAAGAAAUUUGCUUACCAGUAUUGACACAAAAACCUAGUUCUGAGAUCUUUAUUAAGUUUUCUCUAAGGAUUUAAAGCAAUAAAUCAACGAAAGACAUGAUCUGCGUAUCAAGAAACAAAACAAAAAUAAAGGGAACAAAUUUACGAUUUUCAAAUCUGUCAAAUAUAUUUAAACUCUUUUAUACUAGUCCUGGAAAUUUUCAGGAAAUCAUCUAAUAUAAUGGAUGUAUGCAGAAUUUGAAAGUUAGUUAAUCUAGGAUAAUUAGAAUAUAUGAAAUCUCCUAGUUUUCGAAAAAUCUGCUAAUUUUUAGCAUGUAAUGGUUUCAAAAAAUGAAUUUAAUAAACAAAAUGUAGCCACAUAACAUGAAAAUCCUUUACUCUAAUGCUAAUACUAAUACUAAUAUUAAUAUUAAUGAUAAUAUACUAAAACUAAUCCUAAUAUACUAAUGCGAAUGCUAAUGUUAUUAUUAAUAUUAAUGCUACUCAUAAUUUUAUAAUUAAAAGUUAGUAUUAAUAUUAGUUUUAGAGUUAGUGUUAGCAUUAAUAUUAGUAUUAGUAUGUUGAUACAUUAAUAAUUUAAUGUAACAAAUGUUAGAGUAUAUUUUAUUAUUAAAUAUCAUAGGAUAUUAGGAUUCUAUUAUGAUUCGGCUACCUAGAUUAGUUAGGAUUUAGUUACCUAGUCAAACUCUAUUACCUUGCAAUAUUUUUCUAUAUAUAUUUCAUGUAAACUGCCCAUAACAUAAUGGGGGUUUCUAUAAUAUUAGGUAUUAUUAUUUCUCUCUUUCUCCUAUGCUAUUCUUCCUAUAUGGUAUCAGAGCACCAGGUUUUUUAACAUGGUCGUCUUUCUUCUCCAUAGGUGUGACCACCCAAUUUUCUCCCUCCCCCGGCGGUGAUACUCUAAUAUUUUUUUUUCUAUCUUUUCCAUGAACACCACUCAAAUUUCCUCCCUCCCCUAGUGGUGGUACUCUUCUCUUUUAAGUUAUAUUAUUUCCGACAUCUUCUUCUUCUUAGUCGAUUAAUCUUUUUUCUCUCUCUUUAAUCUCUGUCAGUUUUUUAAUAAUUCUUCUUCCCCUCUCAUAUUUUUUUUCUCUCUCUCUCUCUCAAUUCAUACACACACAGAAAAAAAAAAUAAAACAAAAGCAAUUUUAUUUUCUCUACACGUUAUUUUUUUUCUAUCAAUUGGACAGAUAUUUUCAGAGUGGAAUUCUCUAGCGUUGUGUUUCGCGGUUUCUGUCCAGUCUUCACUUUUGGAGUUUUAUUCAUUUCGACUGGGGGAGCGUGUUAGCAAGUGAUUGUCCAGUCUUCACAUUCGUCACGUUUCGACUGCAGAAGCGUGUUAGAGUAUAUUAUAUUAUUAGAUAUUAUAGGAUAUUAGGAUUCUAUUAUGAUUCGGUUACCAAGAUUAGUUAUGAUUUAGUUACCUAGUCAAACUCUAUUACCUUGCAAUAUUUCUCUAUAUAUAUUCCAUGUAAAUUAACCCAUAACAUAUAUUAUAUUACGUAUUAUUAUUUCUCAAUUUCUCCUAUUCUAUUCUUCCUAUAAGAAAUAUGAAAUAGUUUUAACUUUUAUUUAUUUAAUAGACUAUUGAAGUUUACCUUUUAAUUACAAUUAAUAAUAUAAAAAUAUUUCUUAGAAUUAAUAAAAUUAAUUUGGGGGUCAUUAGCAAUAAGCCCCUCAUAUAGCUAAGAAAUGGUGAUACAUCCACUCCUUAAAUCUUUCUUUGUGAUCACCCCUAGAAACGUUAUUCCCAAUAUUACCCUUGUGUUAAUUAGCUAUCCCUAAAAAUCAGCUACCAAAUUUUAAAAAAAAAAUAUUUUUUAUUAUUUUUGAAUUUUAUUUAGCUUUUUAUUGUUUUUAUAAUAAUUUUUUAAUAAUUUUUUUUUAUUUUUUUAAACAAAAAAAAUUAUUUUUUUUCUCAACAGGUUUACUACGCCGAAUGUGACUAUAGUUGAAUGUGACUAUAGUCUAAUAUGACUAUAUGUGACUAUAUUAACUGUAGUCAUAUUCUUGAUUUAUAUUACAGUUGUUUACAUUUUCAAUUUAAAAGUUCUGAUUAUAUAGUCUAGUACAAUCAUGUUUACCAAAUUAUAUUAAAAAACGAAGAUUGCCUAUUAUUUAAGAAACCAAUCCAAUCAACAUCCUCAAAAAAAAAUCACAAUUUGAAUCUUGAAACGAUAAGAUAGAACAUAUUCGAAUAUGACUAGAGUCAUAUUUAACAAUAGUCAUAUUCGAAUAUGAUUAUAGUCAUGUUAUUGUUGCUGCUCAAAUCUUAAACUAUAUAUUUGUUCACAUUUCUAGAAAAAAAAUAAAGAGAAAUCGAAAAAGACAGAAACAAUUACCAAACUUAAAUAUGACUAUAUAUGUGACCACAUAUGACUAUUAUGUAUAUGACUAAAAAAAUUGAUUCUUGUCAUUUGGCUUGCAAGUUGCACCAUUUUCAUUAGUGCAUUUCAUAGCCACCGCCACCAUUUAUUCCAAAAUUUCCUCAUAGGAUAUGAAAUAAUGCUCACAUUGCAUCUUUAAAAAAACAAUUUGACUGAUUAACAACAAUGGGAUUAUCAAAAUCAAACACAAAUGACCCCAACAAAUUUUAAAUGCAAAAUCUCUAAAAGUGAAGACUAGAAAAUGAAAAAAAAUCUCAUCAAAUUGUGAUAUUUUCACAAAUUAUAUCCGGAGCUAGGGGGCACCAAAUUCAAUCUGCUCCGUACAGUAUAUAAAAUUAUAUACUCUAAAUACUCUAUCCAAAUGUCGGCCACAUCCAAUGGUUCAAUUGCACGAAAAACGUGUCCAAUCUAGCUGCCAUGAAUUAUUCAGUAACAAAAACCAGCAGCGAGUUUUAAGAUUCGAUCUAUAUUUAGAGAAGUAUGAUUCCGAUCUCCACCAGUCAUAAGUUAUAUUGAUGUGUUACGAGUCCUGUAUAAACAUAUCAAACCGAUCCGACGGUUAGAUCUUCCGAUCUGGCCUCUGCACGAAAAACUGUUGCAUCUCAAAAACUUGAUUUUUCUCCUCUUUUUUCAUCCGCUCUUCGGAAGGAGAAUCGAAACCUGGCGCCGGCGCCGUGUGCAGCUGAGUGGUCUCCAUUGGCGAGUGGUGGAGGAUUAUGGGUCCGAAGAAAAAAAAAAGAGAGAGAGAAGUUGCGUGAGAAAGAGAGAGAAUGAAAGAGAGAUAUAUGGAGAUAAUUAAUGUAAUCCUACAAUCACGUGAGACGGUUAUGGAAAAUAAAUAUUGCAAUUAUUUUAAAAACUACUGAUAAGGAUAGUUUCGUCUUAUCACAAUUGUUGAGGGGUAUUGGCGCCAUAUUUCCGGCUACUGAAGAUCGAGGAAAUCCGCCAAGUUUUGGAAUUAAAAGAUUGGCAAAGAUUUGUUUUCCAUAUUUAUUUUGGAAUUUAUUAGAGUCCUAUUCUUAUAAUACUUCUAUUAGGACUUAGAUUUAUUUCCAUGUAUUUUAUUCUAGUUAGGUAUCUUUUGUACUUAUCUAGAAUAGAAGUAGAAAUCAACUAGGAUUCUAUUACCUAGUUAAAUAGAUUUCUUGGGGUUCAAGCUAGGUCUUAGGGCUUAUUUUCGUGGCUAUAUAAGCCUCCAAGACAUACAAAAACCAUGGGCAUUAUUUGGGAGAAAAACCACUUCAUAAGCUUUGCCAAGGCGUUCUGCGGAGCAGUACUGUGCCAUCGUUGCACUGUGCCAACAUAUACAGAUUUGCUGUAUAGAUCUCAAGGGAGAUCAACCGCGUUUUCUGAAGGGAGUUCAGGCUUGAAGAAAGUUCAAGGCACGCGGAGUGGAGCUGCUGUAGAGAGAGACACGGAGUUCGAGUUGUGUACAAGAACGGCGUAAAAAUUAAAGAGGGAGUCUUUAUUAUUUUUAAUAAGUCCUAUUAAUGUACACUGUAAAUCUGUACUAGUGAAAUCGUGUUUGCAUGUCCACGUGGAUGUAGGGCACAUUUGUGUCUGAACCACAUUAAUUCCUUGUGUUCAUUUAUUUGCUUUAAAUAGUUUAUAACUGUGUUAACACAAGAAUUAUAGUUGUAACUGAAUACUGUUUCUACAACUUAACUGUUACAACUUAGGUUAAUUGAUUUCUAUAGGCAUAUAAAUCAACAAGGGGGGUUUCACUAAUUAAGAUUGGACAUUGGGUGUGGACAAAAAUUUUAAAAGUCAAAUGAGUUUAACUCAUAAUAUUUAUGGUUUGAGGGAGGUUUUGCAUAUUUCCCCAUUAAUUUAAUAGUAACUUAUAAAAUUUAAUUAUUAAUAUUAAUAUUUCAAAUACAUAAUAGUAAAAUUUAAUUUUUGUUGUUAGUAUUACUGUAAUUUACAUUGACAUAUCAAAUAUGAGAAGCAAAACAUAUGAUAAUAUUUUAUUGACUUGUUGGAAUUAUAUAUUUGCUCACGAAGAUUGUUAAAAGAAUGUAAAUCAUUUACACUCUUGGAAAUACUCUAAAGAAUGUUAGAGAAUAUUAUAUUAUAGAACUCUCCUAAUAUUAGGAUUCUAGUAUGAUUCGGUUACCUAGAUUAGUUAUGAUUUAGUUACUCAGUAAAACUCUAUUACCUUGCAAUAUUUCUCUAUAUAUAUUCCAUGUAAUCAACUCAUAACAUAAUGGGGGUUUUUAUUAUAUUACGUAUUAUUAUUUCUCUUCUUCUCCUAUUCUAUUCUUCAUAUAUGGUAUCAGAGCACCAAUGUUUUUUAACCUAGCCGCCCUUUCUUCUUUAUGGCGGUGACCACCCAAUUUUCUCCCUCCCCCGGUGGUGGUACUCUAAUAUUUUUUAUUUUUGUUAUCCUUUUCAUGAACACCACCCGAAUUUUCUCCCUCCCCCGGUGGUGAUUCUUCUCUAUUUUUUUCCGACAUAUUUUUCUAUCAGAUCUAUGAACACCACCCGAAUUUUCUACACCACCCGAAUUUUCUCCCUCCCCCGGUGGUGCAUCUUCUCUAUCUUCUUUUCUUCUUCUUCUUCUUCUUCUUCUUCUUCUUCUUCUUCUUCUUCUUCUUCUUCUUCUUCUUCUCCAUGGCCUAAAACCUAGCCGCCGCUUCUCUUCUUCUCUAUGGCCGGCGACCACCAAACCGAAUUUUCUCCCUCUCUCGGUGGUGUAUCUUCUCUAUCUUUUUCUUCUUCUUCUUCUCCAUGGCCUAAAACCUAGUCGCUGCCUCUCUUCUUCUCCAUGGCCGGCGACCCCUCUCAUAUCUUCUCCCUCUCUCUCUCUCGAUUCAUACAUAAAAAAAAAAAAAUUGCUUAUUUUUCUCUCACCCGUUAUUAUUAUUAUUAUUCUCUAUCAAUUGGGCAGAUAUUUACACAGAUGAAUUCUCUAGCGUUGUGUUUCGCGGUUCCUAUCCAGUCUUCACUUUUUGAAGUUUAUUCGUUCCGACUGCGGGAUCGUGUUAGCAAGUGAUUGUCCAGUCUUCACGUUCGUCACGUUUCGACUGCGGGGUCGUGUUAGAGAAUAUUAUAUUAUAGAACUCUCCUAAUAUUAGGAUUCUAGUAUGAUUCGGUUACCUAGAUUUGUUAGGAUUUAGUUACUCAGUAAAACUCUAUUACCUUGCAAUAUUUCUCUAUAUAUAUUCCAUGUAAUCAACCCAUAACAUAAUGGGGGUUUCUAUUAUAUUACAUAUUAUUAUUUCUCUCCUUCUCCUAUUCUAUUCUUCCUAUAAAGAAGAUGAAAGUGUAAAAUUAUAAAACAUAUGAUACUUCAAUGCAAAACUUCAAAACCUCUCAUCAUCUCGACAAUCUUUUUGUUUUUAUGUUUGAAGUAAUUAAUUCCUAAAUUCAGUGUACGAGGCUGGUUAAAAUUUUGUAUUUCUCAACAAAUAAAUAAUAAAUAGUAAAUAAAAAAUAAAUAAAAAAUAAUAAAUAUUAAAUAAUAAAUAAUAAAAACAUAAAUAAUGAAUAAUGAAUAAUAAAUAAAAAAUAAAAAAUAAAAAAUAUAAGAGUUAGUAUACGAAUAUCCUACCUUGACAUGUGUGCUCUGGGGUGUGUUGCAUCUAUCAUAUAUAUCUGACACACUGAACAAAGUACCAAACUAUUGUCCCACUCAAAUUUGUCUUACGUUUAUAUCAGUAUUCGUCAUCUCAAACGUCAUACUUUCUAAAUCCUAUCUAUGUUUACAAAUUAAACUUGACUUUUAAAUUGAAAUUAAUCCAACUCAACCACAAACUUCCACAAUUCCUUUCUAUAUAUAUAGCAAUUAGCAUAUAUAGUGAUUCUCCAAUCCUCAUCUCUCUCUUUCUUUCUCUCACACACACUCUCACGUAAAUUCACACACACACAAUUAUGGAGCAACAGCGGCACGUGGUGUUAGUUGUACAUUUCCGGCACAAGCCCACAUCAACCCAUCCCUUCAGUUCGCCAAGAGGCUGACCGCCAUUGGCAUCAAGGUCACCUUCGCCACCAGCAUCUACGCACGGCGGCGCAUGGCCAGAACCGCCGCCGGACUGCCCAAGGGUGUCACCUUCGCCCUUCUCUGACGGGUACGACGACGGGUUCAAGCCGGGAAACGACGAUGCCGGAAAGUACAUGACGGAGAUAAGAAGCAGAGGCUCCCAAAGUCUGAGAGACACCAUCCUUGCCGCCGCCGAGCAGGGCCGCCCCGUCACCCAACUGGUGUACACCCUCCUCCUCCCCUGGGCGCCAGAGGUGGCGCGUGAGUUCCACGUCCCAAGCGCCCUCCUCUGGAUCCAACCCGCCACCGUCCUCAACAUAUACUACUACUACUUCAAUGGCUACGGAGAUGAAAUUACAGCAAACUCGAACGAUCCGACGUGGCAUUUCCAAUUCCCGGGUAUUCCCGCCCUUAAUUUUUCCAAACGCGACCUUCCGUCUUUCGUACUUCCGUCGAGCUCCGACAAGUACAGCUUCGCACUUCCGAGUUUUAAGGAGCAGCUCGAAACACUAGACGCCGAAAUAUUGAAACCAAAAGUCCUGGUCAACACCUUCGACGCGCUGGAGCCCCACGCGCUCAAAUCCAUCGACAAGUACGAGCUAUUCGGAGUGGGGCCGUUGAUUCCUUCCGCCCCUUCAGAAAAGUCAUUCCGCGGCGAUCUUUUCGAAAAAUCCGAUGACAACAGCGUAGAAUUAUGGCUCAACUCCAAGCCCGAAUCGUCGGUUGUUUACGUGUCUUUCGGCAGCAUUUUGAAGCUACCGAAAGCACAAAUGGAGAAGGUAGCGAAAGGGCUCUUAGAAUCCGACAGGCCGUUUCUAUGGGUUAUACGAACAAACGAGGAUAAGAAGAAUGAAGAAGAGGAGGAGGAGAAGUUGAGUUGUUUAGAUGAGCUCGAAAAGAUAGGAAAGAUUGUACCUUGGUGCUCGCAACUUGAGGUACUAACGCACCCUUCAAUAGGUUGCUUUGUGUCGCACUGCGGGUGGAAUUCGACUCUGGAGAGCUUGUCUAGCGGAGUUCCGGUGGUGGCUUUCCCUCAGUGGACCGAUCAAGGGACGAACGCGAAGUUGAUAGAAGAUGUGUGGAAGAGUGGGGUUAGAGUGAGAGGAGUUGGUGGAGAUGGGGUGGUGGAGAGUGGUGAGAUAAAGAGGUGCAUUGAGGAAGUGAUGGAUGGUGGGAAAAGGAGUCGGGAGUUGAGAGCGAAUGCUCGGGAAUGGAAGAGUUUGGCGAGGGGAGCUAUGGAUGAGAAUGGGAGUUCUUGUAAGAAUUUGAAGGAUUUUCUUGACGAAAAUUGAGCUCCUUGUUUUAGGGUACAUUAAGUGUAUUUACUUUGCUAGAGAGGUUUUGUUUGUUGAAUGUUAAUUUUUGCUAAUUCAAGUGAAGGUUGAAGUUCUUCCUUUUUUUCUUUACUUGUUUAACUUUGUGUGGGUAUGUUUAGUUUUUUUUAAGUAUAUCAAAAUUUGUAUUGUUUUUUGAAUAUAUUACACCUAGGGGUGAAAACGAGCGAGUCGAGUCGAGUCGACACGAACAACUGGUUGUGCUCAAGCUCAUGUGCAUUUAUAUCGAGUUUUGUGUUUGAGCUUGAUUUGGUAAGCAAUCGAGGAACUCAACACACCCCCAAACUUGAACUUUUGUUUCUCAUCAAGCAAUACUACCAACUUGCAAAGCAACAAAAUCAAUAAAUGAAUCAUCUCAUCACAUAGAUUAAAAAUUUACAAGCUUAAAAUUGUCAUGGGACUUCUCAAAAAUUUACAAGCUUAAAAUUCAACGAUAGUUAACUGAUCACCAUUGCCAAGAACCAAAAAUCAUGUUAUCGCUUCAAGCAUCCAAUAUUUGUAAUCUAAAAUAGAGAAAAUUUAUACUUACAUAGUAAUAUUAGACUCCAAAGACUCAUCGAAUUUCUCUACUCUCGAAUAAUUGAGCUAUUAAGAUCAAAGUAAACGAUAUAUUGGGCAAGUUACAAGUCCAUGAGGAGAAGAUCAAGAGAUGAAACAAAGGGCCCGGAGUAGAACAAGCUCUUCAAAAAAGACGAACCUUGGCAACCAACCAAAAUAUGAUGGUGCUCGAUUUCGUGGUAGAGGUAGUGGCCGUGGUCGUGGACGUGGUCGUGGUCAUGGCAGAGGUCGUGAAGGACAAUUCUCGUACAACAAUGAUAAUACUAAGCAAGAGAAUCGACCAACAAGACGUCGUGGAAGAGGAGGAUUCAAUUGGCCCCAAGAUAAGAAAGAUGUCGAAUGUUACAGUUUUCACAAAUACGGACACUAUGCUUGGGAGUGUCGAAAUGAGUCAAAUGAUGAAAAGACUCAUUAUGUUGAAGCAACGGAAGAACUCCCAUGGAAGAAGGAAGAAGACCGAAAGCUUUGUUUUAGUUAAUUUCGUAUUUGGAAAAGUAAUUGAGUUCAACUGAGUUCUUGAAACUUUCAAUUUACAUCCCAUGUGAUAUUUUUAGGUGAAAAGACGGAAAAAAACCCAUUUAUUUUAUCAUGUGUUUCGUGCUUGCGCCUAAAUUUGUGAAGAUUCGCCAUAAUAUUUGCCCUAGGUGGUUAAGUGAAUCAAAAUAACGAAUUUGGGUGUACAAUGUUCAAUUAUUUUUAUUAACGUGACAAAGCGCAAAAACAGGUAAAUGAUAGGUGGUAAAAUGCUAUUAAACCUAAUUUCUUAAUCUAAUUAUGCUUACACAAAUUCAAGUUCCAUUUGAAAGAAAACAAAUAGAGCUACAACUUUCGUGUUUGGCGUAUUCGAAUGUACAAAGUUUAUGGUACAUACAGUUACAUAUCGUGCUCAAAAUUGUGUCGGGAUUAUGAAUUGCGCUACUUACAUAGUUUUGUAUUUCUACCGUAACUCUUUCGUUAUUAGACUCCAAAGACUCACCGAAUUUCUCUACUCUCGAAUAAUUGAGCUAUUGGGAUCAUUGAGACUUUUUGGCUUUCAAUUGUUGGGCUCUUUGGUGAAAGGUAGAAAUAUGGGUAUAUAAGUUGCUUUUUUUUCUUCUUAAAUCGAGGUGUUUUCGCAGAGAUUUGAAGAUUUGACUUUUUGGAAUAGCUUAUUCACCUCUGAUGACUUAUUAUCCUACUCGAUUAUCAAGAGUUCAAAAGUCUCCACUUUUGCUCUUGAGGUAUGGUUCCAGUUUUUAUUCGAAUAUUUGAGCAUGUCCUCCUUUUCCCUUCUAGUUCUCUUCUUCUUCGUUCUUUUUCUGAGAAAAAGAAAAACGUAACAAAUUUUCCAUCAAAACUCCAAGGGAUUUUUAUCAAGAAUCUCCAUCUACUCUACCUUGCACGCACGCAUUGGCUAAAAGAAAGAACUCCUUUUCUUUGAGGCCCAAAUCAAGGUUCUAAGGAUAAUUUCGAUAAAAAGAUCGGCUUGAAAGGCUUAUAUGGUUCAAAUAAGGCACAAAUCAUAUCCCAAAUCACUCAACGGCUCAAUACUUCACUUUGCAAAUUCCUAAGGUGAGUUCUAAAAACGAACAUCAAAUGAUAUUUCAUAAAUUAACUCCACUAUUGAAAAACAAAAUUUUCAACAAAAGCAACACAUAAUUCAUGAUUCUCAAUAAUGACUCACUCCGAAAUUACUUUGAAUCGAAAACUCACCUAUAUUCAAGUAAUACAACAAAGCAAGUAAUAUCAUCAUUAGACAUUGGCCAUCUUUCUUCAUCAUAAUUCAUCUAUGCAUUCAACUCAAACAUUUUUUUUAAAGAAAACAAUAAAUAUAUGAAAACGACUAAAAAGAAAAAAAAAUCCUAAAGCAUGCAAUCUAAAACAUAUAAAGCACAUAAAAAGUUGUUUUCAAAAAUAUACUAUAGCAUGCAAUCUAAAACAUAUAAAACACAUAAAAAGUGUUUUUCCACCCCCAUACUUAAAGUUUUGCAUUAUCCUGAAUGUAAUUAAAACGAAGUUUAAGAAUAGAAUACACCUUGAUUAGUCAGAACGUGCGUUGCACUCCUCCAUCUCUUCAUCUUUCAAGCAAACUUUUUUUUUUCAAUUUUUCGAAAAAAAAAUAAAUAAAAAAUUAUCCAGGGGUAUUUCGGCUUGAUUUUCGGACGGUUGUCUGGGCUUUUUGUGUCCGUUUUUUGACCUAAAAAUUCAAACGUGAUUAAAUUAUUAGAUUGCAAGCUUAUAUAUAUUCUAGGAAAAUAAAAAAAAAAAAAAAAAAAAAAAAAAACACACACUAAAAAUAUGAGAAAAAAAAACGAAAAAAACAAUAAAUGCUCGGGUUGCCUCCCGGGAAACGCUAAAUUUUAAGUCUUCAACCAGAGUUUGCUUCUUAAAAUUAUUAUGUCCAAUCCAAAUUCUUGUAAAUUGUGCAUCCAUUAAUGGGCUCUACAACUUCAAUUGCAACCAAGGCAUGGAUAGCAUUGCAAUAUGUCACAGGGUCCACCUUAGCUUGUAGUCUUUAUUUUGUUGUAAUCAAUCGGUACGAAGCCAAGAUGGGAUGUUCAUCCGUCGCUCCAUUAAAUUGGUACACAAAAACCUCAAGUAUGCGUAUAACAUCCACCUCAAACGCAUUCGCCUUCUCAUCAACUACUAUUGAUGCCUUCAAAACCACAUCAGGUACAACGAUAAGAUCUUCAAUUUGAAUAUUUGCACUAACCACAUCCAUCUCCUUCUUCUCUUGUUCCGAGACAUCUAUGGAGUUUAGCUCGAUUGCAUUCUCAGAUUCAUCAUCUGUAGGCGUCUUCAUAAUUUAUGUUUCCCUCUCAUCGACACUAUUUUCUAGGUCUGAAGAAUUUUUCUCACUACAAGUUUCAGACGAAUUUUCUUUGUUGCAACCAUUCUUGAUAUCGUCUGGAAUAUUUUCAUGAGGCCUCUGGAAUUUGAUCUAUUCCAACUGUAUCUCCAAUCUUUUGGUAGAUGCUUGAGUGGAUUUCCUAAAAUUUUCAAGGAUGGAUUUCAAAUAACACUCCUCAAUAGUGGGUUCUCGUGGCCUUGCAUAAUAGGUUUGAAAAUCAUCAAAUUGCGGCUCCCGAUGUUGAAAAUCAUUGAAAGCUUGGCUGGGAACACUAUGUUCGUACGUGUUGGUGUAUGUGUUCCAAUAACCCAUGUUGGUAUUAUCGAAGAAAUUAUUCGCUUUCGGUGCUUCCCAAUAUUGGUUAGUGUAAUGAUUUCUACCACAUGUGGAACAAAAUAGCGGCAUAUCAUAGGUGUUUUGGAGGUAUUCGCCUGAUGAAAGCAAUUCGUAUCCCGUUUGAGGUGCGCGGAAAUUGUAACCUGAUAUGUAACAAAAGAAGAAAAAAAAAAAUUAAAAUUAAUUUGGGUGAAUUGAGAGAUUUGUUCGAAUCUAGAGUCAAAAUAAAUAGACAAUGUAUUAUAUGGUUUCGUCAUCUGGAUGAUUACCUUCAGAUGAAUUUGAAUGCAUUAAAUCAUCUAGUUCUUCAUGUUCAUCCUCCACUUUUCAGAGGAGGCUCUUCGGAGAAAGAAACUCAAGAAAUGAAUAAUUUUAUUCUUGGGAUAAUUUUAGCAUAUGAGGAACAACCGUAUCAGCGACAAUAUAUCUAUCGUGAUCGCGAAGAAAGUCAGAAACUAUUACGGAAAUAUUAUUUUUCUGAAAAUUGUACUUUCCAUUUUCUUAUUUUCACAGGCGUUUUAGGAUGCGCAGAGGGUUGUUUUUUAUAUUCAAAAUGAUCUUGAAAAUUAUAACACAUACUUCAUCUGAAAGAGAGAUGCACGUGGUCGUCUUGGCUUAUCAUCUAUUCAAAAAAUAACUACUGCAAUUCUGGUUUUUGCUUAUGGGGCAUCUGCUGAUUUUUACAAUGAAUAUUAAAAGAUCGGGGAGGCAACUGGUAACGAAACUUUAAGAGAGUUUUGUUCAUCCAUAAUCGAACUAUAUGGAGAACAAUACUUGCGUUCACCAAAUGAACAUGAUAUUCACCGUCUUCUACAAGAAGGAGAAUCACGAGGUUUUCCAGGUAUGCUUGGAUCUUUAGAUAGUAUGCACUAGCAAUGAAAAAAUUGUCCAACUGCUUGGCAAGGCACACACAGGGGUCACCACCACAAGCCAACAUUAAUUUAAGAAGUAGUUGCAUACCAUGAUACAUGGAUUUGACUUUCUUUUUUUUGGCAUGUCAUGUGGAAAUAAUGAUAUUAAUGUCUUGGAUCAUUCUCCACUUUUUGAUAAUAUGAUACAUAGUAGAAUGCCUCCAGUUCCUUAUACGGUGAACGGUCGUUCAUAUAUGACGGGUUAUUACUUAACUGAUGGUAUUUACCCAAAAUAUGCAACUCUUACUCAAACCAUUGUUCAUCCCACCACUGCAAAAGAAAAAUUAUUUGCGGCAAAACAAUAAUAAGUUAGAAAAUAUGUGAAGCGAGGAUUUGGUGUUUUACAAAGUAGAUGGGAUAUAACGCAAGGACUCAUCCGUUAUUGGACAAAAGAAGAUAUAUGUAACACAAAGAAAACAUGCAUUAUCCUUCAUAACGUGAUUAUAGAAGCUGAACUUGAAAUUGACAUUGAACCAUGGAUGCCACUACCAUAAGAGAAUUUUCGACCCCCUCAAUGUGAACGGGAUCCAUCAAUUUUGGCGGCACAUAUCUCAGCACGCCUUAGUCGGAUCCACAAUCGACGAACCAAUGAAAGUUUGAGAUCUGAUCUAUUUAACCAUUUGUGGAAUAUCUAUGGAGCAAAAGAUGUCUAAAUAAUCUAUUGCUUUUGAGUAUGUUUAAUUUUUUAUUUGUGAGUUAUUGUUCUUUUAUUUUCACUUGAAGAAUUAUAUUUUAUAAUUUAAUCGAAUUUAAUAAAAUUAAAUUACUACAAAAAUUAUUGUGACAUUUCUUUUAAUAAAAGUGAUGAAUACGAGAGACAAAUGUGGAGCAAUCAAUAGGAAUUCACAUUGUUAUUCAUCUUGAACAAAAAAAGUUGUAACAUCUCUUUUACUAUUAGACAUAAAAUUAAUAAUAUUUAAGAAAAAAAAAAGAUCAAAAUAAAUGUUUCGUGUAUUAUAUUUUAUAAUUGAAUUUAUUAAAAUUUAAAUAUAACUUCUUUUUAUCGAUAAAUCUAAAUGUAACAUUUCUUUUACCUACUAUUAAUAUUAAAACCAAUGAAAUUUAAUAUUGUAAUCCCUAAAAACAUAUAAUACAAUCAAAUAAUAAAAUAGAAUUAAACAUUACUUAACAAAAAAUAAAAAAAUAAUAUAUAUAUAUAUAUAUAUAUAUAUAUAUAUAUAUAUAUAUAUAUAUAUAUAUAUAUAUAAUUCAAAUUAGAAAACAUAAAAAGAAAAAAAAAAUAAAGCAGUGAGUAGGAUAGAAGAGGAUAAAUUUAAAACAAAAUAAGGGUUCAAUGUAUCCUUAAUACUAAAAAUAUGGUUGGACCUUUCUUCAUUGACAAAUGGCACAAAACUCAAAGAAUCCCUUACAAUACAAUAGUCAACUCAAAUUAAUAAAAAUAUCUAGUCAAUUUUUAUUACAGUAAUUUAUACUUAAUUAUUAUUUUUGUCAUUGAUUUUCUAAUUUAUAUUUAUAUUAAGAGAAAAUUUAUAUUAUUGCAUACAUCUUUGUUUGAAUUAUGGUUUCAUCAUGUAAUUCAAGUAAUCCUUACCUAACUUUUUAUCUGUGUAUUAUGUAACUACAAUAUUAUUGAACAUUACAUAUUUCUACCUAUAAAAAGAUACAAUUAUGACAGUUUAUAAUAUUGAACACUCUCUGCUAAAUGGAAGCAAUGAGGAAGCAAGCACUAAUAAUUAUUUUUCUUGUUUAUGGUUUGGUUUCAAUAAUGUGUAGUACAAGUUGUAAUGGUGAACCACGUUUCAAAAUGGAACCAUGCCUUGGAGAAGUUUGUACUUUUGCGUGUAGCAAAGUGUCUUGUGGGUCCUAUCCUUGCCCCGGAGGAUAUUGCCGUGCUCCGAACCCUCCCCUGGAGCCCUACUGGACAUGCCAUUGUCUUGCAAGAAUCGGAAAUUAAUAUAUUUGAUUCGUAAAUGUUUUUAUUUAUUUAUUUAUGAUUUGAGCGAUAUUCAUGAAUAAUAUUAUUGUGUUCUAACUUACAACCUUAUGAAUGAAAUUUGUGUUCCCUCAUCUCUUUUACAAAAGUACACCUGCAUCUUUUCAAUUUUCGUUGAGUUGCAAUUUAAAUUUUGAAAGACGCAAACCCAAAUCCUUACUAAUUCAUUUCUUGUAGGUCUAUUGUUUUGGCUUUUGAAUACAUUUUGUAUCAAGGCACUUGGACUUUAGACGAGAUAGUUAUGGUAGAAAUACAAAACUAUGUAAGUAGUGCAAUUCAUAAUCCAUGCACAAUUUUGAGCAUACUAUGUAACUGUAAGUACCAUAAACUUUGUAUCAUCGAAUACGCCUAACAGGAAAGUUGUAGCUCUAGUUGUUUGCUUUCAAAAGGAACUUGGAUUUUCUGUAAGCAUAAUUAGAUGAAAAUUUUAGGUUUAAUAGCAUUUUGCCACCUAUUCUUUACAUGUUUUUGCACUUUGCCACCUUAAUAAAAAAAAAUAAACAGGCACACCCAACUUCGUUAUUUUGACUCACUUAACCACUUAGGGCAAAUAUUAUGGCGAAUCUUCACAAAUACAGGCGCAAGCAUGAAACACAUGAUAAAAUAAAUGGGUUUUUUCGUCUUUUCACCUAAAAAUAUCACCUAGGAUGAAAUCGAAUGUUUCAAGGACUCAACUGAAUUUAAUUUGAAAUUUGUCAAAAUACGAAAUUAACUAAAGCAAAGCUUUGGGUCUUCUUCCUUCUUCCAUGGGAUUUUUUCCCAUUAAUUAAUUCAAAGAAAACCCAUACCUUUAUUUUAAUUAAUUUCAGUGGGUUUGAUUACGUCCCCAAUUACAAACAAAUUAAAGUCAUAGUCAAUCUCCUCUUCGCUCUUACUCGGUUUGUCCAACCCUCCCAUCGAUAACCGUACCAUCUUCAUCGACAUUUGGACAAUACUGUAUGAAAAAAUCCCGAAAAUAAGAAAUCUUACAAACCAAGAAAGUAAGAGAAAACAUAAAACGAAGACCAAAUCACAAGAAAACUAAGAUCAUAGCCCCAAAAGUUCCUUACAACUUUAUGCAAAUUGUAAAGGAACUUAUUCUAAUAAUAGUUUGCUUUAGCUUAUUAUCUUAACUUUAUUUGGUGGUUUAUACAUGUUGGCAAAUCACAUUUGGUCAAAAAAUGCAGAAAGUGAAAAAAAAAAUAGAAAUCUAAAAAAUGAAUGAAUAACAAAACAAAUUACAAAAAUAGGACGCUCGACUCAAAUUUCUCUUUUUGGCAAACAAAUUAAGGAUCAAGAAAAAAGAACCGGAUUACAAUUCCUACGAACAAAGUACUUGUGAACGAAAAAAAGAAAAAAAAAACUUUUCUUGGAGAUGCAUGUUUGUGUCUUUUGAAUUGAAUGUGAAGAGUUUUUGUUUUACGGCAGAGACGUACGUAGACAAGAGUUUGUGUGUGUGCGUGUAUUUGUGUUAGCUGCUAAACUGAUUCUGGGCACUGGUAAUUACAACCGACCAUAAUUUUAUCUUCUUUGAAUUAAUAGGGGAGAAACUCUAAUGGAAGAAAAAGAUCCAAAGCUUUAUUUUAAUUAAUUUCAAAUUUAGGAAAAUUUCAAAUUAAGUUCAAUUUACAUUGUUAUGUGCUUUGCGCGUGCGCUGUAAUUUGUGAAGAUUCGUCUGAAUAUUCGCCCUAGGUGGUUAAGUAAGUCAUAAUAACGGGUUGGGUGUGCCCGUGCAAUAUUUUUUUGCUAAGGUGACAAAGUACAAAAACAAGCAAAGUAUAAGUGGCAAAAUGCUAUUAACCUAACAUAAUAUUGAAUAACGAUAGGACAUAUUUGUUGCUGAAUCUGACUUCAUUUUCCACGAUCUGAUUUGAAGUUUUGAAUAAUAUAGUUGGAUUUUUUGAAUAAUAUGACCGAUGUUCUCAUAAUAUAACCGAUAGUUUACCUAAUUUGACUGAAUAUUGCAAUAAUAUUAUUUUUUUAUGUAAAUUACCCCCGAGGUAAGGUCUUACGUUAUCCUCAUAUGGUGUUACUUUUGACGGGAUGGUUACACUUUUGGUCCUUAUACUUAUCACCUAAAAGAAUUUUCGAUCUCAAACAUUUGCCGUCACGAAUUUAAUCCUAAAACUUACAACUUUAUGACAAUUUUGUUUCGGCCGUCUAAUUUUCCUGAUAACUUUGACGGAAACCUCAUGUGCAUUUCACAUGACGUCCACUUGUGACCCACAAAUGAGCUGGACCAAAAUUCCUUCCACCCCAUCCUUACCUCUUAUCACCCUCUUCCCCGCCAUUUCCUCCACCAACUUCUGCUGCCUUUUGACCACCUCUCAACCAUCCUCCUUCGUCAAGUUUUUUCAAAUAAUAAAGAAAAUUAGCCUCUGCAAAUCCCAAGAAGAAGAAUUAAAUGGCUCCCUCACCUUCUACUUCACCUAGGCUGGGACUCUUUAAUUUAUUCCCUACAAUUAAGAAUUGUUCGGGCAGGAUAAAGAUGGGCCAUGUGCAUUAUUUUAAUUGUCAUCCAUUGAAGUGUGUGCCGUGUAUCCGUGUAUCUUUUCCUCUUUUUUUUUGUUUUUUUUCUGUUUUGUUUAAUAAUGUUUAAUUAUUUUAUUAUUUGAUUAUAUAUAUAUAUAUAUAUAUAUAUGUAUAUAUAUAUAUAUAUAUAUAUAUUAUCUUUUUCUUUUUUGUUAAGUAAUGUUUAGCUCUAUUUUAUUAUUUGAUUGUAUUAUAUGUUUUUAGGGAUUACAAUAUUAAAUUUCAUUGGUUUUAAUAUUAAUAGUAGGUAAAAGAAAUGUUACAUUUAGAUUUAUCGAUAAAAAGAAGUUAUAUUUAAAUUUUAAUAAAUUCAAUUAUAAAAUAUAAUACACGAAACAUUUAUUUUGAUCUUUUUUUUUCUUAAAUAUUAUUAAUUUUAUGUCUAAUAGUAAAAGAGAUGUUACAACUGCUUUUGUUCAAGAUAAAAGGAACAAAUUUUCGAUUUCCGAAUCUGUCAAAUAUAUUUAAACUCUUUUAUACUUGUCCUGAAAAUUUUCAGGAAAUCUUCUAAUGGAAUGGAUGUAUGCAGAAUUUGAAAAUUAGUUGAUCUAGGAUAAUUAGAAUAUAUGAAAUCUCCUAGUUUUUUAAAAAUCUGCUAAUUUUUAGCAUAUAAUGGUUUCAAAAAAUGAAUUUAAUAAAUAAAAUGUAGCCACAUAACAUGAAAAUCCGUUACUCUAAUGUUAAUACUAAUACUAAUACUAAUAUUAAUUAUAAUAUAUUAAUGGUAAUAUACUAUUGCUAAUCCUAAUAUACUAAUGUGAAUGCUAAUGUUAUUAUUAAUAUUAAUGCUACUCAUAAUUUUAUAAUUAAAAGUUAGUAUUAGUAUUAUUAUUAGUGUUAGUGUUAACAUUGAUAUUAGUAUUAGUAUGUUGAUACAUUAAUAAUUUAAUGUAACAAAUGUUAGAGUAUAUUAUAUUAUUAGAUAUUAUACGAUAUUAGGAUUCUAUUAUGAUUCGGCUACCUAGAUUAGUUAGGAUUUAGUUACCUAGUGAAACUCUACCUUGCAAUAUUUCUCUAUAUAUAUAUUCCAUGUAAAUUACCCAUAACAUAAUGGGGGUUUCUAUUAUAUUACGUAUUAUUAUUUCUCUCUUUCUCCUAUUCUAUUCUUCCUAUAUGGUAUUAGAGCACCAGGAUUUUUAACCUGGCCGUUUUUUUUCUCAAUGGCGGUGACCACCCAAUUUUAUCCCUCCCCGGUGGUGGUACUCUAAUAUCUUUUUUUUAUCAUUUCCACGAACACCACCCAAAAUUUCAUCCCUCCCCCGGUGGUGGUACUCUUCUCUUUUAAGUUAUAUUAUUUCCGACAUCUUCUUCUUAAUCGAUUAAUCUCUUUUCUCUCUCUUUAAUCUCUAUCAUUUAUUUAAUAAUUCUUCUUCCCCUCUCAUAUUUUAUCUCUCUCAAUUCAUACACAAAAAAAAAAAAAGCAAUUUAAUUUCUCUCCACGUUAUGUUUUUUCUAUCAAUUGGGCAUAUAUUUUCAGAGUGCAAUUCUCUAGCGUUGUGUUUCGCGAUUUCUGUCUAGUUUUCACUUUUGGAGUUUAUUCAUUUCGACUGCGGGAGCGUGUUAGCAAGUGAUUGUCCAGUCUUCACGUUCGUCACGUUUCGACAGCGGGAGCGUGUUAGAGUAUAUUAUAUUAUUAGAUAUUAUAGGAUAUUAGGAUUCUAUUAUGAUUCGGUUACCCAUAUUAGUUAUGAUUUAGUUAUCUAGUCAAACUCUAUUACAUUGCAACAUUUCUCUAUAUAUAUUCCAUGUAAAUUAACCCAUAACAUAGUGGGGGUUAAUAUUAUAUUACGUCUUAUUAUUUCUCUCUUUCUUCUAUUAUAUUCUUCCUAUAAGAAAUAUGAAAUAGUUUUAACUUUUAUUUAUUUAAUAGACUAUUGAAGUUUACCUUUUAAUUACAAUUAAUAAUAUAAAAAUAUUUCUUAGAAUUAAUAAAAUUAAUUUAGGGGUCAUUAGCAAUAAGCCCCUCAUAUAGCUAAGAAAUAGUGAUACAUCCACCCCUUAAAUCUUUCUUUGUGAUAACUCCUAGAAACGUUAUUCCCAAUAUUACUCUUGUGUUAAUUAGCUAUCCCUAAAAAUCAGCUACCAAAUUUAAAAAAAUAUAUUUUUUAUUUUUUAUUAUUUUCGGAUUUUAUUUAGCUUUUUUGUUUAUUAAUUUCUUUUUAUUUUUUUUAAACAAAAAAAUGAUUUUUUUUUUCUCAACAGGUUUACUACGCCGAAUGUGACUAUAAUUGAAUAUGACUAUAGUCUAAUAUGACUAUAUGUGACUAUAUCAACUGUAGUCAUAUUCUUGAUUUAUAUUGCAGUUUUUUACAUUUUCAAUUUAAAAAUUCUGAUUAUAUAGUCUAGUACAAUCAUGUUUACCAAAUUAUAUAAAAAAAUGAAGAUUGCCUAUUAUUUAAUAAACCAAUCCAAUCAACAUCCUCAAGAAAAAAAAUCACAAUUUGAAUCUUGAAACAAUAAGAUAUAUUCGAAUAUGACUAGAGUCAUAUUCUACAAUAGUCAUAUUCGAAUAUGAUUAUAGUCAUGUUAUUGUUGUUGCUCAAAUCUAAAAUUAUAUGUUCACAUUUCUAGAAAACAAAAAUAAAGAGAAAUCGAAACAGACAUAAAGAAUUACCAAACUUAAAUAUGACUAUAUAUGUGACCACAUAUGACUAUUAUGUAUAUGACUAAAAAAACUGAUUCUUGUCAUUUGGCUUGCAAGUUGCACCAUUUUCAUUAGUGCAUUUCAUAGCCACCUCCACCAUUUAUUCUGAAGUUUCCUCAUCGGAUAUAAUAUAAUGCUCAAACUGCAUCUUUUAAAAAAAAUGACUGAUUAACAACAAUGGAAAUAUCAAAAUCAAACACAAAUGACCACAACAAAUUUUAAAUGCAAAAUCUCUAAAAGUGAAGAGUAAAAAAUGAAAAAAAAUCUCACCAAAUUGUGAUAUUUUCACAAUUUAUAUCCGGAGCUAGGGUGCACCAAAUUCAAUCUCCUCCGUACAGUAUAUAAAAAUAUAUACUCCAAAUACUCUAUACAAAUGUCGGCCACAUCCAACCAUUCAAUUGCACGAAAAACGCGUCCAAUCUAGCUGCCCUGAAUUAUUCAGUAACAAAAACCAGCAGCGAGUUUUAAGAUUCGAUCUAUAUUUAGAGAAGUCUGAUUCCGAUCUCCACUAGUCAUAAGUUAUAUUGAUGUGUUACGAGUUCUUUAUAAAAAUAUCAAACCAAUCCGAUGGUUAGAUCUUCCGAUCUGGCCUCUGCACUAAAACUGCUGCAUCUCAAAAACUUGUUUUUUCUCCUCUUUUUUCACCCGCUCUUCGGAAGGAGAAUCGAUACCCGGCGUCGGCGCCGUGUGCGGCUGAGUGGUCUCCAUUGGCGAGUGGUGGAGGAUUAUGGGUCUGAAGAGAAAAAAAAAAGAAAGGGAGAAGUUGCGUGAGAAAGAGAGAUAUAUGGAAAGAAUUAAUGUAAUCCUACAAUCACAUGAGACGGUUAGGAAAAUAAAUAUUGCAAUUAUUUUAAAAACUACUGAUAAGGGUAGUUUCGUCUUAUCAUAAUUGUUGAGGAGGGUUUUACUAAUUAAAAUUAGACUUUGGGUAUGGGCAAAAUUUUAAAAGAUCGAAUGUGGUUAACUCAUAAUAUUUAUGGUUUGAGGGGGGUUUUGCAUAUUUCCCCAUUAAUUUAAUAGUAAUUGAUAAAAUUUAACUAUUAAUAUUAAUAUUUUAAAUACAUAAUAGUAAAAUUUAAUUUUUGUUGUUAGUAUAACUGUAAUUUACAUUGACAUAUCAAAUAUGAGAAGCAAAACAUAUGAUAAUAUUUUAUUAGCUUGUUGGAAUUAUAUAUUUGCUCACGAAGAUUGUUAAAAGAAUGUAAAUCAUUUACACUCUUGGAAAUAAAAGAAUGUAAAUCAUUUACACUCUUGGAAAUACUCUAAAGAAGAUGAGAGUGUAAAAUUAUAAAGUAUAUGAUAUUUCAAUGCAAAACUGCAAAACCUCUCAUCAUCCCCACAAUCCUUUUGUUUUUAUGUUUGACGUAAUCAAUUCCUAAAUUCAGUGUACGAGGCUAGCUAAAAUUUUGUAUUUCACAACAACUAAAUAAUAAAUAGUAAAUAAAAAAUAAAAAAAUAAAAAAUAAACAAAAAAAAAAUAAAAAAAAUCAAAGAGUUUGUUUACGAAUACAUUUCCUUAACAUGUGUGCUGUCAGGUGUGUGCAUAUAUCAUAUAUCUGACAAACUAUUAUUGUCCACUCAAAUUUACCCUUUAACAUCGUCUGUUGUUUAUUGAUUGUUGUUUGUGAUUUUCUACAAUGGUUCAAACAUAGUUUAGUGUUGGUAAUCAACUGUCCUAUCAACUACGGUGGUUUAUCGACAAUAACAGUCAAAAUUGGAUUAGAGAUCAAAAUUAAAUAAUUAAUGAAAUUCGGAUUUAAAUUGAAAUUAAUUAAAUUAAAUUAAAGAAAUUUGAUCAGAAACUAAAUAAAUGGAUUUGACUAGGGUGAGACCACGUGUGUUCUAAACUUAUAUGAGGUAUGCAUUAAUCACCAUUGAUUUUCUAAGAUUAAAUUUGGACCCUGGGAAAAUAACAUGGCUUAUGUUCCAAAAAUUGAAGUAAUUUACUAAAUUAUCCACCUUCGAAUAUUUUUUUUUAUUAAAUUAAUAUAAAAUAGAUUAACAUUGAAUUGUCAAAUUUACCCCCUACUAUAUUUUAGUUAAAUAAUUAAUUUAAAUUCAUUGUGACCGAGUUUUAUUUGAUAAAUAAUCGAAAAAAAUGCAUUCAUUAGGAAUUAAACCUGUGACAUCUUAGUACAUUCAUCACUCAUAACCAUCCAAACACAUUAACUUAUUAUGAUAUAUUUAACCAUAAUUGUAUAAAUACUGUUAAAUAAAAUAUUAAUUGCAACAUUCAUUAUUAAAUGAUAUUAAAUAAAUUAUUAACAAAUUUAAUAUAAUAAAGUUUGAAAAAUAUAAAGAAUUGCAGUUCAAUACGCCAAACAUCUAUCAUUAAUUAUAUAAUAUUAGAAUUAUUAAUAAACUCCAACAUUUAAAAAUGUAAAGAAUGCUCAACUAAAUAUAAAAAAAAUGCAUAACUUAAUCCAAACUCAAUUAUGUUAUUAAAUCGAUAGUGUGACAAAUCCAAAUAAAAAAUAAAAUAAUAUGUUUAUUUAGAAGAAGAAAAAAUUAUAACUCAUUCCAAUUAAUAGUUUUCUUACUUUAAAAUAAAAUUAUAUACUACAAAUACUAUAUUUAAUUUAAUAAAAUACUAAGAUUUGAAUCGAGUAAACUCAAAUCCUUUCAAUUAGUAAACAUUAAUCAAAUAUUUGAAUCGAUUGCUUAACUAUUGACAUAACGUGUUACACAAUUGAUUUAACUAUUUAUAAGCAAUGUCUAAUAUUUUUUUAAUUCAAUUUUGUCAUAAAAAAUAAUAAAUUUAAUUCCUAACACAUGUAAGAACCUAAUCGUAAAUCGUAAUAUUUUAUCAAAGUAUAAUAUUUGAACCAAUUAAGCUCAAGCACUUUCAAUUCGUAAACAUUAUUCAAAUAUUUGAAUCGAUUAAGCGCGCUCAACUAUUGACAAGAACGUCUUAAUCAAGUUAACUAUUAUUAAUUAAAGUUUAAUACAUUUUUAAUUCAAUUUUAUCAUAAAAAAUAAUUCUUAAAUUACGUAAGAAUCAAAUCAUAUGAUUAAUUAAAGCGUAUGAUUUGAAUCAAUUAAGCGCAAGUCCUUUUAAUUUGUAAUAUUAUUCAAAAAUUUGAAUUGAUUAAGUUCAACCACUGACAAGAACGUAUUAAUCGAGUUAACUAUUUAUAAUUAAAGUCUACUAUCCUUUUAAUUAUUUUUUAACAAAAAAAUAACAAUUUAAUUCAUAAAAUCGUAAGAAUCAAAUUGUAAAUCGUAAAAUUGAAUCUAACCAUGAACCAAUUAAAUUUUACGAUUUGUACGAAUUAAAUUUUAUUAUUUUUUAUGACAAAAUUCAAUAAAAAAAAGAUACUAAAUUUUAACUAUACAUAGUUUGAUUAAUACGCUAUUGUAAAUUACUGAGUUUAACCGAUUCAAAUAUUUGAAUAUUGUCUACGAAUUGAAAUGAGUUAAGCUUAAUCAAUCAAAUCUUUGAAUAUUGUUUUUAAAUUGAAAACACAUGAGUUUAAUUGAUUCAAAUCUUACAAUUUACGAUUCAAUUCAAACUUCAAAUUCUUUCGAAAUUCAUUUUUAAAUUACACGAGUUGGUCAACAUUUCCUUAGAUUUUUAAUUUAUAUAUUGUUAGUAUGAAAUAUUUUUAAUAUAUAAUAAUAAUUAUAUGAGAAUUAAUAAUUUAUUUAACAUUAUUUAUAUAAGUUUUAUAAUUAUUAUACAUUGUAUCUUUAUGAUAUAUUCUCGUAUUGUUAGUUAAUUGUCAAUUAAAUUAUGAGUUGUGUCUUAAUGGUAAGUCUUCUUAUAUACUUUUAGAUGGCCACAAGUUCGAAUUCAGGUUGAUUCUAUUUUGGAUGUGUGGUUUAAUGAUUUUUACGAAUAAUUGAUUCAAUUUUGGAUGUGUGGUUUCAUGAUUUUUACGAAUAAUGAUAUAAUUGACUUUAUAAAUUUAAAUUAAGCAAUAAAUAUAGAUUUAAAAUUGCAUUAAAAUAGAGAGGGUAAAAUUGACAUUUCAUUAAUAAUUUAUAAUUACCGAUUUUUUUGAAAUAAUAAUUGUACAAAGGGUAUUUGCGACAAUACAUAAAUGAGAAAAAAAUAGGUUGUGUUGUUGGGACACGUGUCACAAUUUGAAGGGAUAUCUCAUAUAAGUCGUGUUCUUGGAAUCUCACCGUAGAAAGACCCUAAAUAAAUAGUGCAUGACGAGCUUAUUUAUAAAAGCCUCAUAAAAAAAUAUAGGGAAAAUGAAGGAUAACCCCCUCAAUACACAAAAUAAUAGAGUCUAGGCCCAUUUUAAUAUUUACCAUUUGUAAAGAAAUCUAAAAUUAACAUUAGGAAUUGUGAGACCCCCCUACGUGUUUAUUAUUCCAAUUUUGUCCUUUCUUCUCUCUCUCUCUCUCUCUCUCUCUCUCUCUCUCUCUCUCUCUCUCUCUCUCUCUCUCUCUCUCUCUCUCUUCUCAACCGUCAUUUUGACGUGUUGUUCUUUUAUUAUUUUUCUUCUCUCUCCUCUCUUCUCUCUCUUCGACAAUUUCCUCUCGUAUCUUUUUCUGUUACUCUCUCUCUCUCUCUCUCUCUCUCUCUCUCUCUCUCUCUCUCUCUCUCUCUCUCUCUCUCUCCCUCUCUCUCUUCCCUCAUUUCCUCUGUUCUCGUCUGUUUCUAUUUCAUUUUUUCUCUUUAUUUUUUCUAUUUCAUCUCACUACUUCAUCUUUUCUUCUACAUCUCAUUUUUUUGUCGUUGAAAUCAAUCUAUUUUCUACUCUAUGAAAUUCAUGUUUUCACCGGAGGUGAGAUUUUUAUCAUGAGUAUUCAAUUUUAUAACACCAUAGUAUCUUAAAUUGAAAAAUAAUAUAGUGAAUUAAUGGAAAAAUUAUAGAUGACUACCAAUUCUUUUAUAGUUGACAUCGGACCAAUUAUAGUUAACUAUCUAAUUUUUGUAGUUGACUCUGGCAAUAAUAUAGUUAACCACCAAUUUUUUAUAGUUGACAUCGUAAAAAUUAUAGUUGACUAUCUAAUUUUUAUAGUUGACUUUGGAAAAACUAUAGUGAACUAUCCGAUUUUAUAGUUGACUCUGAGUGUAGAUUACCACAACAUUUUAUGUUUUUCGACAACAAUGAUCUCCUCAUUGUUGUAGACUCUUGAUAAAAUAAAUUUCAUAGGAAACAAAUAUUUAUGAUUCAACAAAUAGUGCGACCAUAGAUCUGUAGAUCUAAAAAACAAUCUUGUUUACAAAUUUCAUUUUUGAGGAAUCAACCACGGAAGAAUUUUGAACCGUCGCAUAUGGUCGUUGCGUACUGUUGCAUACCGUUGAUGUAGGAGACUUUGAUUUGUCCUUUGGAGUCGCUGAGAGGGUGUCAAAAAUAGAAAUUAUGUGGUAAAUGUACAUAGAUUAAGUUAAUAGAUGUCGAGGGGAGCGAUGGGUGUAUAAGAAAUUACAUGUCUUCUUCUUGCUACCCUUCACCAUUGUUGCCGACUUGUAUUUCUCAAUGAUUCCCACACAAAUGUUAAUUUUUUUUUAUGAAAUGUAAGAAACUAGGGCAUUGUUGCGACUGGGAAAUGAUCCGAUAUAUUUGCAGAUUUGUUUUGCUAUUUUUUUGGCACAAAUAUAGCUGAAUAGCGAAAAUUGGGGAGAUAAUAUAUUGACGUUAAAAUAUGCAGUUUUAGGGAAAAUAGUAGGGAGGGUCAUCGCUAUUAGAAAUUAUGGGGUAGUUCAGUAAUUACUAAUUGUGAAGGGGUUUGAUCCAUUAAAAAUAAUUCAAGGUGGUUAGUCCUAAUAUUUGUACUAACGAGGAGUUAUUUCUCAUUAACCCAAAAACAUAAGAGUUAGUAUACGAAUAUCUUACCUUGACAUGUGUGCUGUGAGGUGUGUGUUGCAUGAGAAAUACGAUGCUACACCUAGUGAUUUUCACCGGGUGGCUCUUUUCUUGACAUAUGUUCUUUUUUAUUAUUUAUAAUUAUACUUCUAAAACUCAUUGGGCCAUAACUGAACUCGUAGUGAGAAUUUUAUUAAUUAGGGUGCCUAAUUAUAUUCACCAGGUGUAGCAUAGAAUUUCCUGCGUUGCAUCUAUCAUUUAUCUGGCACACUGAACCAAGUACCAAACUAUUGUCCACUCAAAUUUGUCUUACGUUUAUAUCGGAUUCGUCAUCUCAAACGUCAUACUUUCUAAACCCUAUCUAUGUACACAAAUUAAACUUGACUUUUAAAUUGAAAUUAAUCCAACUAAAAAAAAUUACUAGAAUCAGCGCCAAUCUCAACCACAAACUUCCACAAUUCCUUUCUAUAUAUAGCAAUUAGCAUCUCUCUCUCUCUCACACACACAGCACCCACUAGAAUCAGCGCCAAUCUCUCUCUUUCUUUCUCUCACACACACACACGCACGUAAAUUCACACACACACAAUUAUAUAUGGAGCAGCAGCGGCACGUGCUGUUAGUUACAUUUCCGGUACAAGGCCACAUCAACCCAUCCCUUCAGUUCGCCAAGAGGCUGACCGCCAUGGGCAUCAAGGUCACCUUCGCCACCAGCCUCUACGCACGGCGGCGCAUGUCCAGAACCGCCGCCGGACUGCCCAAGGGUGUCACCUUCGCCGCCUUCUCCGACGGGUACGACGAUGGGUUCAAUCCCGGAAACGACGAUGCCGGAAAGUACAUGACGGAGAUAAGAAGCAGAGGCUCCCAAAGCCUGAGAGACACCAUCCUCGCCGCCGCCGAGCAGGGCUGCCCCGUUACCCAACUGGUGUACACCCUCCUCCUCCCGUGGGCACCAGAGGUGGCGCGUGAGUUCCACGUCCCGAGCGCCCUCCUCUGGAUCCAACCCGCCACCGUCCUCAAUAUAUACUACUACUACUUCAACGGCUACGGAGAUGAAAUUGCAGCAAACUCGAACGACGCCACGUGGCAAAUCCAAUUCCCGGGAAUUCCCGCCCUUAAUUUUUCCAAACGAGACCUUCCGUCGUUCAUACUUCCGUCGAGCUCCGACAAGCACAGCGUCGAACUUCCGAGUUUUAAGGAGCAGCUCGAAACACUAGACGCCGAGAAAACAAAACCCAAAGUGCUGGUCAACACCUUCGAGGCACUGGAGCCCCACGCGCUCAAAUCCAUCGACAACUACGAGCUAAUCGGAGUGGGGCCGUUGAUUCCUUCCGCCCCUUCAGACAAGUCAUUCCGCGGCGAUCUUUUCGAAAAAUCCGAUGACAACAGCGUAGAAUUAUGGCUCAACGCCAAGCCGGAAUCGUCGGUUGUUUACGUGUCUUUCGGCAGCAUUCUCAAGCUACCGAAAGCACAAAUGGAGGAGAUAGCGAAAGGGCUUUUAGAAUCCGAUAGGCCAUUUCUAUGGGUUAUACGAAUAAACGAGGAUAACAAGAAUGAAGAGGAGGAGGAGAAGUUGAGUUGUUUAGAUGAACUCGAAAAGAUAGGAAAGUUUGUACCUUGGUGUUCGCAGCUCGAGGUACUGACGCACGCUUCGGUUGGUUGCUUCGUGUCGCACUGCGGGUGGAAUUCGACUCUGGAGAGCUUGUCUAGCGGAGUUCCGGUGGUGGCUUUUCCUCAGUGGACCGAUCAAGGGACGAACGCGAAGUUGAUAGAAGAUGUGUGGAAGAGUGGGGUUAGAGUGAGAGGAGUUGGUGGAGAUGGGGUGGUGGAGAGUGGUGAGAUAAAUAGGUGCAUUGAGGAAGUGAUGGAUGGUGGCGAAAGGAGUCGGGAGUUGAGAGCGAAUGCUCGGGAAUGGAAGAGUUUGGCGAGGGAAGCUAUGGAUGAGAAUGGGAGUUCUUGUAAUAAUUUGAAGGCAUUUCUUGAGGAUAAUUGAGCUCCUUGUUUUAGGGUACAUUAAGUGUAUUUACUUUGCUAGAGAGGUUUUGUUUGUUGAAUUUUAAUUUUUGCUAAUUUAAGUGAGGGUUGAAGUUCUUCCUUUUAUUUUUUAUUUUCCCACCUUUUCUUGUUUCUUGUUUAACUUUGUGUGGGUAUGUUUAGUUUUUUUAAGUAUAUCAAAACUUGUAUUGUCUUUUGAAUAUAUUACACUUAGGGGUGAAAACGAUCGAGUCGAGUCGACUCGACUUGAACAACUGGUUGUGAUCAAGCUCCUGUGCAUUUAUAUCGAGUUUUGUGUUUGAGCUUGAUUUGGUAAGCAACCGAGGAACUCAACACACCCCCAAACUUGAACUUUUGUUUGUCCUCAAGCAAUACUACCAACUUGUAAAGCAACAAAAUUAAUAAAUGAGUCAUCUCAUCACAUAGAUUAAAAAUUUACAAGCUUAAAAUUGUCAUGGGACCUCUCAAAAAUUUACAAGCUUAAAAUUCAAUGAUAGUUAACUGAUCACCAUUGCCAAGAACCAAAAAUCAUGUUAUCGCUUCAAGCAUCUAAUAUCUGUAAUAUAAAAAUAGAGAAAAUUUAUACUUACAUAGUAAUAUUAGACUCCAAAGACUCACCGAAUUUCUCUACUCUCGAAUAAUUGAGCUAUUGGGAUCACUGGGACUUUUUGGCUUUCAAUUGUUGGGCUCUUUGGUGGGAGGUAGAAAAUAUGGGUAUAUAAGUGGCUACUCUUUUCCUUUCGAUUCUCAUUAUUGAAUAAAGAGUUGCACUGAGCAAGAUGCUUUUUUUUUCUUCUUAAAUCGAGGUGUUUUCACAGAGAUUUGAAGAUUUGGCUUUUUGGAAUAGCUUAUUCACCUCUAAUGACUUAUUAUCCUACUCGAUUCUCAAGAGUUCAAAAGUCUCCACUUUUUCUCUUGAGGUAUGGUUCGAGUUUUUAUUCGAAUAUUUGCGCAUGUCCUCCUUUUCCCUUCUAGUUCUCUUCUUCUUCGUUCUUUUUCUAAGAAAAAGGAAAACGUAACAAAUUUUCCAACCAAACUCCAAGGGAUUUUUUUCAAGAAUCUCCAUCUACUCUACCUUACACGCAUUGGCUAAAAGAAAGAACUCCUUUUCUUUGAGGCCCAAAUGAAGGUUCUAAAGAUAAUUUCGAUAAAAAUGUCGGCUUGAAAGGCUUAGAUGGUUCAAAUAAGGCCCAAAUCAUAUCCCAAAUCACUCAACGGCUCAAUACUUCACUUAGCAAAUUCCUAAGGUGUGUUCUAAAAUCGAACAUCAUAUGAUAUCAUAAAUUAACUCUACGUUUGAAAAACAAAAUUUUCAACAAAAGCAACACAUAAUUCAGGAUUCUCAAUAAUAACUCACUCCUAAAUUACUUUGAAUCGAAAGCUCGCCAAAAUUCAAGUAUAGCUACAACAAAGCAAGUAAUAUCAUCAUCAAACAUUGGCCAUCUUUCUUCAUCAUAAUUCAUCGAUGCAUUCAACUCAAACAUUAAUUUUAAAGAAAACAAUAAAUAUAUGAAAACGACUAAAAAGAAUAAAAAAUCAUAAAGCAUGCAAUCUAAAACAUAUAAAACACAUAAAAAGUGGUUUUCAAAAAUAUCCUAAAGCAUGCAAUCUAAAACAUAUAAAUCACAUAAAAAGUGUUUUUUCCAUCCCCAAACUUGAAGUUUUGCAUUGUCCUGAAUGUUAGCAUUUGUCAUAUCUAAACUGUUUUUGGUUCGAAUCCUAAUUGUAGGAUAAAUUUUUAAGUUUUUUUUAGUAACCAGAGGUUCAGAUUCUUUACUUUCAGCCAACCCGUUGGGCAACAACGGAGUGAUUGCAGCGGGCAAUCAAAAUUAGUUCAAUGUUAAAAACUGGUUACAAAUAAUCUUGUUUGACCUUUUAGGUAAAAAGUUUAUCCACACAGUGUCGGAAAUUGGUAAAAAUAAUAUUGAUGUGGUUGACAGUAAAUUACUGUCAACUAGAGUGAUAUUAUUACGUGGACUGGUCAACAAAGCAAACAAAAUAAAAAAGUCAAAAUAAAAUUACAAUAUUUAUGUGGUUGACAUUAAUAUUAUUGUGUUUACAAUAAUUUUACUGUCAACCGUAGUAAUAUUACCGUCGACGGUCAGUGCGGAAAAAAAAGGAUGAAAAAAAAAAUCAACACUGUCAGAGACUGGCAGCGGAAAGAAAAAAUAGAAAGUAAAAACAAUGCCAGCGCUAGUCUCCAACGAUGGAAAAAAAUCACAAAAAAGAAAGUUUGAAAAAAAGGUCGAAAUUUGAUUUUUGUUGUAAAAAAUGAUGAAAUUAGAGUUAAAUGAGAAUUACAAUUAGAAAUCGUGUUUAAAGGAUUUAUGGUAAUUUUAUCAUAAACAUUGAGUUUGGAUUUAUUUAUAAGGGAUUAUCUCACAAACCCACCUCAUAUAUAUGCAAUGUCCAAUUAAGAGAGGUCCAAUUUUUUUUUUUUCCUUUUUUAAGAUAAAUCCAAAAUAUUAUUUAAUUAAUCAUAAAUAAUUUAAUUAAUUAUUAUCAGUGUUCUAAAAAUCGGUCGAGGCGGCCGAUUAAUCGGUCGCCGAGGCGGGGGCGGUCCAAAACCUUUACGAUUUUGUAAAGGUUUCAAAAAUCGGUUUUUUGCCUGUGAGGCGGUUUGAGGCGGUCCGAGGCGGUCAAACCUUUAAGGCGGGUCAAACUUCGGUGGCAAAAAUCGACAAAAAAUCGGUCAAAAAUCGGUUUUUUUUUUUUUUUUUCUAAAUCAAAAUAAAAGUUGGGACUUUAAUAAAAAAAAAUAUGAAGUUAUGCUUUAUUUUGUUUAUGUUAAUUAUUAUUUUUAAAGAACUAAUAAUGUAUGCCAAGAAUGUAUGUAAAUUAAAAAACAAAAAGUCUUUUUAUUUAUAUUUUAUAAGGAUAUUUAUGUAUUAUGAUCUUAUUAUUAUUAUUAAUUUUUUAUUAUGUUAUUAGAAUAUAUACAUGAUGGAGAUAUAACUAUGUUUAAAUAUUUUUUUAUCUAUGUUUUGAGUAUUUAUAAAUAAUAUCUACAAAUAUAUUAAAUUAAAUUUUAAAAAUCGAUUUAUUUCCGAUUUAUCACCGAUUAAUCACCGCCGAACCAAUUAAUCGUGAGUCGGUCUCUGACCGCCUCCAACCCGAUUACCGCUUUUUACAAUCUUGAUUAUUAUACCAUUUACCUAACCCUAUAACUCACGUUGUUAUUCUUUUCUUUUUAACAGUAGCCGCCUCUCUUUCUCCACGUUAGUUGCGAUCUCUUCUCCAAAUCUCGGCCCUCUUCGCCGAGGGUGAGAGAUCCUGCUCCACCACCUCCCCAUCAUCACCGCCUCUGCCUGCCUCCUCGUCAUCCACCACAUCAGCCGUCGCCGCUCGUUCAUCUUCUAGGACCAGUUCACGUCGACGUACUCGUAGUUCCCCGAUGGAAUCCGGCCGCUUUUCUCCCACUUCGGUUUGCAGAUGCUUAUAAAAAAAAUCGUCAGAAAAUGUUAGAAUUUAGGUUUAAUAUAUAUUUAAUCUAAAAAUUCGAUACCUUAACCAAUUAAGAAAGAAGCUCACCGGCGUCCAAGCCACCGCUGCACAACCGAGCCAUCAGCCGCCGUUUAAAAUCCGGCGACGAGUAAUUGUCGCCACCGACGACUUCUGUCAACACCACCUCCACCUCAGCAUGCUGCUUCUGACGGCGUCGUUUUGGUCGCAAUUGAACAAUUUCUUCAGAGAAUCUUCGAGUUCGAAAUCCGGAGAGUUGUUUUGAUCUGAUUCGUCGCCGUCGUCAAACUGGUUCCCAUUCUCACCCCGAUCGAUGACGUCAUCGUCGGUUGUUGUAAUUUGCUCUCUGAUUUCCUUCUCGAAGAAGGAAUUGACGAGAUCGGUCGCAGAGGAAUGCUCGUUGCCGCUGCUCUCGUAUCACCUAACCCUAGCCAUCUCGUCGAAGGCCGCCGCCAUCCUUUUGAACCUCACCGGAAUAUUCACCAUUUUCCCCCGCCGAUUAAUUCCGAAUUUUUAAUUUCCUUCUUCCCUUUUUAGAAAAUAUCUUUAUCAUGGUCUGAGAUUUUAUUUUCUCCUAUUUUUCAUUAAAUUUAUUUUAAAUUCUUCAAAUUGAAAGAUGAAAUUGAUGAUGUCAGCCGUUUGGGUUUAGAGAGGUGGUGUUGUACAAAACAUAAGAACAUAGAUAUAUGCAUUAGUUUGGUCUUCUGUUGGAUUAUUGUAAUGAUUUAGUUUUUUUUUUUUUUUUUUUUUUUUUUUUAACGGCUGUUUUUUUUUUCUUUUAAUUUAGGUAAUGUUUUUGUUGUUGAUGAUUUUUUGACCGAAUUGCUGAUGUGAGGAAGAAGAUGGUGAUUUUUUUUCAAAUAGUGGUUUACGUUUCAAAUAACGAGAAGAAGAUGAUUACACGGACUAUGCUCUAGGGUUCAUUGGAGAGAAGAUGGUGUUCUUUAUAAUGGCUUUAUAGCUUCAUUUUCGCAUAUUUUUUUAUGGUUGCUUGUUAGAAUUCAUAGUGAUUUUCGAUGUUUAUAUAGUUGUGUAUAUAAAGUGGUUUUCAUGUUUAUAUAUGUGUUUUAUACAGAGUGGUUUUCAUGUUUAUAUAGUUGUUUAUACGAAGUGGUUUUUAUAAUGCAGGCUUUGUCUUUGAUAAAUUUAUAGUGGUUUUCAACAACUUUUGUUCAGAUUUUAAUAUAAUUGUAUAUACAAAGUGGUUUUUAUGUUGACAUAGUUGUUCUACAGAGUUAUUUUAAAGUUUACAUAGUCGUUAUACAUAGUGAUUUUCAUGUUCUAUAGUUGUUAUAUAGAGUGGUUUUCAUGUUUAUAUAACUGUUUAUACAUGGUGGUUUUCAUGUUUAUACAGAGUAGUUUUUAUUUAAAAAAAUAGGAAAGAAAAAAAAACCAUUAUUAUAAAAAAUUGAAAUUAAGAAAAAAGAAAAAUCAUGAAAAAAUAAAAUAAGAAUAAAACCAUUUAUUUAAAUUAAAAUAAAAAACAUGAAAAUAUAAAUAAGAAAAAAAAAUUAAAAUAAAAAAUCGAAAAAAAAGAAAAAUAAAAAAAAUAAUUACAAAAUCUUCUUUUAAAUCAAAAUAAAGAAAAACAUUAAAAAAAAAUAAAAAAAAAAAGAAACGGAAAAAAAACUGAAUUGGCGUGAUGAGGGGAAUAAUUUAUGGAGAACAUUUGGGUGUAGAUUAUGGGUAUAAUUUUUUUAAUUAAAUAAUUAUACUAAUUAAUAGUUAGUGGGGCCAUAUAUGGUUUUUCAGGCCCAUUGGAUUUAUCUCAAAUAUCAUUUAUAAAUAAUGGGUAUUUACAAAUAAUCUCAUCAAUGGAUACUUAUUCAUAAAGAGAUGAAGACAAAAAACUCAUUUACAAAUAAAUCCACACAUGGUCCAGAUUUUUGUAAAAGACUAAAAUAGCCUAUCAUACUUCUUUAAUAUGCUCCAAUUUCAUCCUAAAUUUAAUUUAACCUCAAUUUGAACCCAAAUUUCACGUAUUGUUCAAUUUUGACCCAAAACUUUUUUAUUUUCAAAAAAAAAAUUUCCCGCUAGAUUCCGGCGUUAACUUUUAGAUUUUUUUUUCUUCCAGUUUUUUUCGCCGGUUUCUGGCGUUGACUUUUUUUUUUUUACCUGAUUUUUCCGCCACAGAUUUCCGGCGUUGACCGGCGGUCAACGCCUGUCUCCGGCGUUGACUUUUUCAUUUUUUUUUCUUUUUUUCUGUAACAUUUUUUUUUUCGUUUAAACAACAAUAUUGUUGUGAGUGAGUGUAAUAUUAACUAUAUUACUGUUAAACACAGUAAAAUUAACUAUACUACAGUUUAACACAGUAAUAUUGCUAUAUUAAUCUCUACCACAGUAAUAUUAACACAACAAAACUCAUUAUUAUUGUGUAAUAGAGUAAUAUUACUAUGUUGACCGUUCAACAAAUGCAAACAUUAUAAAAAGCCAAAAGAAUUAAUAUUACUGUGAGUGACCGUAAUGUUACUAUAACAACAGUAAUAUUACCGUCAACCACAGUAAUAUUACAAUAAUAGACAGUAAUAUUAUUACGUUACUCCAUGAAUAACUCAAACAAACAAAAAAAUCCAAACAAAAUAAUAAUAUUGAUGUGGUUGACAGCAAUAUUACUAUAACAACAGUACCGUCAACCACAAUAAUAUGAUUGUGUUUACAGUAAUAUUACAAUAAUAUACAGUAAUAUUAUUACGUUACUCCGUGAAUAACUCAGACAAAACAAAAAACCCAAAAAAUAAUAAUAUUGAUGUUGUUGACAGUAAUAUUAUUGUGUUUACAUUUAUUUUACUGUCAACGACAGUAAUAUAACUACGUUGACUUGUCAACAAAUCAAACAAAAUAAAAAUGAAUAACGGGAAAUAAAAAAUAAUAAUAUUACGUUAAAUUACUGUCGCAGAACAAUUACAUAAAUGUAUUGUCAACGACAGUACAAUUACGUUAAUUAACUCUCAUUAGCAGUAUAAUUACAUUAAUUUACUGUCAGUGACAACACAAUACGGUCAACGUUUAGCGGAGGACGUAAAAAAGAAAAUAAAACUAAAAAAAACACUAAAAAAAGUUUACGCCGGAAUCCGGCGGCGGAAAAAAAAAGUCAACGCCGAAAACCGGCGAAAAAAUCCGGAAGAAAAAAAAAUAAUAAAAAAAGAAUAUCUAAAAGUCAACGCUGGAAUCCGGCGGCAAAAAUUUUUAUUUUGAAAAAAAAAGAUUUUUGAAAAAAAAUAAAGUCAAAAUUAGAUUUUUGUGAUCAAGUACUAGAUUGUUUGUGCUUUUGUAUCAUAAUAAAUUAAGUAAUAAUUAUUUAUAUAGCAUAAUAACAAUAGAAACGUUUAGUUAUCAUAAUAACAUUAAUUUCAACAGUAACAUUAAUUUCUUAAUAAUUUUAAUUUCGCAUUAACACUAAAUGUUUUUUACAGUUUCGUUUUUAUUUUUCUAUGUUUCACUGUAACAUUAUUUUUUGUACAACUUUUUUCCCCUCCUUCCGCUAAUGUAAGGCUCAGUUUGGAUUGGAGGAUUUCAAACGAAUGGAUUUCAAAUCCCCUGAACUUGAAAUACCUUGUAUUCGAAAUCCAUACAAUUUAAAAUCAGUUGUUUGGAUCAUUUAUACGAAGGAUUUCAAAUAAAUUUACUGUUUGGCUUAAGAUUAGUGGAUUAAAAUUAUUUAAUUAUUUUUACAAACAUUUUCGUAUAAUACAAAUGUGAUGUUGCAAGUAUUGAUUUUCUGAGAAACGCCUGCAAGUUUCAUUAAAUAAUAACACUACCUAAAAAUAGAAAUAAUAUAUAGAUGAUCCAAACGUACAAAUGAAUUGUCUACUUACAGUUUCUACCAGAGCGUACAAAAUGUUGUUGCAAUAGUGCUAUUUGUUUUAUCAUGACAAAGAAUAUGCAAGAAAAGUGUCACAAUUUCUUUUACCGUCACAUUCUUUGUUUAUACCAAUCCAUUAGGCAUUCUAUUAUUUACCCGUAAUUGCUGCAAGCAUGUUGGAUCAUGACAUCAAGAUCUCAUUCAAAGUUUUGUUUUUUAAACUCUUUCGUCAUUUUCACUCAAUAAUAAGUGUUUCGAUAAGUACUUGCCAUGAUGCAAAGCUCCAAUAAUACCAAUUAAAUAGCUGAACAAAGACGUAAUAAUUUUUAUCUUUCUUCAUAUUUUUCUAUUUCCCCUCUUGAACGUUUUCAAUGAACAAUAUCCAUUUAAUCAACAUCCAAAUUUGCUGCAAUUAUUUAGUUAAACAUACAAGUAAUUUAAACUAAGACCUUCUUAGACACAUAAUGAAAUUAACUAUCAAAUAGGGCUGAAUGGGACCUUAACCAAAGAAAAUUGAGAAAUAGGGUUGAUGCUAUAGUUUGACAUUAGGCUUCAAAUCAUGCACUACAAUAGCAUGAAAUCACCAAAUGCACCAUUUAUUUUUUUGUGAAAUUUUAAAAAACAAGAACAAGACAUAUAAAAAUUUACAUAAACAAAUUAAAUAUGAAAACAGAGAAGUGAACUUACCAGUUUUUUGUCGAAAAAACUUCAGUUGCGCCGAAGUUGAGGACCGCCGUCGAGCGCCGCCAUUGAAGACAAAUAUUCCCGAGCUAUAGAAGGUUGAUGAUUGAAGACGAGAGAAAUCCAUAUGGGUCCAUUUGAUGGAAAUGAAUAAGCUAGAUUCGUUAAUCAAGUUCAAAGUAUUGAAGGUUCUAGAAUUAUCUAGAAUUCAUGAAUGUGGAAGAAUACAUGAAUUUGUCUUUCGGAGAGAUUCAUGUAUAAUGCUAUGGAGGAAGAAUAUUAUUAAUUAUGUCCUCAUUUAUUUAUUUAGAUACAUGUUAGGAAAAUCCGAUAAAUAUUCUAUCUAGUUUUUUAUUUGGAGUAUAUCAAAAACAAGAAGAAAUAUUCUAGAGAAAAAAAGAGAGUUCUUGAGUAAGUUUGUAUAUUUGUGAUGAUUGAGUGAGUAAUAUAUUUUUCUCUCCUCUCCACUACUCCUCCACUCUAUUUUAAGUUAUUCCGCUGCGUAUUUAUCACUCAAUAUUUUAAAUCAAUCCAACAAAGUGGCAUCUGAGCCACAUCUUAAUAGAAAAGAGCGAUGGCAACAAGUGGAGCUUUCCCAUUUCAAAAGCUUGCAAAAGAGAACUAUGAUCGAUGGAGCAUACAAAUGAAUUUUUUUCUUGGUGGACAAGACGUUUGGGAAGCCGUUGAAGAAGAAUAUGUUGAGCUGGAGAAUUUGGCUUUGGGAAGCCAAGCCCAAAGGAAGACAUCAAAGAAGCCAAUGUGAAAGAUCAAAUAGCGCAGUUCAUAAUCCAACUCGGUGUAGACAAUAGUAACUUUGAUAAAAUUUCUCAAGCUACUACGGCAAAGCAAGCGUGGGAUAUUCUUAGCGAUGCUUUGAAAGGCAUUGAUAAGGUGAAGAAGGUACAAAUCCAAUCAUUUCGUGGAGAGUUCGAGUCUUUGAAGAUGAAAGACUCCGAAGAAGUUUCCUACUACGUCUCUAGGGUGGUUUUGAUCGUUAACCAACUUGAGAGAAAUGGUGAAAUAAUGGAAGAGAGAAGAGUGGUUGAAAAAUACUCCGAUCCCUUGACCCUAAGUUCGACUACAUCGUCGUGGAAAUUGAAGAGUCAAACGACGUUGAGAAUCUUAAAGUGAACGAUAUAUUUGGCAAGUUACAAGUCCAUGAGGAGAAGAUCAAGAGGCGAAACAAAGAGCCCAAAGUAGAAUAAGCCCUUCAAAAAGGACGAACCUUGGCGACGAACCAAAAUACGAUGGUGCUCAAUUUCGUGGCAGAGGUAGUGGCCGUGGUCGUGGAUGCGGUCGUGGUCAUGGUAGAGGUCGUGAAGGAGAAUUCUCGUACAACAAUGAUAAUACUAAGCAAUAGAAUCGACCAAAAAGACGUCGUGGAAGAGGAGGAUUCAAUCGGCGCCAAGAUAAGAAAGAUGUCGAAUAUUACAGUUGUCACAAAUACGGACACUAUGCUUGGGAGUGUCGAAAUGAGUCAAAUGAUGAAAAGACUCAUUAUGUUGAAGCAACGGAAAAACUCCCAUGGAAGGAGGAAGAAGAUUACCCAAAGCUUUGUUUUAGUUAAUUUCGUAUUUGGACAAGUAAUUGAGUUCAAAUGAGUCCUUGAAACUUUCAAUUUACAUCCCAUGUGAUAUUUUUAUGUGAAAACACGAAAAAAACCCAUUUAUUUUAUCAUGUGUUUCAUGUUUGCGCCUGAAUUUGUGAAGAUUCGCCAUAAUAUUUGCCCUAAGUGGUUAAGUGAAGCAAAAUAACGAAUUUGGGUGUGCAUGUGCAAUUAUUUUUAUUAAGGUGACAAAGUGCAAAAACAGGUAAAGGAUAGGUGGCAAAAUGCUAUUAAACCAAAAAUUUUCAUCUAAUUAUGCUUACACAAAUUGAAGUUCCAUUUGAAAAAAAAACAAAUAGAGCUACAACUUUCGUGUUUGGCGUAUUCGAAGAUAUAAAGUUUAUGGUACAUACAGUUGCAUAUUAUGCUCAAAAUUGUGCCUGGAUUAUGAAUUUCACUACUUACAUAGUUUCGUAUUUCUACCAUAACUAUCUCGUCUAAAGUCCAAGUGCCUUAAUACAAAACGUAUUCAAAAGCCAAAAUAAUAAACCUUCACGAAAUGAAUCAGCAUGGAUUUGGGUUUGCUUUUUACAAAUUUGCAACGCAGCGAAAAGUGCAGGUCAUGUACUUUUGUAAAAGAAAUGAGGGAACACAAAUUUUAUUCAUAAGAUUGUAAGUUAUAACACAACAACAUUCAUGAAUCCCUCAAAUCAUAAAUAAAUAAAAAUAUUCACGAAUCAAAUAUUUUAUUUUCCAAUUCUUGCAAGACAUGUACAUGUCCAGUAGGGCUCCAGCGGAGGGUUCGGAGCACGGCAAUGUCCUCCGGGGCAACGAUAGGGCCCACAAGACACUUUGUUACACGCAAAAGUACAAACUUCUCCGAUGCAUGGUUCCAUUUUGAAAAUUGGUUCACCAUUACAACUUGUACUACACAUUAUUGAAAUCAAACCAUAGACAAGAAAAAGAAUUAAUAGUUGCUUCCUCAUUGCUUCCAUUUUGUAGCAGAGUGUUCAAUAUUAUAACUGUCAUAAUUUGUGCCUUUUUAUAGGGAGAAAAUAUGUAAUGAUUUAAUAAAAUUUCAAUUUUAAUAUUGCUUGGAUUGAAGGUAUAAUAUUGCAGUUACAUGAUACACAAAUAAAAAAUUAGGUAGGGAUUACUUGAAUUGCAUAAAGAAACCAGAAUUCAAACAAAGAUGUAUGCAAUAAUAUAUAUAUUUUCUCCAGAUAUAAAUAUAAGUUACAAAAUCAACGACAAAAGUAAUAAUUAAAUAUAAAUUACUGUAAUAAAAAAAAGGCACUUUACAAAUAAGUCCAUCAAUGAGUACUUAUUCAUAAAGAUAUCAAGACAAUAAACUUUUUUACAAAAAAGUCCACACAUGGUCUAGAGGUUUGUAAAAGACUAAAAUAGCUCCUCAUACAUUUAUAUGCUCUAAUUUCAUCCUUUAAUUUAAUCUAACCUCAAUUUGACCUCAAAUUUCACAAAUUAUUCAAUUUUGACCCAAAAUACAUUUUUAUGGACAAUUUCGUCUGUCACCGCCGUUGACCACCGGUCUCCGACGUUGACUUUUUUUUUCUUCCAGAUUUUUUCGCCGGUUUCCGCGUUGUUUGUUUUUUUCUUGUGGUAACAUCUUUUUUUUUCGUUUAAACAACAAUAUUGCUAUGAUUGAUAGUAAUAUUAACUAUAUUCCUGUUAAACACAGUAAAAUUAACUAUACUACAGUUUAACACAGUAAUAUUGCUAUAUUAAUCUCUAGCAUAGUAAUAUUAACACAACAAAACUCAUUAUUAUUGUGUAAUAGAGUAAUAUUAAUAUGUUGAUUGUUCAACAAAUGUAAGCAUAAUAAAAAGCCAAAAGAAUUAAUAUUACUGUGAGUUACAGUAAUAUUUCUAUAACAACAGUAAUAUUACCGUAAACCACAGUAAUAUUACAAUAAAUAGACAGUAAUAUUAUUAGGUUACUCCCUGAAUAACUCAAACAAAACAAAAAAAAAUUAUAAUAUUGAAGUGGUUGACAGUAAUAUUAAUAACAACAUUAAUAUUACCGUCAACCACAAAAAUAUUAUUAGGUUACUACGUGAAUAACUCUAACAAAACAAAACAAAAAAACCCUGUGGUUGACAGUAAUAUUAUUGUGUUUACAGUUAUUUUACUGUCAAAGACAAUAAUAUAAUUACGUUGACUUGUCAACAAGUCAAACAAAAUAAAACAAAAAUAACAAAAAUAAAUAAAUAAUAAUAUUGUUAUUGACUCUAAUUGUACUGUCAAUUAAAUUAUUUAUGAUUAAUUAAAUAAUAUUUUGGAUUUAUCUUAAAAAAUGAAAAAAAAAAAUUGGACCUCUCUUAAUUGGACAAUGCAUAUGAGGGGGGUUUGUGAAAUAAUCCCUUAUAAAUAAAUCAAAACUUAAUGUUUAUGAUAAAAUUAGCAUAAAUCCUUUAAACACAAUUUUCAAUUAUAAUUCUAAUUUAACUCUAAUUUCAUCAUUUUUUACAGCAAAAAAAUAUAAUUUUGACCUUUUUUUAAAACUUUCUUUUUUGUGAUUUUUUUUCCAUCGUUAGAGACUUGGCGCUGGCAUUGUUUUUACUUUCUAUUUUAUCUUUCCGCUGCCAGUCUCUUUCAGUGUUGAUUUUUUUUUGCAUCUUUUUUUUAACGCCGCUCACCGUCGCGGUAAUAUUACUAUGGUUGACAGUAAAAUUAUUGUAAACACAAUAGUAUUAAUGUCAACCACAUAAAUAUUGUAAUUUUGUUUUGACUUUUUUAUUUUGUUUGUUUUUUUGACUUGUCCAUGUAAUAAUAUCACUCUGGUUGACAGUAAUAUUACUGUCAACCACAUGAAUAUUAUUUUUACCAAUUUCCGACACUGUGUGUAUAAACUUGUUACCUAAAAGGUCAAACAAGAUUAUUAGUAACGAGUUUUUAACAUUGAACUAAUUUUGAUUGCGCGCUGCAAUCACAUCGUUGCUGCCCAACGGGUUGGCUGAAAGUAAAGAAUCUAAACCUCUAGUUACUAAAAAAAACUUAAAAAUUUAUCCUACAAUUAGGAUUCGAAUAAAAAAACAGUCUAGAUAUGACAAAUGCUAUGCUAGUACUUAGAUUGUUGGUGCCUUUGUGUCAUAAUAAAUGAAGUAUAAUUAUUUAUAUAGCAUAAUAAGAAUAGAAACGUUUAGUUAUCAUAAUAACAUUAAUUUCAACAGUAACAUUAAUUUCUUACUAAUUUUAAUUUCGCAUUAACACUAAAUGUUUUUUACAGUUUUGUUUUUAUUUUUCUAUGUUUCAAUGUAACAUUAAUUUUUGUACAACUUUUUUCCUCUCCUUCCACUAAUGUAAGGCUCAGUUUGGAUUGGAGGAUUUCUAAUGAAUGGAUUUCAAAUCCUCUGGCCUUGAAAUACCUUGUAUUCGAAAUCCAUACAAUUUAAAAUCAGUUGUUUAGAUCAUUUAUACGAAGGAUUUCAAAUAAAUUUACUGUUUGGCUUAAGAUUAGUGGAUUAAAAUUAUUUAAUUAUUUUUACAAACAUUUUCGUAUAAUACAAAUGUGAUGUUGCAAGUAUUGAUUUUCUGAGAAACGCCUGCAAGUUUCAUUAAAUAAUAACACUACCUAAAAAUAGAAAUAAUAUAUAGAUGAUCCAAACGUACAAAUGAAUUGUCUACUUACAGUUUCUACCAGAGCGUACAAAAUGUUGUUGCAAUAGUGCUAUUUGUUUUAUCAUGACAAAGAAUAUGCAAGAAAAGUGUCACAAUUUCUUUUACCGUCACAUUCUUUGUUUAUACCAAUCCAUUAGGCAUUCUAUUAUUUACCCGUAAUUGCUGCAAGCAUGUUGGAUCAUGACAUCAAGAUCUCAUUCAAAGUUUUGUUUUUUAAACUCUUUCGUCAUUUUCACUCAAUAAUAAGUGUUUCGAUAAGUACUUGCCAUGAUGCAAAGCUCCAAUAAUACCAAUUAAAUAGCUGAACAAAGACGUAAUAAUUUUUAUCUUUCUUCAUAUUUUUCUAUUUCCCCUCUUGAACGUUUUCAAUGAACAAUAUCCAUUUAAUCAACAUCCAAAUUUGCUGCAAUUAUUUAGUUAAACAUACAAGUAAUUUAAACUAAGACCUUCUUAGACACAUAAUGAAAUUAACUAUCAAAUAGGGCUGAAUGGGACCUUAACCAAAGAAAAUUGAGAAAUAGGGUUGAUGCUAUAGUUUGACAUUAGGCUUCAAAUCAUGCACUACAAUAGCAUGAAAUCACCAAAUGCACCAUUUAUUUUUUUGUGAAAUUUUAAAAAACAAGAACAAGACAUAUAAAAAUUUACAUAAACAAAUUAAAUAUGAAAACAGAGAAGUGAACUUACCAGUUUUUUGUCGAAAAAACUUCAGUUGCGCCGAAGUUGAGGACCGCCGUCGAGCGCCGCCAUUGAAGACAAAUAUUCCCGAGCUAUAGAAGGUUGAUGAUUGAAGACGAGAGAAAUCCAUAUGGGUUCAUUUGAUGGAAAUGAAUAAGCUAGAUUCGUUAAUCAAGUUCAAAGUAUUGAAGGUUCUAGAAUUAUCUAGAAUUCAUGAAUGUGGAAGAAUACAUGAAUUUGUCUUUCGGAGAGAUUCAUGUAUAAUGCUAUGGAGGAAGAAUAUUAUUAAUUAUGUCCUCAUUUAUUUAUUUAGAUACAUGUUAGGAAAAUCCUAUAAAUAUUCUAUCUAGUUUUUUAUUUGGAGUAUAUCAAAAACAAGAAGAAAUAUUCUAGAGAAAAAAAGAGAGUUCUUGAGUAAGUUUGUAUAUUUGUGAUGAUUGAGUGAGUAAUAUAUUUUUCUCUCCUCUCCACUACUCCUCCACUCUAUUUUAAGUUAUUCCGCUGCGUAUUUAUCACUCAAUAUUUUAAAUCAAUCCAACAAAGUGGCAUCUGAGCCACAUCUUAAUAGAAAAGAGCGAUGGCAACAAGUGGAGCUUUCCCAUUUCAAAAGCUUGCAAAAGAGAACUAUGAUCGAUGGAGCAUACAAAUGAAUUUUUUUCUUGGUGGACAAGACGUUUGGGAAGCCGUUGAAGAAGAAUAUGUUGAGCUGGAGAAUUUGGCUUUGGGAAGCCAAGCCCAAAGGAAGACAUCAAAGAAGCCAAUGUGAAAGAUCAAAGAGCGCAGUUCAUAAUCCAACUCGGUGUAGACAAUAGUAACUUUGAUAAAAUUUCUCAAGCUACUACGGCAAAGCAAGCGUGGGAUAUUCUUAGCGAUGCUUUGAAAGGCAUUGAUAAGGUGAAGAAGGUACAAAUCCAAUCAUUUCGUGGAGAGUUCGAGUCUUUGAAGAUGAAAGACUCCGAAGAAGUUUCCUACUACGUCUCUAGGGUGGUUUUGAUCGUUAACCAACUUGAGAGAAAUGGUGAAAUAAUGGAAGAGAGAAGAGUGGUUGAAAAAUACUCCGAUCCCUUGACCCUAAGUUCGACUACAUCGUCGUGGAAAUUGAAGAGUCAAACGACGUUGAGAAUCUUAAAGUGAACGAUAUAUUUGGCAAGUUACAAGUCCAUGAGGAGAAGAUCAAGAGGCGAAACAAAGAGCCCAAAGUAGAAUAAGCCCUUCAAAAAGGACGAACCUUGGCGACGAACCAAAAUACGAUGGUGCUCAAUUUCGUGGCAGAGGUAGUGGCCGUGGUCGUGGAUGCGGUCGUGGUCAUGGUAGAGGUCGUGAAGGAGAAUUCUCGUACAACAAUGAUAAUACUAAGCAAUAGAAUCGACCAAAAAGACGUCGUGGAAGAGGAGGAUUCAAUCGGCGCCAAGAUAAGAAAGAUGUCGAAUAUUACAGUUGUCACAAAUACGGACACUAUGCUUGGGAGUGUCGAAAUGAGUCAAAUGAUGAAAAGACUCAUUAUGUUGAAGCAACGGAAAAACUCCCAUGGAAGGAGGAAGAAGAUUACCCAAAGCUUUGUUUUAGUUAAUUUCGUAUUUGGACAAGUAAUUGAGUUCAAAUGAGUCCUUGAAACUUUCAAUUUACAUCCCAUGUGAUAUUUUUAUGUGAAAACACGAAAAAAACCCAUUUAUUUUAUCAUGUGUUUCAUGUUUGCGCCUGAAUUUGUGAAGAUUCGCCAUAAUAUUUGCCCUAAGUGGUUAAGUGAAGCAAAAUAACGAAUUUGGGUGUGCAUGUGCAAUUAUUUUUAUUAAGGUGACAAAGUGCAAAAACAGGUAAAGGAUAGGUGGCAAAAUGCUAUUAAACCAAAAAUUUUCAUCUAAUUAUGCUUACACAAAUUGAAGUUCCAUUUGAAAAAAAAACAAAUAGAGCUACAACUUUCGUGUUUGGCGUAUUCGAAGAUAUAAAGUUUAUGGUACAUACAGUUGCAUAUUAUGCUCAAAAUUGUGCCUGGAUUAUGAAUUUCACUACUUACAUAGUUUCGUAUUUCUACCAUAACUAUCUCGUCUAAAGUCCAAGUGCCUUAAUACAAAACGUAUUCAAAAGCCAAAAUAAUAAACCUUCACGAAAUGAAUCAGCAUGGAUUUGGGUUUGCUUUUUACAAAUUUGCAACGCAGCGAAAAGUGCAGGUCAUGUACUUUUGUAAAAGAAAUGAGGGAACACAAAUUUUAUUCAUAAGAUUGUAAGUUAUAACACAACAACAUUCAUGAAUCCCUCAAAUCAUAAAUAAAUAAAAAUAUUCACGAGUCAAAUAUUUUAUUUUCCAAUUCUUGCAAGACAUGUACAUGUCCAGUAGGGCUCCAGCGGAGGGUUCGGAGCACGGCAAUGUCCUCCGGGGCAACGAUAGGGCCCACAAGACACUUUGUUACACGCAAAAGUACAAACUUCUCCGAUGCAUGGUUCCAUUUUGAAAAUUGGUUCACCAUUACAACUUGUACUACACAUUAUUGAAAUCAAACCAUAGACAAGAAAAAGAAUUAAUAGUUGCUUCCUCAUUGCUUCCAUUUUGUAGCAGAGUGUUCAAUAUUAUAACUGUCAUAAUUUGUGCCUUUUUAUAGGGAGAAAAUAUGUAAUGAUUUAAUAAAAUUUCAAUUUUAAUAUUGCUUGGAUUGAAGGUAUAAUAUUGCAGUUACAUGAUACACAAAUAAAAAAUUAGGUAGGGAUUACUUGAAUUGCAUAAAGAAACCAGAAUUCAAACAAAGAUGUAUGCAAUAAUAUAUAUAUUUUCUCCAGAUAUAAAUAUAAGUUACAAAAUCAACGACAAAAGUAAUAAUUAAAUAUAAAUUACUGUAAUAAAAAAAAGGCACUUUACAAAUAAGUCCAUCAAUGAGUACUUAUUCAUAAAGAGAUCAAGACAAUAAACUUUUUUACAAAAAAGUCCACACAUGGUCUAGAGGUUUGUAAAAGACUAAAAUAGCUCCUCAUACAUUUAUAUGCUCUAAUUUCAUCCUUUAAUUUAAUCUAACCUCAAUUUGACCUCAAAUUUCACAAAUUAUUCAAUUUUGACCCAAAAUACAUUUUUAUGGACAAUUUCGUCUGUCACCGCCGUUGACCACCGAUCUCCGACGUUGACUUUUUUUUUCUUCCAGAUUUUUUCGCCGGUUUCCGCGUUGUUUGUUUUUUUCUUGUGGUAACAUCUUUUUUUUUCGUUUAAACAACAAUAUUGCUAUGAUUGAUAGUAAUAUUAACUAUAUUCCUGUUAAACACAGUAAAAUUAACUAUACUACAGUUUAACACAGUAAUAUUGCUAUAUUAAUCUCUAGCAUAGUAAUAUUAACACAACAAAACUCAUUAUUAUUGUGUAAUAGAGUAAUAUUAAUAUGUUGAUUGUUCAACAAAUGUAAGCAUAAUAAAAAGCCAAAAGAAUUAAUAUUACUGUGAGUUACAGUAAUAUUUCUAUAACAACAGUAAUAUUACCGUAAACCACAGUAAUAUUACAAUAAAUAGACAGUAAUAUUAUUAGGUUACUCCCUGAAUAACUCAAACAAAACAAAAAAAAAUUAUAAUAUUGAAGUGGUUGACAGUAAUAUUAAUAACAACAUUAAUAUUACCGUCAACCACAAAAAUAUUAUUAGGUUACUACGUGAAUAACUCAAACAAAACAAAACAAAAAAACCCUGUGGUUGACAGUAAUAUUAUUGUGUUUACAGUUAUUUUACUGUCAAAGACAAUAAUAUAAUUACGUUGACUUGUCAACAAGUCAAACAAAAUAAAACAAAAAUAACAAAAAUAAAUAAAUAAUAAUAUUGUUAUUGACUCUAAUUGUACUGUCAAUUAAAUUAUUUAUGAUUAAUUAAAUAAUAUUUUGGAUUUAUCUUAAAAAAUGAAAAAAAAAAAUUGGACCUCUCUUAAUUGGACAAUGCAUAUGAGGGGGGUUUGUGAAAUAAUCCCUUAUAAAUAAAUCAAAACUUAAUGUUUAUGAUAAAAUUAGCAUAAAUCCUUUAAACACAAUUUUCAAUUAUAAUUCUAAUUUAACUCUAAUUUCAUCAUUUUUUACAACAAAAAAAUAUAAUUUUGACCUUUUUUUAAAACAUUCUUUUUUGUGAUUUUUUUUCCAUCGUUAGAGACUUGGCGCUGGCAUUGUUUUUACUUUCUAUUUUAUCUUUCCGCUGCCAGUCUCUUUCAGUGUUGAUUUUUUUUUGCAUCUUUUUUUUAACGCCGCUCACCGUCGCGGUAAUAUUACUAUGGUUGACAGUAAAAUUAUUGUAAACACAAUAGUAUUAAUGUCAACCACAUAAAUAUUGUAAUUUUGUUUUGACUUUUUUAUUUUGUUUGUUUUUUUGACUUGUCCAUGUAAUAAUAUCACUCUGGUUGACAGUAAUAUUACUGUCAACCACAUGAAUAUUAUUUUUACCAAUUUCCGACACUGUGUGUAUAAACUUGUUACCUAAAAGGUCAAACAAGAUUAUUAGUAACGAGUUUUUAACAUUGAACUAAUUUUGAUUGCGCGCUGCAAUCACAUCGUUGCUGCCCAACGGGUUGGCUGAAAGUAAAGAAUCUAAACCUCUAGUUACUAAAAAAAACUUAAAAAUUUAUCCUACAAUUAGGAUUCGAAUAAAAAAACAGUCUAGAUAUGACAAAUGCUAUGCUAGUACUUAGAUUGUUGGUGCCUUUGUGUCAUAAUAAAUGAAGUAUAAUUAUUUAUAUAGCAUAAUAAGAAUAGAAACGUUUAGUUAUCAUAAUAACAUUAAUUUCAACAGUAACAUUAAUUUCUUACUAAUUUUAAUUUCGCAUUAACACUAAAUGUUUUUUACAGUUUUGUUUUUAUUUUUCUAUGUUUCAAUGUAACAUUAAUUUUUGUACAACUUUUUUCCUCUCCUUCCACUAAUGUAAGGCUCAGUUUGGAUUGGAGGAUUUCUAAUGAAUGGAUUUCAAAUCCUCUGGCCUUGAAAUACCUUGUAUUCGAAAUCCAUACAAUUUAAAAUCAGUUGUUUAGAUCAUUUAUACGAAGGAUUUCAAAUAAAUUUACUGUUUGGCUUAAGAUUAGUGGAUUAAAAUUAUUUAAUUAUUUUUACAAACAUUUUCGUAUUGAUUUUCUGAGAAACGCCUGCAAGUUUCAUUAAAUAAUAACACUACCUAAAAAUAGAAAUAAUAUAUAGAUGAUCCAAACGUACAAAUGAAUUGUCUACUUACAGUUUCUACCAGAGCGUACAAAAUGUUGUUGCAAUAGUGCUAUUUGUUUUAUCAUGACAAAGAAUAUGCAAGAAAAGUGUCACAAUUUCUUUUACCGUCACAUUCUUUGUUUAUACCAAUCCAUUACCCGUAAUUGUUGCAAGCAUGUAGGAUCAUGACAUCGAGAUCUCAUUCAAAGUUUUCUUUUGUAAACUCUUUCGUCAUUUUCACUCAAUAAUAAGUGUUUCGAUAAGUACUUGCCAUGAUGCAAAGCUCCAAUAAUACCAAUUAAAUAGCUGAACAAAGACGUAAUAAUUUUUAUCUUUCUUCAUAUUUUUCUAUUUCCCCUUCUUGAACGUUUUCAAUGAACAAUAUCCAUUUAAUCAACAUCCAAAUUUGCUGCAAUUAUUUAAUUACAAUAGAACAUACAAGUAAUUUAAACUAAGACCGUCUAGUAUUAUUAAUUAUGUGCUCAUUUAUUACAUGUUAGGAAAAUCCUAUAAAUAGUCUAUCUAGUUUUUUAUUUGGAGUAUAUCAAAAAUAAGAAGAAAUAUUCUAGAGAAAAAAAAGAGAGUGUAACAACAAAUUCUUAUCUGCGAUUUAAACAAACAAGAAAAACUUGCACAAAGAUAAUAUAUUGAAUUAAAAUAAAAUAUUGCGGGUUACAAACUCUAAUUUAAUCCUCUGAUUCUUCUCUCAAGAACAAUAUGCGUUUGACUUUGAAUUUCGGAGUCGGGUCGUUGACUUGAUCUUCUCCGGAUUUGAUUUGGAUUUGAAUAACGUCUUCCAAGGGUCUUACGACUUGAAUCUCGGAUCGAACGCUGAACUUUGACAGGUUUUGACUUGAAGAUCUUGGAGUUCUUGAUGGAUUUGGCUCUUCAAUCUUCCUUCGAUCUUGAUUUGUUGGAGAACGCCCUCGAUUUGAUGAAAAACGCCUUGAAUUUGUUGAAGAACGACUUGAAUAUUGUAGAGAGAAUUUUCUCCUACGGUUUUUCUUCUUCUUGAGUUGUCUUUUGAAUUGUGUAGGGAGGGUCCCUAUUUAUAGUGGUAGAAUAAGAGUCUUACAUGAAGUCUUCUUGAUGACGUGGCGCGAUUUGAUUGGCUCUCUUCAAAUUGAUAUUUAUCUCUUAUAACUUGGAAGAGAAGAAACAAUCCUAUUGGUCAAUAAUUAAUUGAUAAUUAUCUCCAUGACUUAUUUUGAAAGAUAAAUCAUAAUCUUGGGAUUCAAUUUAAUAUAAUAUAAAUUAUAUUAAAUUUACGUGUCUACAAAUGCCCCCUCGAGACUUGUUCACGGACAAUGUGUCUUGGAGUGAAUGAGUCUCGAUAAUUGCUUAACUUCUAUUGCAGCUUGAUCUAGCAAAGCACAUACAUCUUUUGAAAUCAUGACUGGACUUAGAGAGAUUCUAAGUUGCCUACGUGCCCUAUAGAGGGAUCAAGUCAUAACGUAGUUCAAAAUAUAUCCUUUUGAGGGAUGUCAUGCACAGUUUACACUCAUGUGGACAAGGAGAAACAUUCAUAGUUUAUGCUCGUAUCGAGGAGCCUUGACUUGAUUUGGAUAUAUAGAUAGUUUAUGCUCGUAUCAAGGAGCCUUGACUUGAUUUGAUUAUGUAGAUAGUUUAUGCUCGUAUCAAGGAGCCUUGACUUUGAUUUGGAUAUAUGGAUAGUUUAUGCUCGUAUCAAGGAGCCUUGGUUUGAUUGGGAUAUGUUGACAUUUUAAACUCGUGUCAAGGAGUACUUCAUUUGAUAUGGACAUGUAGACCUUUUAAACUCGUGUCAAUGAGUACUUUAUUUUAUUUGGACAUGUAGACCUUUUAAACGCGUGUCAAGGAGUACUUCACUUUAUUUGGACAUGUAGACCUUUUAAACUCGUGUCAAGGAGUGCUUCACUGGAGUUGGACAUGUAGACCUUUUAAACUCGUGUCAAGGAGUGUCUGAUUUGGACAUGUAGACCUUCUAAACUCGUGUCAAUGAGUGCUUGAUUUGGACAUGUAGACCUUUUAAACUCGUGUUAAGGAGUGCUUGAUUUGGACAUGUAGACCUUUUAAACUCGUGUCAAGGAGUGCUUCACUUGAUUUGAACUUGUAGACCUUUUAAACUCGUGUCAAGGAGUGUUUCAUUUGAUUUGGACUUGUAGACCUUUUAAACUCGUGUCAAGGAGUGUUUCAUUUGAUUUGUACUUGUAGACCUUUUAAACUCGUGUCAAGGAGUACUUCACUUGAUUUGGACAUGUAGACCUUUUAAACUCGUGUCAAGGAGUGUUUCACUUGAUUUGGACUUGUCAUAUUGCAUAGGGUGUUGGUUCCUCAAAACACUUGCCCCCAUCCUCAUGAUCUUCUUGUUCUUCUUCAACAUGUUCUUCAUUGAGCUGGUACGGAUUUUGGAAUGGUGGUUCUUCAAUUUGAUUUGCAAGUAUGCUCAACUCCAUAUCAUGUGCUCGAGUGGCCAACUCUUCAAAACAUUUAGGUUGAAUUACUUGAAGGAUAUAUCGGAGUCCCCAUUGCAUUCCUUGGAUGCACAGUUCAAUAGCUGAUGUCUCAGACAGUCGAUCCUUACAAUUAAGACUCAAAUUUCUCCAAUGGUUGAUGUAGUGGAUGACAGGUUCCUUCUUCCAUUGGCGGGAAUUGGUGAGCUCAAUCAUGCUAACUGUUCUUCGAGUGCUGUAAAAGCGGUUGAGAAAUUUUUCCUCCAAGUGCUUCCAACUAUCAAUGGAGUUUGCCCCCAAAUCAAUGUACCAAUCAAACGCGUUGUCUUUGAGCUAUCGGACGAAUUGCUUGACGAGGUGAUCUUCGUAUGUCCCGACAUCAUUGCAAGUCUCCACGAAGUGUGCCACAUGUUGUUUGGGGUUGCCUUUGCCGUCAAAUUGUUGAAACUUUGGAGGUAUAUAGCCCAUUGGCAUCCUUAGAUCAUCAAUCAUUUGCGUGUAUGGCUUGAAAUAGGUUGAUGGAGACUUCGAGCUUCCUUCCAACUUGUCUUUGAUGAUUCCACUGAUCAGCGUCAUCACUUGAUCUACAUGAAUCAUCCCUUAUGGAGAAACUUGAAGUUCUUGAGCUGGAGCCUUCUCGUUUUCAACUGGUUGUUGCUUUGUGGAUGUCUCGACUUCGUCUUGAACCUCUAUCUGAUUCUCCACACCUUGACUAGCAUCGGCUUUGUCCAUCUUGUUGAUCAACUCGGCAAUUUGAGAAUCUCGUUGUUGAACAUGCCUUGCGAGUCCCUCAAUGGCCUUUGUCAAACUUGCAAUUUGCUCCUCCAUGGUUGUAGCGUUUGUUGUCAUGACGGAUGCCACCUCUGAGUAGCUUGAUGUUGAACGAGGCGUGGGCUGUGAAAUCUCUCGUUUUGAGCCUUCCACGUUUGCACUUGUAUUGACAAGAGGUGGUAAGCCUUUCUGAAUGGUUUGAGGCGUCGAGUUAGUCUCGGAGUAUGCUUGCAGCUUCUUAGCCAUACUCCUUGUACCCAAGCCCACAAUUGAUGAAUCCGAAGUAGCAAUCUUCAUUGUGAACGUAGAGCAGUCACUGCAACACUUCGAGGAUCUUCGAGAGAGAGAGAAGAGAUGAGAGGUAGAGAUGUCCCACCGGGCAUGCCAAAAUUUGUAACAACAAAUUCUUAUCUGCGAUUUAAACAAACAAGAAAAACUUGCACAAAGAUAAUAUAUUGAAUUAAAAUAAAAUAUUGCGGGUUACAAACUCUAAUUUAAUCCUCUGAUUCUUCUCUCAAGAACAAUAUGCGUUUGACUUUGAAUUUCGGAGUCGGGUCGUUGACUUGAUCUUCUCCGGAUUUGAUUUGGAUUUGAAUAACGUCUUCCAAGGGUCUUACGACUUGAAUCUCGGAUCGAACGCUGAACUUUGACAGGUUUUGACUUGAAGAUCUUGGAGUUCUUGAUGGAUUUGGCCCUUCAAUCUUCCUUCGAUCUUGAUUUGUUGAAGAACGCCCUCGAUUUGAUGAAGAACGCCUUGAAUUUGUUGAAGAACGACUUGAAUAUUGUAAAGAGAAUUUUCUCCUACGGUUUUUCUUCUUCUUGAGUUGUCUUUUGAAUUGUGUAGGGAGGGUCCCUAUUUAUAGUGGUAGAAUAAGAGUCCUACAUAAAGUCUUCUUGAUGACGUGGCGCGAUUUGAUUGGCUCUCUUUAAAUUGAUAUUUAUCUCUUAUAACUUGGAAGAGAAGAAACAAUCCUAUUGGUCAAUAAUUAAUUGAUAAUUAUCUCCAUGACUUAUUUUGCAAGAUAAAUCAUAAUCUUGGGAUUCAAUUUAAUAUAAUAUAAAUUAUAUUAAAUUUACGUGUCUACAGAGAGUUCUUGAGUAAGUUUGUAUAUUUGUGAUGAUUGAGUGAGUAAUAUAUUUUUCUCUCCUCUCCACUACUCCUCCACUAUAUAUUAAGUUAUUCCACUGCGUAUUUAUCACUAAAUAUUUUAAAUCAAUCGAACAAAGUGGCAUCUGAGCCACAUCUUAAUAGAAAAGAGCGAUGGCAACAAGUGGAGCUUUCCCAUUUCAAAAGCUUGCAAAAGAGAACUAUGAUCGAUGGAGCAUACAAAUGAAUUUUUUUCUUGGUGGACAAGACGUUUGGGAAGCCGUUGAAGAAGAAUAUGUUGAACCGGAGAAUUUGGCUUUGUGAAGCCAAGCCCAAAGGAAGACAUCAAAGAAGCCAAUGUGAAAGAUCAAAGAGCGCAGUUCAUAAUCCAAUUUGGUGUAGACAAUAGUAACUUUGAGAAAAUUUCUCAAGCUACUACGGCGAAGCAAGCGUGGGAUAUUCUUAGCGAUGCUUCAAAGGCAUUGAUAAGGUGAAGAAGGUACAAAUCCAAUCAUUUCGUGGAGAGUUCGAGUCUUUGAAGAUGAAAGACUCCGAAGAAGUUUCCGACUACGUCUCUAGGGUGGUUUUUAUCGUUAACCAACUCGAGAGAAAUGGUGAAAUAAUGGAAGAGAGAAGAGUGGUUGCAAAAUACUCCGAUCCCUUGAUCCUAGGUUCGACUACAUCGUCGUGGAAAUUGAAGAGUCAAACGACGUUGAGAAUCUUAAAGUGAACGAUAUAUUUGGCAAGUUACAAGUCCAUGAUGAGAAGAUCAAGAGGCGAAACAAAGAGCCCAAAGUAGAAUAAGCCCUUCAAAAAAGACGAACCUUGGCGAGCAACCAAAAUAUGAUGGUGCUCGAUUUCGUGGCAGAGGUAGUGGUCGUGAUCGUGGACGCGGUCGUGGUCAUGGCAGAGGUCGUGAAGGACGAUUCUCGUACAACAAUGAUAAUACUAAGCAAUGGAAUCGAGCAAAAAGACGUCGUGGAAGAGGAGGAUUCAAUCGGCGUCAAGAUAUGAAAGAUGUCGAAUGUUACAGUUGUCACAAAUACGAACACUAUGGUUGGGAGUGUCGAAAUGAGUCAAAUGAUGAAAAGACUCAUUAUGUUGAAGCAACGGAAAAACUCCCAUGGAAGAAGGAAGAAGAUUACCCAAAGCUUUGUUUUAGUUAAUUUCGUAUUUGGACAAGUAAUUGAGUUCAAAUGAGUCCUUGAAACUUUCAAUUUACAUCCCAUGUGAUAUUUUUAUGUGAAAACACGAAAAAAAAAAACUCAUUUAUUUUAUCAUGUGUUUCAUGCUUGCGCCUGAAUUUGUGAAGAUUCGCCAUAAUAUUUGCCCUAAGUGGUUAAGUGAAGCAAAAUAACGAAUUUGGGAGUGCAUGUUCAAUUAUUUUUAUUAAGGUGACAAAGUGCAAAAAUAGGUAAAGGAUAGGUGGCAAAAUGCUAUUAAACCUAAAUUUUUCAUCUAAUUAUGCUUACACAAAUUGAAGUUCCAUUUGAAAAAAAACAAAUAGAGCUACAACUUUCGUGUUUGGCAUAUUCGAAGAUACAAAGUUUAUGGUACAUACAGUUGCAUAUUAUGCUCACAAUUGUGUCUGGAUUAUGAAUUGCACUAUUUACAUAGUUUCGUAUUUCUACCAUAACUAUCUCGUCUAAAGUCCAAAUUCCUUAAUACAAAACGUAUUCAAAAGCCAAAACAAUAAACCUACACGAAAUGAAUCUGCAUGGAUUUGGGUUUGUUUUUCACAAAUUUGCAACUCAGCGAAAAGUGCAGGUCAUGUACUUUUGUAAAAGAAAUGAGGGAACACAAAUUUUAUUCAUAAGAUUGUAAGUUAGAACACAACAAUAUUCAUGAAUCCCUCAAAUCAUAAAUAAAUAAAAACAUUCACGAAUCAAAUAUUUUAAUUUCCAAUUCUUGCAAGACAUUGACAUGUCCAGUAGGGCUCCAGCGGAGGGUCCGGAGCACGGCAAUGUCCUCCGGGGCAACGAUAGGGCCCACAAGAUACUUUGUUACACGCAAAAGUACAAACUUCCCCGAUGCAUGGUUCCAUUUUGAAACUUGGUUCACCAUUACAACUUUUACUACACAUUAUUGAAAUCAAACCAUAGACAAGAAAAAUAAUUAAUAGUUGCUUUCUCAUUGCUUCCAUUUUGUAGCAGAGUGUUCAAUAUUGUAACUGUCAUAAUUUGUGCCUUUUUAUAGGAGAAAAUAUGUAAUGGUUUAAUAAAAUUUCAGUUUUAAUAUUGCUUGGAUUGAAGGCAUAAUAUUGCAGUUGCAUGAUACAGAUAAAAAAUUAGGUAGGGAUUACUUGAAUUGCAGUAAAGAAACCAGAAUUCAAACAAAGAUGUAUGCAAUAAUAUAUAUUUUCUCUAGAUAUAAAUAUAAGUUACAAAAUCAACGACAAAAGUAAUAAUUAAAUAUAAAUUACUGUAAUAAAAAAAAAGGCACUUUACAAAUAAGUCCAUCAAUGAGUACUUAUUCAUAAAGAGAUUAAGACAGUAAACUUUUUUUUAAAAAAAUGCACACAUGGUCUAGAGGUUUGUAAAAGACUAAAAUAGCCUCUCAUACAUUUAUAUGCUCCAAUUUCAUCCUUUAAUUUAAUCUAACCUCAAUUUGACCCCAAGUUUCACAAAUUAUUCAAUUUUGACCCAAAAUACAUUUUUAUGGACAAUUUCGUCGGUCACCGCCGUUGACCGCCGGUCUCCGACGUUGACUUUUUUUUUCUUCCUGAUUUUUUCGCCGGUUUCCGCGUUGUUUUUUUUUCUUUUGGUAACAUCUUUUUUUUUCGUUUAAACAACAAUAUUGCUAUGAUUGAUAGUAAUAUUAACUAUAUUACUGUUAAACACAGUAAAAUUAACUAUACUACAGUUUAACACAGUAAUAUUGCUAUAUUAAUCUCUAGCAUAGUAAUAUUAACACAACAAAACUCAUUAUUAUUGUAUAAUAAAGUAAUAUUAAAAUGUUGACUGUUCAACAAAUAUAAGCAUAAUAAAAAGGCAAAAGAAUUAAUAUUACUGUGAGUUACAGUAAUAUUUCUAUAACAACAGUAAUAUUACCGUCAACCACAGUAAUAUUACAAUAAUAGACAGUAAUAUUAUUACGUUACUCCGUGAAUAAAACAAAAAAAAAAAAGAGUAAAAAGCAGUUUACCCCCUAAAUUAAAGGUUGUUUUGCACUUUGCCCCCCAAACAAAAAAAAAUUGCACGUUUUUACCUAAACUUGUUAAUUCAUUGCACGGUACCUCCUAAAAGGAAUAUUCCGGCAAUUUUGACCGGGAUGAGAAACCAUGUGCGUUGCACGUGAAAUUUGUAGGGGUAAAUUUGUCCCUUCACUUAUAUCCUAUGUAUUAAUAUAAACUAAUCAUUAAAAAUAAAAUUAAAAAAGAAAAAGAAAAAGUAAGCUGCCACCAUCCCGUUGGCCAUUAAAAAAAACCCCAAACUCUUCCCACACCACCAUUUUUCAUCUAUCUUCAUAGAUCAACUCUGUUUCUUCUUCUUCUCAGGCUACAUCGAAGAAUUCCACAGUUCACACGGGAUUUCAUACCCAUAUUAUAAAAUACAUAAAGUUUAUGAAUCACUCGUAUCUAACUAUUAAAAAGAAGGAAAAAAAAUAAAAAAAGAAUAUUGUCAUCUUCUUCCCUUGGCCGACCCCUGCCUGCAAAUCAUCAUCAUCACCUCCAACUUUCCUACCUUCAUUUCGACCUCUAAACAUUCAUUCCAUGAGUCCUGCUAACCACCACUGCCCGAUUCGUUGGCUUAAUAACCCCCUUCCCUCUCAGCUUCAUCAACGCCGACAAAGCAAUACCUGUGCGCGGGCAGACAAACAUUCCGGUCGAAUCCACCAUUGCCACGGCGUCCAUCAGAGCAUAAACUGCUUUGUCUAUUGAAAAUGGGUCGGAGUUCUUCAGAGCAUAAACUGCUCUGUCGAUUGAAACUGGGUCGUCGAUUUGAAAAGCAGCUGCGAACGCGUCUUUCGCUUUCACCGAAUUCUUCUCACACUGUUUGAUCGACGAGCUCCUAAUUUUUCUCACACUGUUUGAUCGAAUUGCUAGGUAGAUCGGGAGGUUGGUAGGUAGAUCGGCCUGAAUUUCACUUCAAAUGGGGCGAGAUUGCUUAGGGCGAAAAGAGGGAAAUUGGGAGAAUAGGGCUGAUUUUUUGCAAGAUUAUCCCUGCAUAGAAUUGAUUGAAGAUCUUGUUAUCGAUGGAGAUGAAGUUUAAUUGCUCCAUUCGUUAAUGAUCUCUGUUCUUUUGGCAGGGGAAUGGGUUUGGGAGGUUGGUGGGGGAAGAAGAUGAUAAUUUUCUUUUCUUUUUUUAUUUUUUCUUUUUGUUUAUUUUUGUUUUUUAAUGAUUAAUUUAUAGGGGUUAAUAUGUUUAGGUCCCUCCUUCCAAACUUAAUUAGAACUAAAUUACAACCUCAAACUAAUUUUUUUAAAUACACCUCUAUUUUAAAAUAAAAUAUGACCGACAUCCUUUUGUUUUUUUUAAUUCCUAAUUUGCCCUUAUACCCUAAAUAUAACCUCUAUUUUACGGUUCUUCAAACCAGAUCUGAAUUUCUUUUUCAAUUCUCUCUCUUUCUCUCGCUUCUUUACGUUUCUCUCGAUGCUUCCUUUCUCUUUAUCUCUCUCUUUUAUCUCUCUCUCUCUCUCUCUCUCUCUCUCUCUCUCUCUCUCUCUCUCUCUCUCUCUCUCUCUCUCUCUCNNNNNNNNNNNNNNNNNNNNNNNNNNNNNNNNNNNNNNNNNNNNNNNNNNNNNNNNNNNNNNNNNNNNNNNNNNNNNNNNNNNNNNNNNNNNNNNNNNNNNNNNNNNNNNNNNNNNNNNNNNNNNNNNNNNNNNNNNNNNNNNNNNNNNNNNNNNNNNNNNNNNNNNNNNNNNNNNNNNNNNNNNNNNNNNNNNNNNNNNNNNNNNNNNNNNNNNNNNNNNNNNNNNNNNNNNNNNNNNNNNNNNNNNNNNNNNNNNNNNNNNNNNNNNNNNNNNNNNNNNNNNNNNNNNNNNNNNNNUGAUAGUGUCGGUGGUGCUCGACUUUGGGGGGAGGGGGGUGGCGGCGGUUCUGAUUGUUGGUGGUGGCGGCGCUCAGGGCUGGUGAUAGUGUCGUGGUGCUCGACUUUGGGGGGAGGGGGGUGGCAUCUUUAGUGACGUGGUGAUGUUAGAGUCGCAGAUCUAGGGUUUGGUGUAGGAGAUCUACGGUUUGGUGGAGCGAAUCUAAACUUUUUCGAUUUCAUGUCUAUAGAUGUCUAUGAGUAUCUAUGGGUAUCUAUGGUGUCUGGCGACUAGGGUUCAAAGGAAGAAAUAGGGUUUUAAGAAUACGUGACUACGGAUUACUACAGUGUUCUACAAGUGUCUAUACAUGACUCCGGGCUACUACGGUAUCCUACAGAUUUCUAUAGAAGACUAUGGCCGACAAAAAUUAAAAAAAAAAUCAUAAUUUGCAAUAUUAUGUUGAAAAAAUUAGAAAAAAUACGAAAAUGCAAAAAAAAAAAAAAUUGUUCUACGGAAAAAAUAAUAACAAAAAUGAUAGAUGCGAAAAUAAAAAUGUUAAAUGCAGAAUGAUAAAAAUGAUAAAUACAGUUUAAAUAUUACUUGGUGCAUAUUUCAUUUUUUGUAUGUGGGGGCAUUUUUGGAAUGAAAUUUAUAAAGGAUGUCAAGCAAAUGUUUAAUUAGACUUGUCAUUUAGUUCAAAUUAGUUUUGUCACUAGGGACCUAUAUCUUAAAGCCCCUAAUUUAUAUUUAAUAUAUAGAAUUUUAGUGAAUAGACAAAUUUACCCCUGCAAAUCACACGUGCAUCGCACCUGAUAUAACAUUCCGUUCAAAAUUGCCGGAAAAUUGAGUUUAGGGGGCACCGUGCAACGGACUAACGAGUUUAGGUAAACCCGUGUAAAUUUUUUUUGUUUGGGGGGCAAAGUGCAAAACGACCAUUAAUUUAGGGGGCAAACUGCUUUUUACUCAAAAAGAAAACAAAAAAAAUUAGAAUACUGAAGUGGUUGACAGUAAUAUUAAUAACAACAGUAAUUAAUAUUACCGUCAACCACAAAAAUAUUAUUAGGUUACUCCGUGAAUAACUCAAACAAAACAAAACAAAAAAACCCUGUGGUUGACAGUAAUAUUAUUGUGUUUACAGUUAUUUUACUGUCAAAGACAGUAAUAUAAUUACGUUGACUUGUCAACAAAUCAAACAAAAUCAAAAAAAAAUAACAAAAAAAAUAAAUAAUAAUAUUGUCAUUGACUCUAAUUGUACUGUCAACGGCAGUACAAUUACAUAAAUGUAUUGUUAACGGCAGUACAAUUACGUUAAUGUACUGUCAGUGAAAGUAUAAUUACGUUAAUUUACAGUCACUGUCAGUGACAGUAUAACCGUUAAUGACAGCACAAUUACAGUCAACAUUUAGCGUCGAACGUUAAAAAAAUUUAAAUAAAAUAAAAAACAACUAAUAAACACUAAAAAGUCAACGCUAGAGACCGGCGGUGAACGCGGUUCGGAAUCCGGCGGCGGAAAAAAUAGACCAGAAAAUAAAAAAAAAUGAAAAGUCAACGACGAAAUCCGGCAGAAAAAAAACUUUUUGAAAAAAAAAAUCAAAAUUGGAUUUUUGUGGUUAAAAUCGAUUAAAUUGGGGUUACAAUUAAAAAUUCCGUGUAAAGGGUUGUGGGUAAUUUUAUUAUAUACAUAAAUUUUUCUUUUAUAUAUAAUAAAUAUUAAAGGGAUGAAUUUAUUGAUGAAAGAGAUAUAGCCCAUAAACCUAGAUUAAUAAUGAUGUUUGGUUAGGGACUUGUGCACAAAAACCCGAAUAAAAAAUUGACUUAAUAUUUUUAUAAAUUUGAGUUGACUUUGUAUUAUAUGGGACUCUUUGAGUUUUGACUUUUGUGCCAUUUUUCAAUGAAGAAGGGCCCAACCAUAUUUUUAGUAUUAAGUAUAUAUUUAACUCUUAUUUUGUUUCAAAUUUACCCUCUUCUAUAUUGCACAUUGCUUGAUAUGUUUUGUUUUAAUUUUUUUUUUUUCUGUAAAGAACUAUAAAAUUGUGGUAUUCAGCCACAAGCUUACCAAAUAAAAAUCAACUACAAAUUAUUGAAAACGACUACAAAAAUAUAAAAAAUUUAUACAAUGCAACUACAUGUUAAUGAAAUAAACUAAAACGAAAAAAGAAAACACCCAAAUGACUUGUGAAACAAAUGAGCGAAAAGGUAAUUUGACUCGUACAAUGCCGGGGUGGAUAAAAGUUAAUAUUGAAUACAAUUCAAUUUAAUUAGCUGAUGUGUUCAAGAGAAUGUCUAAUGAAGCAGCAUCUUUGGAUAUAUUAAUAAUUUUAUUUGUGCGACAUAUACUUACUGUUAAGAAAAUUAAAUUCAACAAUAUCUCAUAUUCAGUAAAUUAUAAAGCCAACUCAAUUUCCCCCUUUACGAAUUUUUUUACACCCAAAACCAUAUAUCUAAAAAAAUGGAUAAGAACUGAGUAGUUAGUAAUGGGAAACAAAUGGGUGACGCUUAUUUCACCUUAUAAUAAUAAAGAAAAUUAACUUAAUUUUCCAUCAUAAACAUCAUUAGGAAAAUAAUUGUAAAAAAAACGCCAAUAAUUGUGAAACAAAACCAAAAAAUUGCUUACCAGUAUUGACACAAAAACCUAGUUCUGAUAUCUCUAAUAAAUUUUUCUGCAAGGAUUUUAAGUAAUAAAGCAAUGAAAGACAUGAUAUGUGUAUCAAGAAACAAAAUAAAAAUAAAGGGAACAAAUUUACGAUUUUCAAAUCUGUCAAAUAUAUUUAAACUCUUUUAUACUAGUCCUGCAAAUUUUCAGGAAAUCUACUAAUAUAAUGGAUGUAUGCGGAAUUUCAAAAUCAGUUAAUCUAAGUUAAUUAGAAAAUAUGAAAUUUCCUAAUUUUCGAAAAAUCUGCUCAUAUUUAGCAUAUAACGGUUUCAUUUAAUAAAUAAAAUGUAGCCGCAUAACAUGAAAAUCCGUUACCCUCUAAUGUUAAUACUAAAACUAAUAUUAAUUAUAAUAUAUUAAUCAUAAUAUACUAAUACUAAUCCUAACAUACUAAUGCGCGAAUACUAAUGUUAUUAUUAAUAUUAAUGCUACUCCUAAUUUUGUAAUUAAAAGUUAAUGUUAGUGUUAGUGUUAGUGUAAGUGUUAAUAUUAAUAUUAGUAUUAGUAUUAGUAUGUUGUGAUAUUAAUAAUUUAAUGUAAGGAAUAUAAAAUAGUUUUAACUUUUAUUUAUUUAAUAGACUAUUGAAGUUUACCUUUUAAUUACAAUUAAUAAUAUGAAAAUAUUUUUUUAAAUUAAUUUAAUAGUAAUUGAUAAAAUUUAUUUUGUAAUAUUAAUAUUUUAAAUAUAUAAUAGUAAAAUUUAAUUUUUGCUUUUAGUAUAAUAAGUUUUAAACUUUUGGUAUAAUUGAUAUUAAAAAAUAAAGUAAUUAAUUAUUUAAUAUAAUUGCAAAAAUAUGACCACAAAUUAAAGUACAAGAUUGUACAAAUUUUAAUAUUUUAUUGGUUUGUUGUAAUUUACAUUGACAUGUCAAAUAUGAGAAGCAAACCAUAUGAUAAUGUUUUAUUGGCUUGUUGGAAUUAUAUUUUUGCUCAGGAAGAUUGUACGUUAAAAGAAUGUAAAUCAUUUUACACCCUUGUAAAUACUCUAAAGAAGAUGAAAGGGUAAAUUACUCUACCCGUUCCAUAAUAUCUGUUGGGCGGCCGCUAUAUGCAAGUCCAUUUUUUUAUUAGUUGAAACCCACAUAAAGGAGUUUAUUAGUUCAAGCCCGUAAAAUAGAUUAAUUUUAUUACAUCAAGACCAAUGAGGACGAAUAUACCGUUAUCAAUAAAUAAUACAAAAAUACAAACAAAAUCUAUUUUUAAUUUGUUCAAGACCAAAAAAAAAAAAGUAAGAAAAAAACAAAAAAAAAAAAAAUAGAAAAAACUCACAACUGCCGCCGCCAGACCGCUGGGACACCGACCAGCGAGACUUCCACCGCGUUGACGACGACCAGCGACCCACCCACCGCAUCACCUCCACCGUACCAUCACCACCACCCCACCACCACCAACAAGUCCUUUUUAACUAAACUUUUGUUUGUCAAUUCCAAAACAUUAAUCGAACAUCGAUUCUUGAUAAAUACGCGUGGAUGAACAUUAACCUAUGCUUACUUCUUGUUGAGUUGCAAUGCUUUAGCCGAUUUUGGAAAAAAAAUUGAGAUUGAAAUUGAUUUUUUGUGUGUUUUCGUUGGUUUCCCAAAUCGGUUUAUCCAGACCGAUUUUGUACACGAAAAUCGGCGUCACAAUGCCGAUUUUUGUUAACCAAAUUGGCGACACAACGUCGACUUUACAAGUCAAAAUCGGCGUUGUAAUGCCGAUUUUUUUUAAUGAUUUAUGUUUUUUAUUUGGUUUUGAAUUUCAUUAAGGGUAAAUUAGUAUUUUUAUGUUGGAGGUCUUGAACUAAUAAAAAAAUGGGCUUGCAUAUAUCCGCCGCCUAUCUGUCGCUUUGAAGAAUUCUUUUUGUUCCAUAUUAUCUAUCAGUUUAAAUUUCCAACACUUCAUUAAUUACUUAAUUUACAAUUUAUACCCUAAUUAACUCUUUCCAAUACCCUUUUUUUUAACUAAUUUCUCUCUCUUAUUAAUUAUAACACAAGGUCAUUUUAGUCUAAAAACAUACAGUUUCCUAAAAUCAAGAUACAUAUUAAUCAUAAUAUACUAAUACUAAUCCUAAUAUACUAAUGCGAAUACUAAUGUUAUUAUUAAUAUUAAUCCUACUCCUAAUUUUAUAAUUAAAAGUUAGUGUUAGUGUUAGUGUUAAUAUUAAUAUUAGUAUUAGUACGUUGUGAUAUUAAUAAUUUAAUUUAAGAAAUAUAAAAUAGUUUUAACUUUUAUUUAUUUAAUAGUAAUAGACUAUUGAAGUUUACCUUUUAAUUACAAUUAAUAAUAUAAAAAAAAAAUUUAAAAUUAAUUUAAUUGUAAUUGAUAAAAUUUAUUUUUUAAUAUUAAAAUUUUAAAUACAUAAUAGUAAAAUUUAUUUUUUGCUUUUAGUAUAAUAAGUUUUAAACUUUUGUAUAAUUAAUAUUAAAUAUAAAUAAAGUAGUUAAUAAUUUAAUAUAAUUGCAAAAAUAUGACAAUCCUUUAGAUUAAAACAUAUGAUAUUUCAAUGCAAAACUGCAAAACCUCUAAUCAUCCCAACAAUCCUUUUGGUUUUAUGUUUGAAGUAAUUAAUCCUGAAUUCGGCCAGCUAAAAUUUUUUAUUUCUCAACAGUUAAAUAAUAAAUUAAAAAAAAAUAAAAAUAAAAAAUAAAAAAAGAGUUAGUUUACGAAUACCUUACUUAACAUGUGUGCUGUCAGGUGUGUGCACAAACUAUUAUUAUUGUCCACUCAAAUUUCCCCAAUAAGAUGACAAAUUUGUCUUACGUUCAUAUCCAUAAUCUGGCAAUCCGGGUGUUUGCAAAUGCUUAUUUAAAAACAGAUAUUAGUGAUUGUGAGUUAAGUUGAUUUUAAGUUUUUAAUUCUAAGGUGGUGUUAGCAAAUGUUUUUUGAAAGUGAUUAUGUUCUUUUUUUUGCUUAUAAUCUGUUUGCAGGUGUUUGCAAAAUCAACUUUUGCUUUUGCUUAUCUUAAAAUAAUUUGUUUUAAGCUAUUUUUUUAAAAGCACCCAUAAUCCUGCUUUUUCUAUUUAAGUUUAUUUUCCGGAAUAAUUGCAAACACCCCUAACUUUUAGAAAUAAGCACUUAAAAUUGGCUUAACCCACAAUCACUAAAUUCUGCUUUUAAAUAAUCAUUUGCAAACACCACCUAAUAGUUGGGGGUGUUUGCAAAUAUUUCGGGAAAUGAACUUAAAUAGAAAAAACAUGCUUAUAGGUGCUUUUAAAAAAUAGCUUAAGUCAGAUUAUUUUGAGAGAAACAAAAACAAAAGUUGAUUUUGCAAACACUUGAAAACAGAUUAUGAGCAAAAACAAGCUCAUAAUCACUUUCAAAAAGUUUUUGCAAACAGUACCUAAGUCAUCCUAAUAAGAGAUUAUAUGUAUAUAAAUCAACUAAUAAGAUCCAAUUUUCAGUAAAUUUAUUAAUUUUUUAUGUGUCAAAAAUACUAUGAUAUAUGGAAAUAUAAAUUGUCAAAAUAAAUUCUCAUAUUUUAAUCCCCUUUCAUUUGACCCAUUUGUUACCAAAUCUGACCACCGUUCCGGAAAAAUCCCAAAUUGCAAAUUCCAGAGCUCUGAAAAAAUAGAUUUCUUCAAUACCAAAGCCUAUACAAGAAUUGCAUCGCGCCUGCCAUAGUUUAAGUCUUCGAAGCAUUCGCAAUUAACCAAAUUCCGUUUGCUAUCUGAUUUGUGGAACCAGUUUGCCAUUUUUCGUUUGCUAGUUGGAGAUCGAUUGAUGUUUGAAGACAUCGUCUGUUGUUUAUCGUUUGUUGUUUCUGAUUUCUACAAUGGUUCAAAUGCGAUUUACUUUUGGUAAUCAACACUCUUAUUACCUACAACGGCUAAUUAACAAGCGACGAUGGUUAAAAUUGGAGUCAAAAUUGUAAUAAAUUAAAUAAUAAAUGAAAUUUGAGGUCAAAUUAAUAUUAAAUUAUAUUAAAAGUAUAAAAUUAGGACAUAUUAAAAUGCGAGAAAGUAUUUUAGCCUUUUUAUCAAAAUUAAAUAAUUAAUAAAAUUUGGGGUCAAAGUAAUAUUAUAUUAUAUUAAAAGUAUAAAAUUAGGACAUAUUAAAAUGCGAGAGCGACCAACCCUCAUUAGAAGAGUUGGUACCUAGCCUUUACCAAUAGGAUAACGGUUUAGGGUUCGAGUCUCCCCUCCCCUACUUCCCCUUGUAAUGGACUUGAAUUUAGUAUUAGCCUUUUAUAUGCAUCUAAACUUAUUUGCAAUAUCCCCGUAUAAAAAUAUAAGAGUUAGGAAUAUCUUACCUUAACCUGUGUGCAUCUAUCAUAUAUAUCUGACCCUGACAGUAAACAAAGUACCAAACUAUUGUCCACUCAAAUUUGUCUUACGUUUAUAUCCGCAAUCGUCAUCUCAAACAUCAUACUUUCUAAACUGUAUUCAUCUAUGUAUACAAACUCGUCUUUUAUACUUAUUACUCCGUAAAAUUAAACUAAAAAAAUUAGGGUAAAUUACAAUCAAAUCUGAGGUAUAGUUAAUUUACGAAAAAAAAAAAUUUUUUCUGGAUAAUUACAUAUACCCACCCCUUCAAUUAUAAUUUUUUUUUUCUUACACAUCCACUAUUAUGGUGUCGAACUCAACAUAAUUAUGUAGAUUUCGUGGAAUAUGCUCUAGUUUGGGAUGUAGAUUUCGUGUAUUAGUUUUGUGUAAAAAUACAGUUUCUGAUGCACCAUAAUCUGAUAUAUGCAAGCAACAAAACACAUAUUAUGAUCAUCUUGCUUCAAAAUGUGGGAUUCGAAUGGGAUAAAACAAGUAUAAAAGUGAUAAUAUUCCAUAUAAUCUAGAAGAUUUCACAAAAUUUAAAACCGCAAGGAUGAACGUGUAAGAAGAAUUAUAGUUGACGGUGGUUGUAAUUACCUAAAUAGGAUGGGUGUUUCGUAAUUUACCCAAAACAUCAAUCAAGAGAAUCAGAACCACAAACUUCCACACUUCCUUUCUAUAUAUAUAGCAAUUAGCAUAGUCAUUCUGCAAUCCUCAUCUCUCUCUCACACUCACAACACCAAUCUCUCUCUUUCUUUCUCUCUCACACUCAUGCACAUAAAUUCACAUGUGUGCGCAUUGAGUGAAUGUGGUUUGAUGCGUGGUUGUACAGUGGUGAAUGUGGGCAAUGUAAAUGUUUCUUUCUAUUUACGUAAUUCUCGUAAUUGUUUUUUGUAUUGGAUUAUGUUAAUAUUUUAGUGGAUUUCGAUAUUUUUGUAGUGUGCAGCGAUGCGAUUGUAGUGGAUUGAUCAAUUUUUUAAUGAAUUAAAUUUACACAUUGUUGUCUUCUUUUUCUUCGGUUCAUGUCCUUAGCAGGCGGACGCCGCCAUUUGUUAGCACCCCAUGACGACGGAGGCCUUGCAUCAGAAAUAAUUGCGGCGGUCGGAGGAGGAAUCGUGGUAGGUGGUGGCGCGGAUGACUUGCUGCUUGAAUAUCUUUCCUUAACUGUUUUUUUUUUUUUUUUCUAUAAUGGAUUUUGGAGUAUACUUGUUCACAUAUGCUUGACACAGAGUGGUUUUCAAAUAUUUUGUGGCUGGAAAGGUGGAGUGGUUUUCAAAUAUUUUGUGGAUGGAAAGGUGGAGUGGUUUUCAAUAAUUAUUUACAGAUUUUUUAUAGUGGUUUUCAAUAAUUAUGUACAAAUUUUUAUAGUGGUUUUCAAUAUUUUACAUAAACCACAAUAAAAAUCUCUAUAAAAAUUAUAGUUGUUUUCAAUAAUUAUUGUACAUAUUUGUAUAUAACUGUAUAUACAGAGUGGUUUUUAUGUUGACAUAGUUAUUAUAUUUAGUGGUUUUCAAGUUUACAUAGUUGUUAUACAUAGUGGUUUUCAUGUUAUAUAGUUGUUAUAUAUAGUGGUUUUAUUGUUUAUAUAGUUGUUUAUACAGAGUGGUUUUCAUGUUUAUAUAGAGUGGUUUUUAUUUAAAAAAACUAGAAAGAAAAAAAAACCAUUUAAAAAUUCAAAAUUAAGAAAAAAGAAAAACCAUGAAAAAACAAAAAUAAAAAUAAAACCAUUUUUCUAAAUAAAAAUUAAAAAACAUGAAAAAUAUAAAUAAGAAGAAAAUAAUUUAAAAUAAAAAAUUGAAAAUAAAAUAAUACAAAAUUUUCUUUCAAAUUGAAAUAAAGAAAACUAUUAAACAAAAAAAAAAAGAAAAGGAAAAAAAAAAAAACUGAACUGGCGUGAUGAGGGGAAUAAUUUUUGGAGAAGAUUUGGGUGUAGAUUAUGGUAUAAGUUUUUUAAAAUUAAAUAAUUACACUAAUUAAUAAUUAGUGGGGGCAUAUAUAGUUUUUCAGGCCCAUUGGAUUUAUCUUAAAUGUUAUUUAUAAAUAAAGAAUUUAUUAAGAAUUAAAAUCCCAGUGAAGGAUGUUUGGCAUAUAACCCCUAGUUUUUUUAAGUAUAUCAAAAUUUGUAUUGUUUUUUGUAUAUAUUACACCUAGGGGUGAAAACAAUCGAGAAGAGUCGAGUCGACACGAACAACUGGUUGUGAUCAAGCUCUUGUGCAUUUAUAUCGAGUUUUGUGUUUGAGCUUGAUUUGGUAAGCAAUCGAGAAACUCAACACACCCCCAAACUUGAACUUUUGUUUCUCCUCAAGCAAUAAUACCAUCUUGCAAAGCAACAAAAUCAAUAAAUGAAUCAUCUCAUCACAUAGAUUAAAAAUUUACAAGCUUAAAAUUGUUAUGGGACUUCUCAAAAAUUUACAAGCUUAAAAUUCAACGAUAGUUAACUGAUCACCAUUGCCAAGAACCAAAAAUCAUGUUAUCGCUUCAAGCAUCAAGUAUUUGUAAUCUAAAAAUAGAUAAAAUUUAUAGUUACAGAGUAAUAUUAGACUACAAAGACUCACCGAAUUUCUCUACUCUCGAAUAAUUGAGCUAUUUGGAUCAUUGGGACUUUUUGACUUUCAAUUGUUGGGCUAUUUGGUGCAAGGUAGAAAAUAUGGGUAUAUAAGUGGCUACUCUUCUCCUUUCAAUUCUCAUUAUUGAAUAAAGAGUUGCACUGAGCAAGAUGCUUUUUUUUUUCUUCUUAGAUCGAGGUUUUUUCGCCGAGAUUUGAACAUUUGACUUUUUGGAAUAGCUUAUUCACCUCUAAUGACUUAUUAUCCUACUCGAUUCUCAAGAGUUCAAAAGUUUCCACUUUUGCUCUUGAGGUAUGGUUCCAGUUUUUAUUCGAAUAUUUGCCCAUGUCCUCCUUUAUCCUUCUAGUUCUCUUCUUCUUCGUUCUUUUUCUGAGAAAAAGAAAAACGUAACAAAUUUUCCAGCCAAACUCCAAGGGAGUUUUUUCAAGAAUCACCAUCCACUCUACCUAACACGGAUUGGCUAAAAGAAAGAACUCCUUUUAUUUGAGGCCCAAAUCAAGGUUCUAAGAAUAAUUUCGAUAAAAAGGUCGCUUGAAAGGCUUAGAUGGGUCAAAUAAAGCACAAAUCAUAUCCCAAAUCACUCAACGGCUCAAUACUUCACUUUGAAAAUUCCUAAGGUGAGUUCUAAGGCUGAACAUCAUAUGAUAUAUCAUAAAUUAACUCCACGUUUGAAAAAUAAAAUUUUCAACAAAAGCAACACAUAAUUCAUGAUUCUCAAUAAUGACUCACUCCUAAAUUACUUUGAAUCAAAAACUCGCCAAAAUUCAAGUAUAACUACAACAAAGCAAGUAAUAUCAUCAUCAAACAUUGGCCAUCAUUCUUCAUCAUAAUUCAUCGAUGCAUUCAAAUCAAACAUUUUUUUUAAAGAAAACAAUAAAUAUCUGAAAACGAAUAAAAAGAAAAAAAAUCCUAAAACAUGCAAUCUAAAACGUAUAAAGCACAUAAAAAGUGGUUUUCAAAAAUAUCCUAAAGCAUGCAAUCUAAAACAUAUAAAGCACAUAAAAAGUAUUUUUCCACCCCCAAACUUAAAGUUUUGCAUUGUCCUGAAUGUAAUUAAAAUGAACUUUAAGGAUAGAAUACACCUUGAUUAGUCGGAACGUCCUCCACGCGUUGCACUCCUCCAUCUCUUAGCUUCAUCUUUCAAGCAAACUUUUUUUUUACAAUUUUUCGAAAAACAAAUAAAUAAAAAAUUCUCCAGGGGUGUUCUGGACGGCCAUCUCACCUUUUGCACUGUUUUGAGACGACCGGUUUAAUUUCCGAACAUUCACAACUUGUCGUAACUUCUUCGGACGACCGUCUAGAGUUUUGGCUUGCUUUCGGACGGCCGUCUGGGCUUUUUGUGUUCGUUUUUUGACCUAAAAAUUCUAACAUGAUUAAAUUAUUAGAUUGCAAGCUUAUAUAUAUUCUAGGAAAAUUUAAAAAAAAAAGAAGAAAAAAAUCUAAAAAUAUGAGAAAAAAAACGAAAAAAACAAUAACUGCUCGGGUUGCCUCCCGGCAAACGCUAAAUUUUAAGUCUUCAGCAAACUUUGCUUCUUAAAACUGUUAUGUCCAAUCCAAAUCCUUGUAAAUUGUGCAUCCAUCAAUGGGCUCUACAACUUCAAUUGCAACCAGGGCAUGGAUAGCAUAGCAAUAGGUCACAGGGUCCACCUUAGCUUGUAGUCUUUUUUUGAUGUAAUCAAUUGGUACGAAGCCAAGAUGGGAUGUUCAUCAGUCGCUCCCUCGAAUCGGUACACAAAAACCUCAAGUCUGCUUAUAACAUCCACCUCAAACGCGUUCGCCUUCUCAUCAACCACUAUUGAUGCCUUCAAUAUCACAUCAGGUACAACGAUAAGAUCUUCAAUUUGAAUAUUUGCACUAACCACAUCCAUCUCCUUCUUCUCUUGUUCCGAGACAUCUAUGGAGUUUAGCUCGAUUGCAUUCUCAGAUUCAUCAUCUUUAAGCGUUCUCAUAAUUUAUUUUUCCCUCUCAUCAACAUUAUUUUCUAGGUCUGAAGAAUUUUUCUCACUACAAUUUUCAGACGAAUUUUCUUUGUUGCAACUAUUCUCGAUAUCGUCUGGAAUAUUUUCAUGAGACCUCUGGAACUUGAUCUCUUCCAACUGUAUCUCCAGUCUUUGGAUAGAUACUUGAGUGGAUUUCCUAAAAUCUUCAAGGAUGGAUUUCAAAUAAUACUCCUGAAUACUGGGUUCUCGUGGCCUUGCAUAAUAGGUUUUAAAAUCAUCACAUUGCGGCUCCCGAUGUUGAAAAUCAUUGAAAGCUUGGCUAGGAACGUUCUGUACGUACGUGUUGGUGUAUGUGUUCCAAUAACAUAUGUUGGUAGUAUCGAAGAAAUUAUUCGCUUUCGGUGCUUCCCAACAUUGGUUAGUGUAAUGAUUUCUUCCACAUGUUGAACCAAAUAGCGGCAUAUCAUAGGUGUUUUGGAGGUAUUCGCGAGAUGGAAUUCGUAUCCCGUUUGAGGUGCGCGAAAAUUGUAACAUGACAUGUAGCAAAAGAAGAAAAAUAAUUAAAUAAAAAUAAAACAAAUAAAAAAUUAAAAUUAAAAUUAAUUUGGAUGAAUCGAGAGCGUUGUUCGAAUCUAGAGUCAGAAUAAAUAGACAAUGUAUUAUAUGGCUUCGUCAUCUAGAUGAUUUCCUUCAGAUGAAUUUGAAUACAUUAAAUCAUCUUGGGAUAAUUUUAGUAUAUGAGAAACAACCGCAUCAGCGACAAUAUAUCUAUCGUGAUCGCGAAGAAAGUCAGAAACUAUUACGGAAAUAUUAUUUUUCUGAAAAUUGUACUUUCCAUUUUCUUAUGUUCGCAGGCGUUUUAGGAUGCGCAGGGAGUUGUUUUUUUAUAUUCAAAAUGAUCUUUAAAAUUAUAACACAUACUUCAUCCGAAAGAGAGAUGCACGUGGUCGUCUUGGCUUAUCAUCUAUUCAAAAAAUAACUACUGCAACUCUGCUUCUUGCUUAUGGGGCAUCUGCUGAUUUUUACAAUCAAUAUUAAAAGAUCGGGGAGGCAACAGGUAACGAAAAUUUAACAGAGUUUUGUUCGUCGAUAAUCGAACUAUAUGGAGAACAAUACUUGCGUUCACCAAAUGAACAUGAUAUUCACCGUCUUCUACAAGAAGGUGAAUCAUGAGGUUUUUUCCAGUUAUGAUUGGGUCUUUAGAUUUUAUGCACUGGCAAUGAAAAAAUUGUCCAACUGCUUGGCAAGGCACACACAGGGGUCACCACCACAAACCAACAUUAAUUUUAGAAGUAGAUGCAUACCAUGAUACAUGUAUUUGACAUUUUUUUUUGGCAUGUCAGGUGGAAAUAAUGAUAUUAAUGUCUUGGAACAUUCUCCACUUUUUGAUAAUAUGAUACAUGGUAGAAUGCCUCCAGUUCCUUAUACGGUGAACGGUCGUUCAUAUAUGAUGGGUUAUUACUUAACUGAUGGUAUUUACGUAAAAUAUGCAACUCUUACUCAAAUCAUUGCUCAUCCCACCACUGCAAAAGAAAAAUUAUUUGCGGCAAAACAAUAAUCAGUUAGAAAAUGUGGAGUGAGCAUUUGGUGUUUUACAAAGUAGAUGGGAUAUAACGCAAGGACUCAUCCGUUAUUGGUCAAAAGAAGAUAUAUGUAACAUAAAGAAAACAUGCAUUAUCCUUCAUAACGUCAUUAUAGAAGGUGAACGUGAAAUUGACAUUGAACCAUGGAUGCUACUACCAGAAGAGAAUUUUCGCCCCCAUCAAUGUGAACGAGAUCCAUCAAUUUUGGAGGCACAUAUCUCAGCACGCCUUAGUCGGAUCCACAAUCGACGAAUCGAUGAAAAUUUGAGAUAUGAUCUAUUGAACCAUUUGUGGAAUAUCUACGGAGAAGAAGAUGUCUAAAUAAUCUAUUGCUUUUGAGUAUUUUUAAUUGUAUUUUUGAUUUAUUGUUCUUUUAUUUUCACUUGAAGAAUUAUAUUUUAUAAUGUAAUCGAAUUUAGUAAAAUUAAAUUACUACAAAAAUUAUUGUGACAUUUCUUUUAAUUAAAGUGAUGAAUACGAGAGACAAAUGUGGAGCAAUCAAUAGGAAUUCACAUUGUUAUUCAUCUUGAGCAUAAAAAAAUGUAACAUCUCUUUUACUAUUAGACUUAAAUUAAUAAUAUUUAAGAAAAAAAGAUCAAAAUAAAUGUUUCGUGUAUUAUAUUUUAUAAGGGAUUAUUUUAGAGACCCACCUAAUUUCCAAAUUAUAUCUAACUAACUACCAUGCGGAUUCCACCCUAUGGCUAUCCCCCUAAUUUAGAAAAUAAUUUGACAGACCCCCCUGGGCAUACAUGAAGUACCUAAACUGCCCUUAGUAGCCCUUUUCCUAAACGCGGACGUUGCCAUGUAUACAUGAUCACAGCGUUUUAAAUCCAUGUGAAUGCGGAAAACGUGCGACGUAUCAGGGAACCUGAUUUUUCUUCGGGAUUUCGUGAGAUAUUCGUUAUGUUUCAAACCUUUCGAUUUUCGUAUUCGGUGUAAUUUGUGGUUCUCUGUAUCAUUCGUUUUCGAAUACGUUGACGUCAUCUCUGUAAGUGUUUUUAAAAUUUGAACACAUCAGAAUUAAUUGUCGACGAAUAUUUAUGUAUUAUGUAAAUUAUUUAUAAUUUUUGUAGAUCUUGCGUUUCUUUUUGUUUUUGUCUUUAUAUGUGUUUAUGGAGUGAUCCUGUGUUCAUGUAUUCUCUGUUUUUGUGUUUUUCAUUUGGUAGUUACAUGUAGUAAUGUUUAUCAGAUUUCGCGUAUGUAGAGUUCGUUGGCAAUGUGUAUCCAUAUGUAAGAUAUAUUUGUAAGACCAGUUAUAGUUUAGUACUAGUUUUAUAUGAUUUUGUUGGUUUUUGUGUUUGAGGUGGUGUGAAAGAGUUCAUACAGUGUGUUUGCGUUCAUGCAGGCCGAAGAAUAAAAGAAUUCCAUUUGUUCGGGAAAACAUAUCAAGGAAGAUGAAGUGUAGCAUGUGUAAUCACAUUGGCACCCACAACAAGAGACCUUGUAUUAGGAGCAUGACUUAGAAUUUUAACAUUUUUCUGAAUUUAUUUUGCUGGAUUGUUUUUUAUUGUUUGUUGACGUUUGAAAUUGAACUAAUUACAAAUUGUUGUUGGUUUUGCAUUCGUUGAUGUGUUUUCCUAUUUGUUGAUGGUGUGUCAAACUAGUUCAAUGUGUAUUGCGCGUGUGCACAACAUCACUCGGUCCACAAUUAUGUGUAGUUACGUAUAGUUGUAUGUAGUGAUAUUGUGCUGAAAAGCAUAUAAUCCGACUCUAAGUAUGAAUAGGAUGACUUGAAACGAUUACUUUGGAAAUAAGCAUCUAUAUCUACGUUAAAAUUGAAGUUUUGGGUAUGUUUUAGCUGUUUAUUCGUGUAUGAAAUUGCAUGUGUUGUAAAUAUAAACAAGUAUUUUUCUAUAUUUGUAGUUAUAGUUACAUGUAGUUAUAUUAUUGUUGUUGUCUUCAAGUCUCAGUUUAUAUGUAGGUUUAUCAGUUGCAAAUUCUCAUGAGCUAAUUGAUUGUUUCUGGGGAAAAUAUUUGGGACAAUGGGAUGAAACUUUUAAUUAUAAUAAAAGCAUAAUACAGAGAAGUGCAAUAUCUAAAGCAAAACAUUAUCGAAAAUAACAAAAUAAGUUUAAUCCCAAGAGUCUACAGAUUCCCAAUCGUGCUCGCCCGUCUCUUCAUCUUCCAGACAGUAGUCUGAAGACGAUUCAUCAGAAACACAGAACACAGAAACGGAAAAAAAAUCGAGAAAUAGUGCCAAUACCCAUUUACAGAGUUUUUUGUAAAAAGUACAUGUUUUCUUCAUAGCUUUUGCCUUUUUCACCAUUGUUCUGGUUUUCGGGGAGAAACUUUAAAACGACGGCGAAGAAACGAGUAGUUUUGUUGUCCGUCGGAGGUGAAAGACGGUGGGUUUUGAGGUCGGCGGUUUCCAUAGGCGGUGGUAGGUUGGAGACGACAAUCUUCUCUGCUGAUAUGUUGCGUGUAAUUUAGAUUUUUGGGGAAAUGCGCGGUUAUAUGGGGAUUUGAUUUUGUUGAUUUAUUUAUUUAUUCCCCAACAUAUUUAUUCCCUAACUCCAGGGGGUAUAUCAAAGGAAGAUUUUUCAUUGGGUUUAUCCCUAGUUAAUUUGCCUCUUCGGGGGUAUGUAAAAUAAGCCCAUUUUAUAAUUGAACUUAUUAAAAUUUAAAUAUAAGUUUUUUUUAUCGAUACAUCUAAAUGUAUAAUUUCUUUUACUAUUAAUAUUAAAGCCAAUGAAAUUUAAUAUUGUAAUCCGUAAAAACAUAUAAUACAAUCAAAUAAUAAAAUAGAAUUAAACAUUACUUAUUUUAUAAUGUUUAAUUAUUUUAUUAUUUGAUUAUAUUUAUAUAUAUAUAUAAUCAAAUAAUAAAAUAAUUAAACAUUAUAAAACAAAACAGAAAAAAAAACAAAAAAAGAAAAAGAAAAAGAAAAAGAGGAAAACAUACACGGAUACACGGCACACACUUCAAUGGAUGGCAAUUAAAAUAAUGAACAUGGCCCAUAUUUAUCCUCUCCGAACAUUUCUUAAUUGUAGGGAAUAAAUUAAAGAGUCCCAGCCUAGGUGAAGUAGAAGGUGAGGGAGCCAUUUAAUUCUUCUUCUUGGGAUUUUUUGCAGAGGCUAAUUUUCUUUAUUAUUUGAAAAAACUUGACGAAGGAGGAUGGUUGAGAGGUGGUUAAAGGCAGCGGCAGGUGGUGGAGGAAAUGGCGGGAAGAGGCACUACAACAAAAUGAAGAUAAUGGGACACUUGAUUAGAGACGUUUUCUUAUAAAUGUCCCAAAGAUAAAUUAUUAGGACACUUAUAAUUUGUGCUUCAAUUACUAAACAUAUAGGGACACUUAAUUAUCAAAUAAUUUAGCAUAUUUUUAUAUAAGUUAAUUUUUGAUUCUUUUUAGCCCACCUCACCUUUCACUUUCUCCAAUCGUAUCUUUUAUUUUAUUUUCUUUCACUUCUUCUCCCAAUUUUUCUAAUCUAUAAUCUAGGGUUUAUAUUGACUAAUAUUUUUCAUUUCUUUUUCUCGAUUCGACAGUAGCAGAUUUUCUUUCUCAUUGUAGAAGAUCUAAAUGGUUAAAGUUUCUUUGAAAUCGUGAAAGCGGCUAAUAGUUUUCUUGUCUGUAGUCUCAAAUCGACGGCCGAAGAUGCUUAAUGUCAUCAAUUAAUCGACGGCGGUAAGACGAGCUAGGGCAACGACGAUGAAGGAUUAAUUGAUGAGUUGGGGCACAACGAUGAAAGGUAUUUCGUUUUUUUCUUUUUGGGAGUGGUAAUAACAGACUCUAUAGAGUUUUGCGGUGAAUCAAUUCAAUAUAGAAGUGCAAUUUUAAUUGUUCAUUGUUCAAACUUGAUGAGCUAUACUUAUGAUUUUUGCAUUUGGGUUAAUGAUUUUAGUCAUGGAUUAUUCGAUUAGGUAUAUAUGCAACUGGUAAAAUUUUGGUACCGCUAAUUUACAAAAUAGUCGUUCAUAGUUAGACAUUGGACUUAAAGAUAUUAUUUGAGACUAUAUGUUUGUACAUGAUUUUGCUACUGAAUUAGGAUUUAGAAAUAUAUUAUUGGUGAAUGUCUCUUAUCUGCUAGUUGUAUAUUUAUUUUGACUAUGCAGUUUAUCGUUGACUGUGAAAUGAGACGAACUUAUAUAGAAGAUUGUGCUAAGAAGUAUACAUAAUUGAUUGUAAUGGUAGCUAUGCAUUUAUACGUGUUAAUUAAAAUAUUGCUUUUACUGCUGAAACUAUAUUUUGGAAUUAGAUUUCUAUUGCAGAUUCUUCAUCCUGAGCCCGCUUCACUAUUGAUGUUUCACCCGGAAUCACAGAUUGGCUCUCUCCUGAGGUGUCCCCCAAGAUAUCUGAUAUCAAUUAUCCAUUGAACAGGUGAAGAAGUUAUAUUAACUUUGUACAAAUGUUAAGUACAAUUUACAUUCUUAGAGGUGAUAGAAUGAUUUAGUCUCUCAUAGAAUUUUUGUUGUUUUAAUUUUUAUAAUAGGUUACUUGUCUUUGUUGCAUCUGUUGUUACUGCCCACAGGUUUGCACAUUAACUUGAUAUUUUUUUUGGUUAUAUAUAAUUCAAAAUGGCACUCUAUCGAUGCAUGUCUUGUGAUGUUCUAGUUUUUUAUUAGAUAUGAUAUAUACAGGUUAGUUGAUAUUUUUGUUUCCAUAUCCAGUUAUUUAUGUCUUUUAGACAAAUAACUGUCACUCUGCCUACUGGAAUAUCUAUCGAAGUGAUAGUGAGCUUCUUUGUUCAAUUUACCUAGUCGAAUUUAGAUUUGGAAAUGUUGUUAUCUCGUUAUUGUUUUGAUAUGACAUCUAACCUAUGUAGAUACAUUGGCUCGUGAAGUAAUUUUAUAUUGUCUUUUGUGCAGAUCACAAGAUAAGACUCAAAAUUGCUUAAUUGGGCAGUAGUUUAUGCUUUGUCAGACAUGAGUUUAUCAAAGGUGAGUUUUUUAUAUUACACUAGACAUUUAACUGUUUUAUUAGGUAUUCUCGGUUAGUUACUAUUAACUUAAGAGAAUUUCUUUAGAGAUCUUCCAAUCUCUGAGCAAGUUAUAUUAUAUACGUUCUAUUUUUGAUCUUUGUGAUUAUUGUAACAGGCUGAUUUCAAAAAAUGAUCAUGGAGAAAAGCUUAACUCACACAAGAGAAAGAGCAAAACCUCCAAAGGAUAAAAGCAACUUGCCAAUAUGCGAUUUAGUCAUAGGACUCUUGUAUGUUUUGUCUAUUUGUCACUGAAUACUAGUUGACCAUUUGUUGGCAACUCAUGAAAAUACAUUGAAUUAAUUGUGGAUUUUAAUAAAUGGAUUACUUUUGAUUUUAUUUCAUAUUCUUUUGUACCUUUAUUAUAUACUGUACUUCUAGUAGAUUACAUGCUUUGAUAACGCAGCUGAAAUAUUAGAAAUUAUCGUAUUUUUUUUUUGAGUAAGAAAUUAUCGUAUUAAUUGUAUUUGAUAACAUUUGUAAUACAUAUAAGUGUCUCUAAACAGGUUAUAUUACUCUUUUAAAGUCUGUUAUAGGACAUUUAGUUUUGUCUCAACUAUAUGUAGUGAUAAUUUUGAAUGUCCCAAUAUAUUCGUUAUGUGACACUUAUAUUUGUCUCCAAAUCAAAUAAGGAUGUCUAUAAUUGUCCCGAUACAAUAUAUUUCGGGACACUUAAUUUUGUCUCCAACUCUAUCGAGAUAUUUAUAAAUUGUCCCGAUAAAACACUAUAUUGAGACACUUUAAGUGUCCCUAACUUUAUAGGACACUCAAACAUGCGACACUUGCAACAAUUGUCUCUAAAAGUCCAAGUGUCCCAAUACAUGUCUUAUUGGGACACUUAUCCAUGCCCUAAAAGGGAGUUUUUGUUGUAGUGAGGGUGAUAAGAGGUAAGGAUGGGGUGGAAGGAGUUUUGGUCCAGCUCAUUUGCGGGUCCCAAGUAGACGUCACAUGAGAUGCACAUGAGGUUUCCGUCAAAGUUAACAAAAAAAUUAGACAGCCGAAAUAAAAUUGUCAUAAAGUUGUAAGUUUUUAGGAUUAAAUUCGUGCCGGCAAAUGUUGAGAUCGAAAAUCCUUUUAGGUGAUAAGUAUAAGGACAAAAAGUGUAAUUAUCCCGUCAAAAGUAACAUCAUAUAAGGAUAAUGUAAGACCUUACCUCGAGGGUAAUUUACAUAAAAAAUACUAUUAUUACAAUAUUCAGUCAAAUUAGGUAAACUAUCGGUUAUAUUAUGAAAACAUCGGUCAUAUUAUGCAAAAAAUCCAACUAUAUUAUUCAAAACUUCAGAACUUCAGAUUCAGAUCGUGGAAAAUGAAGUCAGAUUCAGCAAAAAAUAUGUCCGAUCGUUGUUCAAUAUUAUGUUAGUUAAUAGCAUUUUUCCAGUUUUUUUUUUUUUUUUUUUUGAGAAAAAGAUGGCUAUAUUAGGCACACAUGGCCAGAUGUGAAGGGAGAAUAUACCCUUCUAGAGUAUCUGAAACAGAAAAAGCAGCCAAAGCAUGAGCAAGAUGAUUACCCUGUCUCUUUACAAAGGAAAAGGAACACGAUGAUAAAGAAUUAACGAGAAUUAAACAAUUAUCUAAAAUGGCCCCAAAGGAGUGGAGCGAAUGGUCACCCUUACGCAAAGCUUCCAUUAUUUGAAGGCAAUCUCCUUCAAUGAUGAUAUCCUCCCACUGCCAAGAGAUAGCCAAUAAGAUGGCUUGGCGCACCGCUUCGGCUUCACCUUCAACUGGGCGAACACGGCCGGCAAUCUUCCUUACUUUCCACCAGACACAAUCACCAUUAGCAUCUCUAACCACGACAGCGGUAUUGAAGAAAUCUGCACUAGGCGGAAAUGAGGCAUCCACAUUAAGUUUUAGAACUCCUAACGGCGGCGGCUUCCAGGCGGUCAGGUGCGCGAUCGUCUUGACUGUUACAUGCGCGAAUCGGGCAUCUUGAAAGGUCGCCAAAUAAGAGCUACACCAAACCACAAUAUCGUCCAGCUUAAUCGUAUCCUUGCCAUGCAAAAUACAAUUCCGACGGUCCCAUAUUUUCCAACACAAUAUUACAGCAAGAAGAAAUAAUUCAUCAACCAAAGAUUUAGAGAGAAGAUCAAACCAAGCCCAGAAAGACAUUUCCUCGCCCAUGUGUCGAAUUUUGAAAGGACCUUUCAUCCACAGCUCCUUCAGCCCAUUACACCCGUAGAUAGCGUGAGCCGUUGUCUCGGGAUAUUGACCACAAAUUGGGCACAUCGGGUCUAAAAUGAUUUUUCGUCUGAACAACUCCACCUUACAUGGGAUAAUCUCCGAGCAUGCUCGCCACACAAAAACACGGAUCUUUGGUGGAACCUGUAAAUGCCAGAUUCUUUUCCAAUUUUGACUAGGAGUGCCACUAGGUUCCCCAUAGUGGUCACUUGAGAAAGAAUAGCGACUGAGUCGUUCCAUAAUAAGGUGGUAGCAAGUUUUAACUGUAAAUUGCCCCGUAGUUGACGGGCCCCAAAUCAGGCGGUCCCGAGUAGAAGGGCCCCCAAUCGGAACCGCAAGAAUACGUGCCUUGUCCACCGGCCAGAAGAGAUUGCUUAUCACAUCCACAUUCCAGAGACUUGUAGACGGGUCGAUGAGGUCCGAAACGGAAUUAGGGAAAACGGAGUGGACUGGUCUCGGAGUGAAGAUUCUUGGAUUAUCGUCUUUAGAAAUCCAGGGAUCCCACCAAAUAGAGGUAGAGGAUCCGUCGCCAAUUCGAACCCGAAUUCCUUCUCGGAGGUAUGUACGAGAUGCAAGGAUACUACGCCACGUCGCCGAGGGACGGUUGCCAGUCGUUGCCGACCAUAGAUCAUUUGUAGGAUAAUACCGCGCUUGGAGAAUGCGGGUGAGAAGAAGCUCGGGUUUCGUAGCAAUUCUCCAAGUUUGCUUUGCAACAAGAGCCAAAUUAAAGGCUCGAAGAUUACGAAAGCCCAAACCCGAGAAGAAGCUCGGGUUUCGUAGCAUUUUUCCAGUUAUACUUUGCUUGUUUUUGCACUUUGUCAACUUAACAAAAAAAUAUUGCACGGGCACACCCAACCCGUUAUAAUUACUUACUUAACCACCUAGGGCGAAUAUUCAGACGAAUCUUCACAAAUUACGGCGCACGGGCAAAACACAUAACAAUGUAAAUUGAACUUAAUUUGAAAUUUGCCUAAAUUCGAAAUUAAUUAAAAUAAAGCAUUAUUGGAUCUUUUUCUUCCAUUGGAGUUUCUCCCCCAAUAAUUCAAAGAAGAUAAAAUUAUGGUCGGUUGUAAUUACCAGUGCCAAGAAUCAGUUUAGCAGCACACACAAACACUUGUCCACGUCCGUCUCUGCAGUAAAAAAAAGAAAAAAUAAAAAAAUAAAAAUAAAAAAAACUCUUCACAUUCAAUUCAAAAGACACAACAUGCACCUCGAAGAAAAGUUUUUCUUUUUUAUUUAUUUAUUUCGUUCGCAAGUACUUUGUUCGUUGUAAUUGUGAUCCGGUUCUUUUUUCUUGAUCCUUAAUUUGUUUGCCAAAAAGAGAAAUUUGAGUCGAGCGUCCUAUUUUUUGUAACUUGCUUUGUUAUUCAUUCAUGUUUUAGAUUUCUGAUCUUUUUUCACUUUCUGCAUAUUUUGACCAAAUGAGAUUUGCCACAUGUAUAAACCACCAAAUAAAGUUAAGAUAAUAAGCUAAAGCAAACUAUUAUUAGAAUACGUUCCUUUACAAUUUGCAUAAAGUUGUAAGGAACUUUUGGGGCUAUUGAUACGAUCCAGAGAUGCUCCAGGACGAAGAAUUGGAAGACGCGAAAGCGUACGAGUUUAAAGACAUUAUUCGAGCUGUCCUUGGAGAGUAAAGGGUUGAAUAAGACCAUUGAAGAGUCCGUGGUUUGGAAUUGGAAGAAAAGAAAGAGAAGAAGUCGUUGGACAAGUCGAAUUCCAUGCAUCCGAGAUUCUCGCUUAUUCUGGCAGAGUUUACCAUUUGAGUUAUAACUCUCGCAUCUGAAGUCCAUUUAAGCUGAUUCAAAAUGGUUCGGAAAGCUAACUGAAAUAUCUACAACUUUGAUGUUUUGAGCGAAGAUAUAUUCGAAGUGGAACAGUGUCGAAAUUGAGCUUUAAUUGCAUGCACGUGCACAGCCCAAUGUCGCGAGUUAAGAAGGGUGAUCGAGAAGUCGACUUGAAGAUCAAGUUAUUAAAUUUAUUUAUGCACGUUUUUAAUUUAGUAUUUAUUAUGUUUUUAUUAGUUUAGAGUCUUUUAUGGUUAGGAUUUGCUUAUUUACAUGUUUCCUUAUUAUAGUUUAGGUAGGAGUCCUUUUCCUUGUGAAAAAGGAGUCUUUUUAGCAUUUAUUAAUAGGUUGCCAAUUUGGCUUAUUUUAUAGGACGAAUUUUAAUGAUUUAAUUGAGAAUAUUCUCUUUGGUUCUUUAAGAACUCUUCGAACAUAUCGGUGGAUUCCGUUUGUUCACCUCGACUUAUCAAUCGAUCUUUCGCAAUCGAUUGUGGCGUCUUCACAUACCAAGGUUCUUGUCUCUUUAUAGGCAACGGGUCGCGGUUCCACCCCUUUGAAUCUUUGUUUUUGGAUGUUUUCGAUCUUGCUUCCGCCUAAGGUAUUAGGGUCUCAUAACAAGUUCUACGGGGUUCGUAUCAGGGCUAUGAUCUUAGUUUGCUUGUGAUUUGGUCUUCGUUUUAUGUUUUCUCAUACUUUCUUGGUUUGUAACAUUUCUUGUUUUCGGGAUUUUUUCAUACGGUAUUGUCCAAAUUUCGAGGAAGAUGGUACGGUUAUCGAUGGGAGAGUUGGACAAACCGAGUAAGAGAGAAGAGGAGAUUGACUAUGACUUUAAUUUUUUUGUAAUUGGAGAGGUGAAAAAACCCACUGAAAUUAAUUGAUAUAAAGGUAUGGGUUUUCUUUGAAUUAAUUAAUGGGGAGAAACUCCCAUGGAAGAAGGAAGAAGACCCAAAACUUUGUUUUAGUUAAUUUCGUAUUUUAACAAGGUUCAAAUUAAAUUCAAUUGAGUCCUUGAAACAUUCAAUUUCAUCCCAUGUGAUAUUUUUAGGUGAAAAGAUGAAAAAACACAUUUAUUUUAUCACGUGUUUCAUGCUUGCGCCUGUAUUUGUGAAGAUUCGCCAUAAUAAUUGCCCAAAGUGGUUAAGUGAGUCAAAAUAACGAAGUUGAGUGUGCUUGUUCAUUUUUAUUUAAUUAAGGUGGCAAAGUGCAAAAUCAUGUAAAGAAAAGGUGGCAAAAUGCUAUAAAAUCUAAAAUUUUCAUCCAAUUAUGCUUUCACAAAUCCAAGUUCGUUUUGAAAGCAACAACUAGAGCUACAACGUCUUCCAUGUUUGGCGUACUCGAUGAUACAAAGUUUAUGGUACUUACAGUUACAUAGUAUGCUCAAAAUUGUGCAUGGAUUACGAAUUGCGCUACUUACAUAGUUACGUAUUUCUACCAUAGCUACCUCGUCUAAAGUCCAAGUGCCUUGAUACAAAAUGUAUUCAAAAGCCAAAACAAUAGACCUACAAGAAAUGAAUCAGUAAGGAUUUGGGUUUGCGUCUUUCAUAAUUUAAAUUGCAACUCAACGAAAAUUGAAAAAAUGCAGGUGUACUUUUGUAAAAGAGAUGAGGGAACUCAAAUUUCAUUCAUAAGAUCGUAAGUUAAUACACAAUAAUAUUAUUCAUGAAUAUCGCUCAAAUCAUAAAUAAAUAAAAACAUUCACGAAUCAAAUAUUUUAAUUUCCGAUUCUUGCAAGACAAUGACAUGUCCAGUAGGGCUCCAGGGGAGGGUUCGGAGAACGGCAAUAUCCUCCGGGGCAAGGAUAGGACCCACAUGACACUUUGCUACACGCAAAACUACAAACUUCUCCAAGGCAUGGUUCCAUUUUGAAACUUGGUUCACCAUUACAACUUAUACUACACAUUAUUGAAACCAAACCAUAAACAAGAAAAAUAAUUAUUAGUACUUGCUUCCUCAUUGCUUCCAUUUAGUAGAGAGUGUUCAAUAUUAUAAACUGUCAUAAUUGUGCCCUUUUAUAGAUAGAAAAUAUGUAAUGUUCAAUAAUACUGUAAUUACAUGAUACAAAGAUAAAAAGUCAGGUAUGGAUUACUUGAAUUACAUGAAAAAACCAUAAUUCAAACAAAGAUGUAUGCAAUAAUAUAAAUUUUCUCUUAAUAUAAAUAUAAAUUACAAAAUCAACGACAAAAGUAAUAAUUAAGUAUAAAUUACUGUAAUAAAAAUUGACUAAAUAUUUUUAUAAAUUUGAGUUGACUAUUGUAUUGUAAGGGACUCUUUGAGUUUUGUGCCAUUUCUCAAUAAAGAAGGGUCCAACCAUAUUUUUAGCAAUAAGCAUACAUUGAACCCUUAUUUUGUUUAAAAUUUACCCUCUCCUAUCUUACUCACUGCUUGAUGUUUUUUUUCUUUUUGUGUUUUCUAAUUUUAUUUUUGUUUAUAUAUAUUCUAAAUAACUUACAAAAUUACCAUAAUAAACUAGAAUUUUAUUUUUAUGUUUUGGGUUUUUUUUCUUCUAAAAUCAACUAUAAAAAAUUACCGUAAAUAACCACAAAAAAAUGGUAUUCAACCACAAGUUUACAAAAUAAAAAUCAACUAUAAAUUAUCGAAAUCGACUACAAAAUAUCAAAAAGUUAUCUAAUUCAACUACAUGUUAAUGAAAUAAACUAAAAAUAAAAAAGAAAACACCCAAAUCAUGACUUGUCAAACUAAUGAGCGAAAAGUAAUUUGACUCGUGCGAUGCACGGGGUGGAUAAAAAUUAAUUUUGAAUAAAAUUUAAUUUAAUAAGUUGAUGUGUUCAAGAGAAUAUCAAAUGAAGCAGCAUCUUUAAAUAUAUUAAUAAUUCUUUAAAUAUAUUAAUAAUUUUAUUAGUGCGACAUAUACUUACUAUUAAGCAAGUUAAAUUCAAUAAUAUUUCAUAUUCAGUAACUUGCAAAGCCAACUCAAUUUUCCCCUUUACGAAUUGUUUUACGCCCGAAAACAAUAUAUAAAAAAAAAGGAUAUACAUGUCAUGCUAGUUUUCAAAGAACUGAGUAGUUAGUAAUGGGAAUAAAUUGUUGACGUUUAUUACACCUUUUAAUAAUAAAGAAAAAUAACAUAAUUUUCCAUCAUAAAUAUCAUUACGAGUAAUUGUAAAAAUAGAGCCAAUAAUUGUGAAACAAAUUAAAAAAAUUGCUUACCAGUAUUGACACAAAAACCUAGUUCUAAGAUCUCUAUUACGUUUUUCUCUAAGGAUUUCAAGCAAUAAAGCAACAAAAUACAUGAUUUGCAUGCGUAUCAAAAAUAAAAAAAUAAAGGGAACAAAUGUACGAUUUCCAAAUCUGUCAAACAUAUUUAAACUCUUUUAUACUAGUCCUGCAAAUUUUCAGGAAAUCUACUAAUAUAAAGGAUGCAUGCAGAAUUUGAAAAUCACUUAAUCUAGGAUAACUAAAAUAUAUGAAAUCUCCUAGUUUUCGAAAAAUAUGCUAAUUUUUAGCAUAAAAUGGUUUCAAAAAAUGAAUUUAAUUAAUAAAAUGUAGCGACAUAAAAUGAAAAUCCGUUACUCUAAUGCUAAUAUAAUACUAAUAUUAAUUAUAAUAUAUUAAUGCUAAUCCUAAUAUACUAAUGCUACUAAUGUGAAUACUAAUGUUUUUAUUAAUAUUAAUGAUACUCCUAAUUUUAUAAUUAAAAGUUAGUAUUAGUAUUAUGUUAGUGUUAGUAUUAGUGUUAGUGUUAGUUUUAGUGUUAACGUUAGUGUUAGUAUUAAUAUUAGUAUGUUGUUAUAUUAAUAAUUUAAUGUAAGAAAUUUAAAAUAGUUUUAACUUUUAUUUAUUUAAUAGACUAUUGAUAAUAUAAAGUUAUUUUUUACAAUUAAUAAAAUUCAUUAAAUAGAAAUUGAUAAAAUUUAAUUAUUAAUAUUAAUAUUUUAAAUACAUAAUAGUAAAAUUUAAUUUUGGUUUUAGUAUAAUUGAUGUAUAAUAAGUUUUAAACUUUUGGUAUAAUUAAAUUAAAUACAAAUAUAGUAAUUAAUAUUUGAUAUAAUUUUAAAAAUACUUUAUUAUAACAAAUGACCACAAAGUACAAGAGUGUACAAAUUUUAAUAUUUUAUUGGUUUGCUGUAUUUUAUAUUGACAUGUUAAAUAUGAGAAGCCAAACAUAUGAUAAUAUUUUAUUGGCUUAAUAGAAUUAUAUGUUUGCUCAUGAAGAUUGUUAAAAGAAUGUAAAUGAUCAUUUACACAUAUCUCGACAAUCCUUUUGUUUUUAUCUUUAAAGUACUUAAUUCCUAAAUUCAGUGACGAGGCUGGCUAAAAUUUGGCAUUUCUCAACAAAUAAAUAAUAAAAAUAAAAUAUAAAAUAAAAAAAUAAAAAAUAAAAGAAUUUGUUUACUAAUACCUUACCUUAACAUGUGUGUUGUCAGUUGUGUGAUUGUAUCAUAUAUCUGACAAACUAUUAUUGUCCACUCAAAUUUGCCCUUUAAGAUGACAAAUUUGUUAGGUUUAUAUCCAUAAUUGUUGAGUGACAAUUUAUUAUAUGUGUAUAAAUUCAACUAAUAAGAUUCAAUUUUUAGUAAAUUUAUUAUUUUUUAUGCGUGAAAAAUACCUCUACUGAUUUAAGCAAAAAUAAAUUCUGAAAAUAAUAUCCCUUAUUUUUCUUCCCCUUUCAUUUGACCCAUCUGUUACCAAAUCAGAUAACGGUUCCGAAAAAUCUCAAAUCCCAAAUUCUACAGCCCCGGAAAAUCAAUUCCAUUAAUACCAAACCCUAAACAAAAAUUACAUCGGGCAUGCCAUAUUUUGAGUCUUCCAAGCGUUUGCAAUUUAAAAACUUCUGUUUGUUAUAUGAUUUGUGGAACAAGUUUACCAUUUUUUAUUUGCUAUUUGGAGAUCGAUUGAUGUUUGAAGGCAUCGCCUGUUGUUUAUUGUUUGUUGUUUGCGAUUUCUACAAUGGUUCAGACACGAUUUAAUCUUGGUAAUCAACACCCCUAGCGGCUGACCGACGACGGUCAAACUUAGAGUCAAAAUUGUAGUAGAGGUCAAAAUUGAAUGAUUGACAAAAUUAAAUAUGAAAUUAGAAUAUACUAAAAUGCAAUGGGGGUAUUUUAAUUUUUUAAACAGACCUAAACUCAUUUGUACUAUCUUCCCUUAAGAUGUGUGCAUCAAUGAUAUAUCUGACACUAAACAAAGUAUCAAACUAUUGUCCACACAAAUUUCUUCUUCAAGAUGACAGUUUGUCUUACGUUUAUUAUAUCCGUAAUCAUCGUCAUCUCAAACGUCAUACUUUCUAAACCCUAUCUAGGUUUACAAAUUAAACUUGACUUUUAUGCUUACUACUCCAUGAAAUUAAUCCAACUAAAAAAAAUUACUAACCACAAACUUCCACAAUUCCUUUCUAUAUAUAGCAAUUAGCAUAGUGAUUCUCCAAUCCUCAUCUCUCUCAGUCUCUCUCUUUCUUUCUCUCACACACACUCGCACGUAAAUUCACACACACACACACAACACAACUAUGGGCAUCAACCCAUCCCUUCAGUUCCGGCACGUGCUGUUAGUAACAUUUCCGGCACAAGGCCACAUCAACCCAUCCCUUCAGUUCGCCAAGAGGCUGACCACCAUGGGCAUCCCUUCAUCAUAUAGAUUAAAAAUUUACAAGCUUAAAAUUGUCAUGGGACUUAUCAAAAAUUUACAAGCUUAAAAUUUAACGAUAGUUAACUGAUUACCAUUGCCAAGAACCAAAAAUCAUGUUAUCGCUUCAAGCAUUCAAUAUUUGUAAUCUAAAAAUAUAGAAAAUUUAUACUUACAUAGUAAUAUUAGACUCCAAAGACUCACCGAAUUUCUCUACUCUCGAAUAAUUGAGCUAUUGGGAUCAUUGAGACUUUUUGGCUUUCAAUUGUUGGGCUCUUUGGUGCAAGGUAGAAAAUAUGGCUAUAUAAGUUGCUUUUUUUUUCUUCUUAAAUCGAGGUGUUUUCGCCGAGAUUUGAAAAUUUGACUUUUUGGAAUAGCUUAUUGACCUCUGAUGACUUAUUAUCUUACUCGAUUAUCAAGAGUUCAAACGUCUCCACUUUUGCUCUUGAGGUAUGGUUCCAGUUUUUAUUCAAAUAUUUGCGCAUGUCCUCCUUUUCCCUUCUAGUUCUCUUCUUCUUCGUUCUUUUUCCGAGAAAAAAGAAAAACGUAACAAAUUUUCCAACAAAACUCCAAGGGAUUUUUUUCAAGAAUCUCCAUCUACUCUACCUUGCACGCAUUGGCUAAAAGAAAGAACUCUUUUUUCUUUGAGGCCCAAAUCAAGGUUCUAAGGAUAAUUUCGAUAAAAAGAUCGGCUUGAAAGGCUUAGAUGGUUCAAAUAAGGCACAAAUCAUAUCCCAAAUCAUUCAACGGCUCAAUACUUCACUUUGCAAAUUCCUAAGGUGAGUUCUAAAAACAAACAUCAUAUGAUAUUUCAUAAAUUAACUCCACGUUUGAAAAACAAAAUUUUCAACAAAAGCAACACAUAAUUCAUGAUUCUCAAUAAUGACUCACUCCGAAAUUACUUUGAAUCGAAAGCUCGCCAAAAUUCAAGUACUACAACAAAGCAAGUAAUAUCAUCAUCAAACAUUGGCCAUAUUUCUUCAUUAUAAUUCAUCUAUGCAUUCAACUCAAACAUUUUUUUAAAGAAAACAAUAAAUAUAUGAAAACGACUAAAAAGAAAAAAAAAUCCUAAAGCAUGCAAUCUAAAACAUAUAAAGCACAUAAAAAGUGUUUUUCCACCCCCAUACUUAAAGUUUUGCAUUAUCUUGAAUGUAAUUAAAACGAAGUUUAAGGAUAGAAUACACCUUGAUUAGUCGGAACGUCCUCCACGCGUUGCACUCCUCCAUCUCUUCAUCUUUCAAGCAAACUUUUUUUUUUUCAAUUUUUCGAAAAACAAAUAAAUAAAAAAUUAUCUAGGGGUGUUCCGGACGGCCGUCUCACCUUUUGCACUGUUGUAAAGAUGACCGUCUCAAUUUCCGAACAUUCACAACUUGUCGUAACUUCUUCGUACGACCGUCUGGAGUUUUGGCUUGAUUUUCGGACGACCGUCUGGGCUUUAUGUGUCCGUUUUUUGACCUUAAAAUUCAAACGUGAUUAAAUUAUUAGAUUGCAAGUUUAUAUAUAUUCUAGGAAAAUAAAAUAAAAAAUAAAAAAUAAAAAAAAAACACACUAAAAAAAUAUGAGAAAAAAAAACGAAAAAAACAAUAAAUGCUCGGGUUGCCUCCCGGGAAACGCUAAAUUUUAAGUCUUUUUUGCUUCUUAAAAUUAUUAUCCAAAUCCUUGUAAAUUGUGCAUCCAUUAAUGGGCUCUACAACUUCAAUUGCAACCAAGGCAUGGAUAGCAUUGCAAUAUGUCACAGGGUCCACCUUAGCUUGUAGUCUUUUUUUUUUGUUGUAAUCAAUCGGUACGAAGCCAAGAUGGGAUGUUCAUCAGUCGCUCCAUCAAAUCGGUACACAAAAACCUCAAGUCUGCGUAUAACAUCCACCUCAAAAGCAUUCGCCUUCUCAUCAACCACUAUUGAUGCCUUCAAAACCACAUCAGGUACAACGAUAAGAUCUUCAAUUUGAAUAUUUGCAAUAACCACACCCAUCUCCUUCUUCUCUUGUUCCGAGACAUCUAUGGAGUUUAGCUCGAUUGCUUUCUCAGAUUCAUCAUCUUUAGGCGUCUUCAUAAUUUAUUUUUCCCUCUCAUCGACACUAUUUUCUAAGUCUGAAGAAUUUUUCUCACUACAAGUUUCAGACGAAUUUUCUUUGUUGCAACCAUUCUCGAUAUCGUCUGGAAUAUUUUCAUGACACCUCUGGAACUUGAUCUCUUCCAACUGUAUCUCCAAUCUUUGGGUAGAUGCUUGAGUGGAUUUCCUAAAAUCUUCAAGGAUGGAUUUCAAAUAACACUCCUCAAUAGUGGGAUCUCGUGGCCUUGCAUAUUAGGUUUGAAAGUCAUCAAAUUGCGGCUCCCGAUGUUGAAAAUCAUUGAAAGCUUGGCUGGGAACACUAUGUUCGUACGUGUUGGUGUAUGUGUUCCAAUAACCUAUGUUGGUAUUAUCGAAGAAAUUAUUCGCUUUCGGUGAUUCCCAACAUUGGUUAGUGUAAUGAUUUCUAACACAUGUGGAACAAAAUAGCGGCAUAUCAUAGGUGUUUUGGAGGUAUUCGCCAGAUGGAAGCAAUUCAUAUCCCGUUUGAGGUGCGCGAAAACUGUAACCUGACAUGUAACAAAAGAAGAAUAAUAAAUAAAUAAAUAAAUAAAUAAAACAAAAAAAAUUAAAAUUAAAAUUAAUUUCGGUGAAUCGAGAGAGUUGUUUGAAUCUAGAGUCAAAAUAAAUAGACAAUGUAUUAUAUGGUUUCGUCAUCUGGAUGAUUUCCUUAAGAUGAAUUUGAAUACAUUAAAUCAUCUAGUUCUUCAUCUUCAUCCUCCUCUUCAGAGGAGGCUCUUCGGAGAAAGAAACUCAAGAAAUGAAUAAUUUUAUUCUUGGGAUAAUUGUAGCAUAUGAGGAACAACCGCAUCAGCGACAAUAUAUCUAUCGUGAUCGCGAAAAAAGUCAGAAACUAUUACGGAAAUAUUAUUUUUCUGAAAUUUGUACUUUCUAUUUUCUUAUUUUCACAGGCGUUUUAGGAUGCGCAGAGAGUUGUUUUUUAUAUUCAAAAUGAUCUUUAAAAUUAUAACACAUAGUUCAUCUGAAAGAGAGAUGUACGUGGUCGUCUUGGCUUAUCAUCUAUUCAAAAAAUAACUACUGCAAUUCCGGUUCUUGCUUAUGGGGCAUCUGCUUAUUUUUACAAUGAAUAUUAAAAGAUCGGGGAGGCAACUGGUAACGAAACUUUAAGAGAGUUUUGUUCAUCCAUAAUCGAACUAUAUGGAGAACAAUACUUGCGUUCACCAAAUGAACAUGAUAUUCACCGUCUUCUACAAGAAGGCGAAUCACGAGGUUUUCCAGGUAUGCUUGGAUCUUUAGAUAUUAUGCACUAGCAAUGAAAAAAUUGUCCAACUGCUUGGCAAGGCACACACAGGGGUCACCACCACAAACCAACAUUAAUUUUAGAAGUAGUUGCAUACCAUGAUACAUGGAUUUGACAUUCUUUUUUUUGGCAUGUCAGGUGGAAAUAAUGAUAUUAAUGUCUUGGAUCAUUCUCCACUUUUUGAUAAUAUGAUGCGUAAUAGAAUGUCUCCAGUUCCUUAUACGGUGAACGGUCGUUCAUAUAUGACGGGUUAAUACUUAACUGAUGGUAUUUACCCAAAAUAUGCAACUCUUACUCAAAACAUUGCUCAUCCCACCACUGCAAAAGAAAAAUUAUUUGCGGCAAAACAAUAAUAAGUUAGAAAAGAUGUGAAGCGAGCAUUUGGUGUUUUACAAAGUAGAUGAGAUAUAACGCAAGGACUCAUCCGUUAUUGGUCAAAAGAAGAUAUAUGUAACACAAAGAAACCAUGCAUUAUCCUUCAUAACCUGAUUAUAGAAGCUGAACUUGAAAUUGACAUUGAACCAUGGAUGCCACUACCAUAAGAGAAUUUUCGCCCCUCUCAAUGUGAACGAGAUCCAUCAAUUUUGGCGGCACAUAUCUCAGCACGCCUUAGUCGGAUCCACAAUCGACGAACCAAUGAAAGUUUGAGAUCUGAUCUAUUUAACCAUUUGUCGAAUAUCUACAGAGAAGAAGAUGUCUAAAUAAUCUAUUGCUUUUGAGUAUUUUUAAUUUUAUUUGUGAGUUAUUGUUCUUUUAUUUUCACUUGAAGAAUUAUAUUUUAUAAUGUAAUCGAAUUUAAUAAAAUUAAAUUACUACAAAAAUUAUUGUGACAUUUCUUUUAAUAAAAGUGAUGAAUACGAGAGACAAAUGUGGAGCAAUCAAUAGGACUUCACAUUGUUAUUCAUCUUGAACAAAAAAAGUUGUAACAUCUCUUUUACUAUUAGACAUAAAUUAAUAAUAUUUAAGAAAAAAAAGAUCAAAAUAAAUGCUUCGUGUAUUAUAUUUUAUAAUUGAAUUUAUUAACAUUUAAAUAUAACUUUUUUUAUCGAUAAAUCUAAAUGUAACAUUUCUUUUGCUAUUAAUAUUAAAACCAAUGAAAUUUAAUAUUGUAAUCCCUAAAAACAUAUAAUACAAUCAAAUAAUAAAAUAGAAUUAAACAUCACUUAACAAAAAAGAAAAUAUAUAUAUAUAUAUAUAUAUGUAUAUAUAUAUAAAAUCAAAUAAUAAAAUAAUUAAACAUUAUUAAACAAAACAGAAGAAAAAAAGAAAAAAAAAAAAGAGGAAAAGAUACACGGAUACACGGCACACACUUCAAUGGAUGACAAUUAAAAUAAUGCACAUGGCCCAUCUUUAUCCUGCCCAAACAUUUCUUAAUUGUAGGGAAUAAAUUAAAGAGUCCAAGCCUAGGUGAAGUAGAAGGUGAGGGAGCCAUUUAAUUCUUCUUGGGAUUUGCAGAGGCUAAUUUUCUUUAUUAUUUGAAAAAACUUGACGAAGGAGGAUGGUUGAGAUGUGGUCAAAAGGCAGCGGAAGGUGGUGGAGCAAAUGGCGGGGAAGAGGGUGAUAAGAGGUAAGGAUGGGGUGGAAGGAGUUUUGGUCCAGCUCAUUUGCGGGUCACAAGUGGACGUCAUGUGAAAUGCACAUGAGGUUUCCGUCAAAGUUAUCAGGAAAAUUAGACGGCCGAAACAAAAUUGUCAUAAAGUUGUAAGUUUUAGGAUUAAAUUCGUGACGGCAAAUGUUUGAGAUCGAAAAUUCUUUUAGGUGAUAAGUAUAAGGACCAAAAGUGUAACUAUCCCGUCAAAAGUAACACCAUAUGAGGAUAAUGUAAGACCUUACCUCGGGGGUAAUUUACAUAAAAAAUAAUAUUAUUGCAAUAUUCAGUCAAAUUAGGUAAACUAUCGGUUAUAUUAUGAGAACAUCGGUCAUAUUAUUCAAAAAAUCCAACUAUAUUAUUCAAAACUUCAGAUCAGAUCGUGGAAAAUGAAGUCAGAUUCAGCAACAAAUCAAUAUUAUGUUAGGUUAAUUGCAUUUGGCGACUUAUACUUUGCUUGUUUUUGCACUUUGUCACCUUAGCAAAAAAAUAUUGCACCGGCACACCCAACCCGUUAUUAUGACUUACUUAACCACCUAGGGCGAAUAUUCAGACGAAUCUUCACAAGUUACGGCGCACGCGCAAAGCACAUAACAAUGUAAAUUGAACUUAAUUUGAAAUUUGCCUAAAUUUGAAAUUAAUUAAAAUAAAUCUUUGGAUCUUUUUCUUCCAUUAGAGUUUCUCCCCCAUUAAUUCAAAGAAGAUAAUAUUAUGGUCGGUUGUAAUUACCAGUGCCAAGAAUCAGUUUAGCAGCUAACACAAAUACACGCACACACACAAACUCUUGUCCACGUCCGUCUCUGCCGUAAAACAAAAACUCUUCACAUUCAAUUCAAAAGACACAAACAUGCACCUCCACGAAAAGUUUUUUUUUUUUUCUUUUUUUUCGUUCGCAAGUACUUUGUUCGUUGGAAUUGUGAUCCGGUUCUUUUUUCUUGAUCCUUAAUUUGUUUGCCAAAAAGAGAAAUUUGAGUCGAGCGUCCUAUUUUUUGUAAUUUGUUUUGUUAUUCAUUCAUGUUUUAGAUUUCUGAUCUUUUUUCACUUUCUGCAUUUUUUGACCAAAUGGGAUUUGCCAACAUGUAUAAACCACCAAAUAAAGUUAAGAUAAUAAGCUAAAGUUGUAAGGAACUUUUGGGGAUAUGAUCUUAGUUUGCUUGUGAUUUGAUUUUCGUUUUAUGUAUUCUCUUACUUUCUUGGUUUGUAACAUUUCUUGUUUUCGGGAUUUUUUCAUACAAUAUUGUCCAAAUGUCGAGGAAGAUGGUACGAUUAUCGAUGGGAGGGUUGGACAAACCGAGUAAGAGCGAAGAGGAGAUUGACUAUGAGUCAUGACUUUAAUUUAUUUGUAAUUGGGGAGGUAAUCAAACCCACAGAAAUUAAUUGAAAUAAAGGUCUGGGUUUUCUUUUAAUUAAUUAAUGGGGGAAAACUCUCAUGGAAGAAGGAAGAAGACCCAAAACUUUGUUUUAGUUAAUUUCGUAUUUUGACAAGUUUCAAAUUAAAUUCAGUUGAGUCCUUGAAACAUUCAAUUUCAUCCCAUGUGAUAUUUUUAGGUGAAAAGACGAAAAAACCCAUUUAUUUUAUCAUAUGUUUCAUGCUUGCGCCUGUAUUUGUGAAGAUUCGCGAUAAUAUUGUUAUAGUAGGUGACCAACAAGCCAACAUGUGGCUGUGGUCUUUCGUAUUUAUUAUUGUAAUAAACGAACCUUUAUUCGUAUUAAUGAUAAAAGACCUUGGCAUUCUAUAUCUUUGUCCCUUUGUCACAAGCAUAGAUAUAGUCCUUACAGUUAUUACAAGUACUGGUAAUUGAUCGUUAGGAUCGUGAGAUAUUUACUUAAGUAUUAUAACUGUUAAACGUGUUCCUAGUCGAAGGGUUACGCCACCAAUGAGGAUAUCGGCCUUUCCCAUUAAGAGACUAGCACUUAGUGUAUGUGUACUGCAUCUGAUCAGUAAACGGUAUUGUGAUAUCGGCAUGCAUAAGUGGGUACUCGUAAGUUGGCGAGUUCACUGAACUCCCUCACCCUAGAAAUCUCUAAGUGGUUCCCAAUAAUCGAGUAGAGAUAUCUAUGGUAUAGUUGUACACCAUUAGUCCUUAUGACCUAGACAUCACCGUGACUUCACUAGAGGACCAGUUGUAUCGUGACCUGUCCCUGAGUUCCACCGAGGACCAUCCCAAGGGCCAGUGUUCGUGCAGUCCGAAAUCUAGUGGGAGGUCUGUGCAUUGUAGUCGGGGAUUCGAUCGCUAGAAAAGUCUUGGAUGUCCUGUGUGUUCUGAAAGUUUGUAAUCAUUCUAAGUCUCUGGCCAGAGCUGACUAAGUGAUGAUUAGAGAAUUCGAUUCUCUAAGUCAUGCACGUAAGGAUUACAACACUUAGAACGAUCGCACUGUCAUUGAACAAAUAAAGAGGUCUCGAUGAACCAAUGCCUCUAGUUCAAUCGGGACAUAUGAAUCGAAGGGACCGUACUGUACGUUAACUAUAUCUGAAGGUUCUUGCAGGCACUUCAUUUGUAUCUAGGGAAUCAUGACGCGUAGUUGCUAGACGCCAAUCUUGAUUCGUUGGGUGAUUAAGGUGAAAUGAGUUUCAUCUUAAUCGUAACUCUAAGGGGACGAGUUUUGACCACAAAGGGUUGUGGGCCCACGGCUAGCUUACACCUGAACCAUCGAGGGUCACACUGCUCGUGCACAUGAGAUCUUUGAAUAAACGGUCAGAGAUAAAAUAGUUUAUCUUUGAAUGAUUGGAAGUCAAUAUGAUUGGGUCCAACAUUCGUAAUUUGGAAUUAUGAAUGAGAAUAAGAAAAGGAAAAGAAUAGGCAAACGUAUUAGUGGACUUUCUAAAUCGGGAAGUUUCCAAAUUUAGAAAGUGCACUGAAUUAGGGUUUCCACUUUUGGAAAGUUGGAAUUCGAGAGUUGGCACUCGUAAUGACGAGGACAUUAUAAUGAUUCCGAAAAUGUAAUCGUUACAUUUUUCCAAUCAUUGAAUUGAGAGGGACGAGCAAGUAAAGGAACUAACGAACUUAAGCUGUUGGGCCCGGUCCAACUUAAGCCCGUUAGGGUUUUAUGCAAGACACUAUAAAUACAAGAUUUAUAGGUCCUACAAAAUACACAACACGUCCAAAAACCCUAGCCGCUCCCUCUCUCACGCUCGGCCAUCUCCCCUCGGCCACCGCGCCGUCGUCGCCGGAAAUCGCCGGAAUCGGCCAUCCAUUGGCCGAUCCUUUUGGUAUUUCUUUCCUUCGUUCUGUUCUUCCGUUUUUCUAACUAUUACGUGUCUAGUGCCACGUAUUUAGUAGAUCGAAGUAUACGAGGUGAAAUCCAAGAGGAGGAAGAUCGAAGAAUCGAAGAUGCGAGAAGGCAAUUCUGAAAAACUGCUCUCUGAUUUUCUGCGCUGUCCAGCAAGAAAAUUCGCCAUAAAUCAACCGGUGAUCGGAUGGACGUGAAAUUUUGACAGCAGCUUCAAGACUCAUAAAUAUACAAUUUUCCAGAAGGAAUUGUUCAUCCAGUAAAUAAGCAUGGAGAUAUUGAAGUCGGAGCAAGGCUGUAAUUUCAGAUCAGCAAACAGGUUGGAUCAAUAGGAGUGGGAAGAGCAGCUAGCCAUCUUCUCGAGUCGUCGUUCGAUUCAUUCUUCAAGGACAGCGCGUGAAUCACACGCGCCGCCGUAGCUCGGAUCAUCGCCGUCGAUGCAUUGCCGUUGCUGCCCCGGAUUGCACGGAUUGGUUUCCGUGGCAAUCUAGCUUUGCUUAGUGCGCCUACCUCACGCUUCAAGAGGUAAUGUUUUGAAUCUAUUGUUAUUCGAUUCGGUUACGUUUAAAUUAAUAUAUGCAUGUUCGUUUUAAUAAGAAACUUGUAUGAUUUUAUAUGACUACAUGAAAUUGGUUUUAUUAUUGCGAGCAUGAUUAUUUGAUUUAAACGCGAGCAUGCUAAUUGAUUUAAUUUUGAUUAAGUAAUUAAGCAUGUAUGUUGGUACGCAAUGUAUGUUGUUUUUAAUUUCGCUGGAAACGCAAAGGUACGCAAUUAAUUGUUUUCAAUUAUCGGGCAUGUGUUUAUGUGUUUUAAAGUUGUUUAAUUCGCAUAAAAUUUUUGUUUUCCGCUGCGUACACGUGCCCGUUACCCAACAAAUAUUUGCCCUAAGUGGUUAAGUGAGUCAAAAUAACGAAGUUCGGUGUGCCUGUUUUUUUUUUUUUUUUUUUAGUAAGGUGGCAAAGUGAAAAACCAUGUAAAGAAUAGGUGGAAAAAUGCUAUUAAACCUAAACUUUUCAUCUAAUUAUGCUUUCACAAAUCCAAGUUCCUUUUGAAAGCAAACAACUAGAGCUACAACUUUCGUGUUAGGCGUAUUCGAUGAUACAAAGUUUAUGGUACUUACAGUUACAUAGUAUGCUCAAAAUUGUGCCUGCAUUAUGAAUUGCACUAUUUACAUAGUUUCUUAUUUCUACCAUAACUAUCUCGUCUAAAGUCCAAGUGCCUUGAUACAAAAUGUAUUCAAAAGCCAAAACAAUAGACCUACAAGAAAUGAAUCAGUAAGGAUUUGGGUCUGCGUCUCUCAAAAUUUAAAUUGCAACUCAACGAAAAUUGAAAAAAUGCAGGUGUACUUUUGUAAAAGAGAUGAGGGAACACAAAUUUCAUUCAUAAGAUUGUAAGUUACAACACAAUUAUUCAUGAAUAUCGCUCAAAUUAUAAAUAAAUAAAAACAUUCACGAAUCAAAUAUAUUAAUUUCCGAUUCUUGCAAGACAAUGACAUGUCCAGUAGGGCUCCAGGGGAGGGUCCGGAGCACGGCAAUAUCCUCCGGGGCAAGGAUAGGACCCACAAGACACUUUGCUACACGCAAAAGUACAAACUUCUCCAAGGCAUGGUUCCAUUUUGAAACUUGUUCACCAUUACAAUUUGUACUACACAUUAUUGAAACCAAACCAUAAACAAGAAAAAUAAUUAUUAGUGCUUGCUUCCUCAUUGCUUCCAUUUAGCAGAGAGUGUGCAAUAUUAUAAGCUGUCAUAAUUGUGUCUUUUUAUAGGUAGAAAUAUGUAAUGUUCAAUAAUACUGCAGUUACAUGAUACACUGAUAAAAAAUUAGGUAGGGAGUACUUGAAUUACAUGAUGAAACCAUAAUUCAAACAAAGAUGUAUGCAAUAAUAUAAAUUUUCUCUUUAUAUAAAUAUAAAUUACAAAAUCAACGACAAAAGUAAUAAUUAAGUAUAAAUUACUGUAAUAAAUUGACUAGAUAUUUUUAUUAAUUUGAGUGGACUAUUAUAUUGUAAGGGACUCUCUGAGUUUUGUGCCAUUUCUCAAUGAAGAAAGGUCCACCCAUAUUUUUAGUAUUAAAGAUACAUAGAACCCCUAUUUUGUUUCAAAUUUACCCUCUCCUAUCUUACUCACUGCGUAAUGUUUUUUUUUCUUUUUGUGUUUUCUAAUUUGAAUUCUCUCUCUCUCUCUCUCUCUCUCUAUAUAUAUAUAUAUAUAUAUAUAUAUAUAUAUAUAUAUAUAUAUAUAUAUAUAUAUAUAUAUAUAUAUAUAUAUAUAUUUCACAUUUUUAUUCUUCUUCUAAAUAACUUACAAAAUUACCAUAAUAAACUAGAAUUUUAUUUUUGUGUUUUGGGUUUUUUUUUCUUCUAAAAUCAACUAUAAAAUUACCGUAAAUAACCACAAAAAAGUGGUAUUCAACCACAAGUUUACAAAAUAAAAAUCAAGUAUAAAUUAUCGAAAUCGACUACAAAAAUAUCAAAAAGUUAUCCAAUUCAACAUGUUAACGAAAUAAACUAAAAAGAAAAAACGAAAACACCCAAAUCAUGACUUGUCAAACUAAUGAGCGAAAAGUAAUUUGACUUGUGCGAUGCACGUGGCGGAUAAAAGUUAAUUUUGAUUAAGAUUCAAUUUAAUUAGUUGAUGUGUUCAAGAGAAUGUCAAAUGAAGCAACGUCUUUGGAUAUGUUAAUAAUUUUAUUAGUGCGAUAUAUACUUACUAUUAAGCAAGUUACAUACAACAAUAUCUCAUAUUCAUUAACUUACAAAGCCAACUCAAUUUUCCCCUUUAUAGAUUUUACUACACCCAAAACAAUAAAUUAGAAAAAAAAUGGAUAUACAUGUCAUGCUAGCUCUCAAAGAACUAAGUAGUUAGUAAUGGGAAACAAAUGGGUGACGCUUAUUACACCUUAUAAUAGUAAAGAAACUUAACAUAAUUUUCUAUCAUUAACAUUAUUAGGAGUAAUUGUAAAAAAUGAGCCAAUAAUUGUGAAACAAAAUAAAAAAAAAUUGCUUACCAGUAUUGACACAAAAACCUAGUUCUGAGAUCUUUAUUAAGUUUUUCUCUAAGGAUUUCAAGCAAUAAAGCAACGAAAGACAUGAUCUGCGUAUCAAGAAACAAAACAAAAAUAAAAGGAACAAAUUUACGAUUUUCGAAUCUGUCAAAUAUAUUUAAACUCUUUUGUACUAAUCCUGGAAAUUUUCAGGAAAUCUUCUAAUAUAAUGGAUGUAUGCAGAAUUUGAAAAUUAGUUGAUCUAGGAUAAUUAGAAUAUAUGAAAUCUCCUAAUUUUCGAAAAAUCAACUAAGUUUUAGUAAAAUGAAUUUAAUAAAUAAAAUGUAGCCACAUAACAUGAAAAUCCGUUACUCUAAUGCUAAUACUAAUACUAAUACUAAUACUAAUAUUAAUUAUGAUAUAUUAAUGGUAAUAUACUAAUGCUCAUCCUAAUAUACUAAUGUGAAUGCUAAUGUUAUUAUUAAUAUUAAGGCUAUUCAUAAUUUUAUAAUUAAAAGUUAGUAUUAGUAUUAGUAUUAGUGUUAGUGUUAGCAUUAAUAUUAGUAUUAGUAUGUUGAUACAUUAAUAAUUUAAUGUAACAAAUGUUAGAGUAUGUUAUAUUAUUAGAUAUUUUAGGAUAUUAGGAUUCGGCUACCUAGAUUAGUUAGGAUUUAGUUGCCUAGUCAAACUCUAUUACCUUGCAAUAUUUAUCUAUAUAUAUUCCAUGUAACUUACCCAUAACAUAAUGGGGGUUUCUAUUAUAUUACGUAUUAUUAUUUCUGUCUUUCUCCUAUUCUAUUUUUCCUAUAUGGUAUCAGAGCACCAGGUUUUUUAACCUGGUCGUCUUUCUUCUCCAUGGCGGUGACCACCCAAUUUUCUCCCUCCCCCGGUGAUGGUACUCUAAUAUCUUUUUUUUUCUAUCUUUUCCACGAACAUCACUCAAAUUUCCUCCCUCCCCGGAUGGUGUUACUCUUCUCUUUUAAGUUAUAUUAUUUCCGACAUCUUCUUCUUCUUAGUCGAUUAAUCUCUUUUCUCUCUCUUUAAUCUCUAUCAUUUUUUUAAUAAUUCUUCUUCCCCUCUCAUAUUUUCUCUUUCUCUCAAUUCAUACACACACAAAAGAAAAAAAAAACAAAAGCAAUUUUAUUUUCUCUCCACGUUAUUUUUUUUCUAUCAAUUGGGCAGAUAUUUUCAGAAUGGAAUUCUCUAGCGUUGUGUUUCGCGGUUUCUGUCCAGUCUUCACUUUUAGAGUUUAUUCAUUUCGUCUGCGGGAGCGUGUUAGCAAGUGAUUGUCCGGUCUUCACGUUCGUCACCUUUCGACUGCAGGAGCGUGUUAAAACUAUUUAGCUUUUUAUUUUAUUUUUAUUUUUUUAAUAAUAUUUUUUUAAUAAUUUAUUUUUUUAAACAAAAAAAUGAUUUUUUUUUCUCUACAGGUUUACUACGCCGAAUGUGACCAUAGUUGAAUAUGACUAUAGUCUAAUAUGACUAUAUGUGACUAUAUCAACUGUAGUCAUAUUCUUGAUUUAUAUUGCAGUUUUUUACAUUUUCAAUUUAAAAAUUCUGAUUAUAUAGUCUAGUACAAUCAUGUUUACCAAAUUAUAUAAAAAAACGAAGAUUGCCUAUUAUUUAAGAAACCAAUCCAAUCAACAUCCUUAAAAAAAAUCACAAUUUGAAUCUUGAAACGAUAAGAUAGAACAUAUUCGAAUAUGACUAGAGUUAUAUUCAACAAUAGUCAUAUUCGAAUAUGAUUAUAAUCAUGUUAUUGUUGCUGCUCAAAUCUGAAACUAUAUGUUCACAUUGCUAUAAAAAAAAUAAAGAGAAAUCGAAACAGACAGAAACAAUUACCAAACUUAAAUAUGACUAUAUAUGUGACCACAUAUGACUAUUAUGUAUAUGACUAAAAACAUAGAUUUUAGCCAUUUGGCUUGCAAGUUGCACCAUUUUCAUUAGUGCAUUUCAUAGCCACCGCCACCAUUUAUUCCGAAGUUUCCUCAUCGGAUAUGAAAUAAUGCUCAAACUGCGUCUUUUCAAAAAUAAAAUAAAAUUGACUGAUUAACAACAAUGGGAAUAUCAAAAUCAAACACAAAUGACCUCAACAAAUUUUAAAUGCAAAAUCUCUAAAAGUGAAGACUAAAAAAUGAGAAAAAAUCUCACCAAAUUGUGAUAUAUUCACAAUUUAUAUCCGAAGUUAGGGGGCAGCAAAUUCAAUCUCCUCCAUACAGUAUAUAAAAUAUAUACUCCGAAUACUCUAUCCAAAUGUCGGCCACAUCAAACAGUUCAAUUGCACGAAAAACGCGUCCAAUCUAGCUGCCCUGAAUUAUCUAGUAACAAAAACACCAGCAGCGAGUUUUAAGAUUCGAUCUAUAUUUAGAUAAGUCUGAUUCCGAUCUCCACUAGUCAUAAGUUAUAUUGAUGUGUUACGAGUCCUGUAUAAAAAUAUCAAACCGAUCCGACAGUUAGAUCUUCCGAUCUGGCCUGUGCACGAAAACUGCUGCAUCUCAAAAACUUGAUUUUUCUCCUCUUUUUUCAUCCGCUCUUCGGAAGGAGAAUCGAAACCCGGCGCCGGCGCCGUGUGCGGCUGAGUGGUCUCCAUUGGCGAGUGGUGGAGGAUUAUGGGUCUGAAGAAAAAAAAAAAAAAAGAGAGAAGUUGCGUGAGAAAGAAAGAGAAUGAAAGAGAGAUAUAUGGAGAGUUUCGUCUUAUCACAAUUGUUGAGGGGUGUUUCACUAAUUAAGAUUGGACUUUGGAUGUGGACAAUAGUUUUAAAAGUCAAAUGAGUUUAACUCAUAAUAUUUAUGGUUUGAGGGGGGUUUUGCAUAUUUCUCCAUUAAUUUAAUAGUAAUUGAUAAAAUUUAAUUAUUAAUAUUAAUAUUUUAAAUACAUAGUAGUAAAAUAUAAUUUUUGCUGUUAGUAUAACUGUAAUUUACAUUGACAUAUCAAAUAUGAGUAGCAAAACAUAUGAUAAUAAUAAAUAGUAAAUAAAAAAUAAAAAAUUUUGUAUUUCUGAACAAAUAAAUAAUAAAUAGUAAAUAAAAAAUAAAAAAUAUUAAAUAAUAAAAAUAUAAAUAAUGAAUAAUGAAUAAUAAAUAAUAAAUAAAAAAUAAAAAAUAAAAAAUAAAAAAUAUAAAAUAUAAAAUAUAAAAUAUAAGAGUUAGUAUACGAAUAUCCUACCUUGACAUGUGUGCUAUGAGGUGUGCGUUGCAUCUAUCAUAUAUCUGACACACUAAACAAAGUACCAAACUAUUGUCCCACUCAAAUUUGUCUUACGUUUAUUAUAUCCGUAAUGGUCGUCAUCUCAAACGUCAUACUUUCUAAACCCUAUCUAUGUACACAAAUUAAACUUGACUUUUAAAUUGAAAUUAAUCCAACUAAAAAAAAGUUACUAGAAUCAGCGCCAAUCUCAACCACACACUUCCACAAUUCCUUUCUAUAUAUAGCAAUUAGCAUCUCUCUCUCUCUCACACACAAAGCACCCACUAGAAUCAGCGCCAAUCUCUCUCUUUCUUUCUCUCACACACACACACACACGUAAAUUCACACACACAAUUACAUAUGGAGCAGCAGCGGCACGUGCUGUUAGUUACAUUUCCGGUACAAGGCCACAUCAACCCAUCCCUUCAGUUCGCCAAGAGGCUGACCGCCAUGGGCAUCAAGGUCACCUUCGCCACCAGCCUCUACGCACGGCGGCGCAUGUCCAGAACCGCCGCCGGACUGCCCAAGGGUGUCACCUUCGCCGCCUUCUCCGACGGGUACGACGAUGGGUUCAAUCCCGGAAACGACGAUGCCGGAAAGUACAUGACGGAGAUAAGAAGCAGAGGCUCCCAAAGCCUGAGAGACACCAUCCUCGCCGCCGCCGAGCAGGGCUGCCCCGUUACCCAACUGGUGUACACCCUCCUCCUCCCGUGGGCACCAGAGGUGGCGCGUGAGUUCCACGUCCCGAGCGCCCUCCUCUGGAUCCAACCCGCCACCGUCCUCAAUAUAUACUACUACUACUUCAACGGCUACAGAGAUGAAAUUGCAGCAAACUCGAACGACGCCACGUGGCAAAUCCAAUUCCCGGGAAUUCCCGCCCUUAAUUUUUCCAAACGAGACCUUCCGUCGUUCAUACUUCCGUCGAGCUCCGACAAGCACAGCGUCGAACUUCCGAGUUUUAAGGAGCAGCUCGAAACACUAGACGCCGAGAAAACAAAACCCAAAGUGCUGGUCAACACCUUCGAGGCACUGGAGCCCCACGCGCUCAAAUCCAUCGACAACUACGAGCUAAUCGGAGUGGGGCCGUUGAUUCCUUCCGCCCCUUCAGACAAGUCAUUCCGCGGCGAUCUUUUCGAAAAAUCCGAUGACAACAGCGUAGAAUUAUGGCUCAACGCCAAGCCGGAAUCGUCGGUUGUUUACGUGUCUUUCGGCAGCAUUCUCAAGCUACCGAAAGCACAAAUGGAGGAGAUAGCGAAAGGGCUUUUAGAAUCCGAUAGGCCAUUUCUAUGGGUUAUACGAAUAAACGAGGAUAACAAGAAUGAAGAGGAGGAGGAGAAGUUGAGUUGUUUAGAUGAACUCGAAAAGAUAGGAAAGUUUGUACCUUGGUGUUCGCAGCUCGAGGUACUGACGCACGCUUCGGUUGGUUGCUUCGUGUCGCACUGCGGGUGGAAUUCGACUCUGGAGAGCUUGUCUAGCGGAGUUCCGGUGGUGGCUUUCCCUCAGUGGACCGAUCAAGGGACGAACGCGAAGUUGAUAGAAGAUGUGUGGAAGAGUGGGGUUAGAGUGAGAGGAGUUGGUGGAGAUGGGGUGGUCGAGAGUGGUGAGAUAAAGAGGUGCAUUGAGGAAGUGAUGGAUGGUGGGAAAAGGAGUCGGGAGUUGAGAGCGAAUGCUCGGGAAUGGAAGAGUUUGGCGAGGGGAGCUAUGGAUGAGAAUCGGAGUUCUUGUAAGAAUUUGAAGGCUUUUCUUGAGGAAAAUUGAGCUCCUUGUUUUAGGGUACAUUAAGUGUAUUUACUUUGCUAGAGAGGUUUUGUUUGUCGAAUGUUAAUUUUUGUUAAUUUAAGUGAAGGUUGAAGUUCUUCCUUUUUUUUUUCCCACCUUUUCUUGUUUAACUUUGUGUUGGUAUGUUUAGUUUUUUUAAGUAUAUCAAAAUUUGUAUUGUUUUUUGAAUAUAUUACACCUGGGGGUGAAAACGAUCGAGUCGAGUCGAGUCGACACUAACAACUGGUUGUGAUCAAGCUCUUGUGCAUUUAUAUCGAGUUUUGUGUUUGAGCUUGAUUUGGUAAGCAAUCGAGAAACUCAACACACUCCCAAACUUGAACUUUUGUUUGUCCUCAAACAAUACUACCAACUUGCAAAGCAACAAAAUCAAUAAAUGAAUCAUCUCAUCACAUAGAUUUAAAAUUUACAAGCUUAAAAUUGUCAUGGGACUUCUCAUGAAUUUUUACAAGCUUAAAAUUCAAGGAUAGUUAACUGAUCACCAUUGCCAAGAACCAAAAAUCAUGUUAUCGCUUCAAGCAUCCAAUAUUUGUAAUCUAAAAAGAGAUAAAAUGUAUACUUACAUAGUAAUAUUAGACUCCAAAGACUUACCGAAUUUCUCUACUCUCGAAUAAUUGAGCUAUUGGGAUCAUUUGGUGGCUUUCAAUUGCUGGGCUCUUUGGUGCAAGGUAGAAAAUAUGGGCAUAUAAGUGGCCACUCUUCUCCUUUUCGAUUCUCAUUAUUGAAUAAAGAGUUGCACUGAUCUUCUUAAAUCGAGGUGUUUUCGCUGAAAUUUGAAGAUUUGGCCUUUUGGAAUAGCUUAUUCACCUCUAAUGACUUAUUAUCCUACUCGAUUCUUAAGAGUUCACAAGUCUUCACUUUUGCUCUUGAGGUAUGGUUCGAGUUUUUAUUCAAAUAUUUGCGCAUGUCCUCAUUUUCCCUUCCAGUUCUCUUCUUCUUCGUUCUUUUUCUGAGAAAGAGAAAAACGUAACAAAUUUUCCAGCCAAACUCCAAGGGAUUUUUUUUCAAGAAUCUCCAUCUACUCUACCUUACACGCAUUGGCUAAAACAAAGAACUCCUUUUCUUUGAGGCCCAAAUCAAGGUUCUAAGGAUAAUUUCGAUAAAAAGGUCGGCUUGAAAGGCUUAGAUGGUUCAAAUAAGGCACAAAUCAUAUCCCAAAUCACUCAACGGCUCAAUACUUCACUUUGCAAAUUCCUAAGGUGAGUUCUAAAACUGAACAUUAUAUGAUAUAUCAUAAAUUAACUCCACUUUUGAAAAACAAAAUUUUCAAAAAAAGCAACACAUAAUUCAUGAUUCUCAAUAAUGACUCACUCCUAAAUUACUUUGAAUCGAAAACUCGCCAAAAUUCAAGUAUAGCUACAUGAAAGCACGUAAUAUCAUCAUCAAACAUUGACCAUCUUUCUUCAUCAUAAUUCAUCGAUGCAUUCAACUCAAACAUUUUUUUUAAAGAAAACAAUAAAUAUAUGAAAACGACUAAAAAGAAAAAAAAAAUCCUAAAGCAUGCAAUCUAUAACAUAUUAAGCACAUAAAAAGUGGUUUUCACAAAUAUCCUAAAGCAUGCAAUCUAAAACAUAUAAAGCACAUAAAAAGUAUUUUUCCACCCCCAAACUUAAAGUUUUGCAUUGUCCUGAAUGUAAUUAAAACGAAGUUUAAGGAUAGAAUACACCUUGAUUAGUCGGAAAGUCCUCCACGUGUUGCACUCCUCCAUCUCUUCAUCUUUCAAGCAAACUUUUUCUUUUCAAACUUUUGAUAAACAAAUAAAUAAAAAAUUCUCCAGGGGUGUUCCGGACGGCCGUCUCACCUUUUGCACUGUUUUUUAGACGACCGUCUCAAUUUCCGAACAUUCACAACUUGUCGUAACUUCUUCGGACCACCGUCUGGAGUUUUGUCUUGAUUUUGGGACGGCCGUCUGGCCUUUUUGUGUCCGUUUUUUGACCUAAAAAUUCAAACAUGAUUAAAUUAUUAGAUUGCAAGCUUAUAUAUAUUCUAUGGAAAUUUAACAAAAAAAACUAAAAAAACGAGAAGAAAAAAAAACGAGAAGAAAAAAAAACGAAAAAAACAAUAAAUGCUGGGGUUGCCUCCCGGGAAACGCUAAAUUUUAAAACUAUUAUGUCCAAUCCAAAUCCUUGUAAAUUGUGCAUCCAUCAAUGGGCUCUACAACUUCAAUUGCAACCAGGGCAUGGAUAGCAUUGCAAUAUGUCACAGGGUCCACCUUAGCUUGUAGUCUUUUUUGUUGUAAUCAAUCGGUACGAAGCCAAGAUGGGAUGAUCAUCAGUCGCUCCCUCAAAUCGGUACACAAAAACCUCAACUCUGCCUAUAACAUCCACCUCAAAUGCAUUCGCCUUCUCAUCAACCACUAUUGAUGCCUUCAAUACCACAUCAGGUACAACGAUAAGAUCUUCAAUUUGAAUUUCUGCACUAACCACAUCCAUCUCCUUCUUCUCUUGUUCCGAGACAUCUAUGGAGUUUAGCUCGAUUGCAUUCUCAUAUUCAUCAUCUUUAAGCGUCUUCAUAAUUUAUUUUUUCCUCUCAUCGACACUAUUUUCUAGGUCUUAAGAAUUUUACUCACUACAAGUUUCAGACGAAUUUUCUUUGUUGCAACCAUUCUCAAUAUCGUCUGAACUAUUUUCAUGAAGCCUCUGGAAAUUGAUAUCUUCCAACUGUAUCUCCAGUCUUUGGAUAGAUGCUUGAGUGGAUUUCCUAAAAUUUUCAAGGAUGGAUUUCAAAUAACACUCUUGAAUAGUAGGUUCUCGUGGCCUUGCAUAAUAGGCUUGAAAAUCAUCAAAUUGCGACUCGCGAUGUCGAAUCUAGAGUCAGAAUAAAUGGACAAUGUAUUAUAUGGUUUCGUCAUCUGGAUGAUUUCCUUCAGAUGAAUUUGAAUACAUUAAAUCAUCUAGUUCUUCAUCUUCAUCCUCCUCUUCAGUGGAGGCUCUUUGGAGAAAGAAACUCAAGAAAUGAUUAAUUUUAUUCUUGGGAUAAUUUUGGCAUAUAAGGAACAACCGCAUCAGCGAGAAUAUAUCUAUCAUGAUCGCGAAGAAAGUCAGAAACUAUUACGGAAAUAUUAUUUUUCUGAAAAUUGCACUUUCCAUUUUCUUAUUUUUGCAGACGUUUUAUGAUGCGCAGGGAGUUUUUUUUAUAUUCAAAAUGAUCUUUAAAAUUAUAACGCAUACUUCAUCUAAAAGAGAGAUGCACGCGGUCGUCUUGUCUUAUCAUGUAUUCAAGAAAUAACUACUGUAAUUCCGGUUCUUGCUUAUGGGGCGCGUUCACCAAAUGAACAUGAUAUUCACCGUCUUCUACAAGAAGGUGAAUCACGAAGUUUUCUAGGUAUGCUUGGAUCUUUAGAUUUUAUGCACUGGCAAUGAAAAAAAUGUCCAACUGCUUGGCAAGGCGCACACAUGGGUCACCACCACAAACCAACAUUAAUUUUAGAAGCAGUUACAUAUCAUGAUACAUGGAUUUGACAUUCUUUUUUUGGCAUGUCAGGUGGAAAUAAUGAUAUUAAUGUCUUGGAUCAUUCUCCACUUUUUGAUAAUAUGAUACAUGGUAGAAUACCUCCAGUUCCUUUACGGUGAACGUUCGUUCAUAUAUGACGGGUUAUUACUUAACUCAUGGUAUUUACCCAAAAUAUGCAACUCUUAUUCAAACCAUUACUCAUCCUACCACUGCAAAAGAAAAAUUAUUUGCAGCAAAACAAUAAUCAGUUAGAAAAGAUGUGGAGCGAGCAUUUGGUGUUUUACAAAGUAGAUGGGGUAUAACGCAAGGACUCGUCCGUUAUUGGUCAAAAGAAGAUAUAUGUAACAUAAAGAAAACAUGAAUUAUCCUUCAUAACGUGGUGAUUAUAGAAGUUGAACGUGAAAUUGACAUUGAACCAUGGAUGCCACAACCAGAAGAGAAUUCCCCCCCCCCCUCCCAAUGUGAACGAGAUCCAUCAAUUUGGGCUACACAUAUCUCAGCACACAUUGGUCGGAUCCACAAUUGACGAACCAAUGAAAGUUUGAGAUCUGAUCUAUUGAACCAUUUGUGGAAUAUCUACGGAGAAGAAGAUGUCUAAAUAAUCUAUUGUUUUUUAGUAUUUUUAAUUGUAUUUGUGAUUUAUUGUUCUUUUAUUUUCACUUGAAGAAUUAUAUUUUAUACUGUAAUCGAAUUUAGUAAAAUUAAAUUACUACAAAAAACAUUGUGACAUUUCUUUUAAUAAAAGUGAUGAAUACGAGAGACAAAUGUGGAGCAAUCAAUAGGAAUUCACAUUGUUAUUCAUCUUGAAAAAAAAAUUGUAACAUAUCUUUUACUAUUAGACUUAAAUUAAUAAUAUUUAAGAAAAAAAUCAAAAUAAAUAUUUCGUGUAUUAUAUAUUACAAUUGAAUUUAUUAAAAUAUAAAUAUAAGUUUUUGUUAUCGAUAAAUCUAAAUGUAACAUUUCUUUUACUAUUAAUAUUAAAGAGACUAAAAUUUAAUGUUGUAAUCCCUAAAAAUAUAUAAUACAAUCAAAUAAUAAAAUAGAAUUAAACAUUACUUAACAAAAAAGAAAAUAUAUAUAUAUAUAUAUAUAUAUAUAUAUAUAUAUAUAUAUAUAUAUAUAUAUAUAUAUAUAUAUAUAUAAUCAAAUAAUAAAAUAAUUAAACAUUAUUAAAUAAAACAGAAAAAAAACGAAAAAAGAGAGGAAAAGAUACACGGAUACACGACACACACUUCAAUGGAUGACAAUUAAAAUAAUGCACAUGACCCAUCUUUAUCCUCCCCAAACAUUUCUUAAUUAUAGGGAAUAAAUUAAAGAGUCCCAACCUAGGUGAAGUAGAUGGUGAGAGAGCCAUUUAAUUCUUCUUGUUGGGAUUUGCAGAGGCUAAUUUUCUUUAUUAUUUGAAAAAACUUGACGAAGGAUGAUGGUUGAGAGGUGGUUAAAGGCAGCGGAAGGUGGUGAAGGAAAUGGUGGGGAAGAGGGUGAUAAGAGGUAAGGAUGGGGUGGAAGGAGUUUUGGUCCAGCUCAUUUGCGGGUCCCAAGUGGACGUCACGUGAGAUGCACAUGAGGUUUUAGGAUUACAUUCGUGGCAGCAAAUGUUUGAGAUCGAAAAUCCUUUUAGGUGAUAAGUAUAAUGAUCAAAAGUGUAAUUAUCCUGUAAAAAGUACACCAUAUAAGGAUAACGUAAGACNNNNNNNNNNNNNNNNNNNNNNNNNNNNNNNNNNNNNNNNNNNNNNNNNNNNNNNNNNNNNNNNNNNNNNNNNNNNNNNNNNNNNNNNNNNNNNNNNNNNAAGGCAGACUAAGCAACUCGAUAUUUUUAUUUUAUAUAAAAAAAAAAAAAACACUAAUGUGUUGUUAUGUAUAUAGCUAUAUAGAAAGAGUGGUCCAAAAAGGAAUAUAAUAUUAUUACAUGAGAUGCUAUUACCGAAUAGUUGUAUUGGGAAAAUUGGCUUCAAAGUCAGCUAUCCAGCUGCCUGUGUUACAAGACAACUAACAAUGUAUUGGAGGGGCUGUUUGGUCCUACACAUAUGGGCAUAGGGCUCCAUUUUUAUUCACAAACAAUUUUCAACCUUGUAGGGUUUCAUGUUUUGUUGCUAUAAAAACUUUAUAUAUUUAUAUAUAUAUAUUUAUAUAUUUAUAUAUAUAUAUACAUAUUUAUAUAUAUAUAUAUAUAUAUAUAUAUAUAUAUAUAUAUAUAUAUAUAUAUAUAUAUAUAUAUAUAUAUAUAUAUAUAUAUAUAUAAUCAAAUAAUAAAAUAAUUAAACAUUAUUAAAUAAAACAGAAAAAAAACGAAAAAAGAGAGGAAAAGAUACACGGAUACACGACACACACUUCAAUGGAUGACAAUUAAAAUAAUGCACAUGACCCAUCUUUAUCCUCCCCAAACAUUUCUUAAUUAUAGGGAAUAAAUUAAAGAGUCCCAACCUAGGUGAAGUAGAUGGUGAGAGAGCCAUUUAAUUCUUCUUGUUGGGAUUUGCAGAGGCUAAUUUUCUUUAUUAUUUGAAAAAACUUGACGAAGGAUGAUGGUUGAGAGGUGGUUAAAGGCAGCGGAAGGUGGUGAAGGAAAUGGUGGGGAAGAGGGUGAUAAGAGGUAAGGAUGGGGUGGAAGGAGUUUUGGUCCAGCUCAUUUGCGGGUCCCAAGUGGACGUCACGUGAGAUGCACAUGAGGUUUUAGGAUUACAUUCGUGGCAGCAAAUGUUUGAGAUCGAAAAUCCUUUUAGGUGAUAAGUAUAAUGAUCAAAAGUGUAAUUAUCCUGUAAAAAGUAACACCAUAUAAGGAUAACGUAAGACCCUACCUCGGGGGUAAUUUACAUAAAAAAUAAUAUUAUUGCAAUAUUCAGUCAAAUUAGUUUAACUAUCGGUUAUAUUAUGAAAACAUCGGUCAUAUUAUGCAAAAAAUCCAACUAUAUUAUUAAAAACUUCAGAUUCAAAUAGUGGAAAAUGAACUCAGAUUCAGCAAAACAUAUGUCCGAUCGUUGUUCAAUAUUAUGUUUGGGUUAAUAGCAUUUUGCGACUUAUACUUUGCUUGUUUUUGCACUUUGUCACCUUAACAAAAAAAUAUUGCACGGGCACACCUAACCCGUUAUUAUGACUUACUUAACCACCUUGAGCGAAUAUUCAGACGAAGCUUCACAAAUUCCGGCGCACGCGCAAAGCACAUAACAUUGUAAAUUGAACUUAAUUUGAAAUUUGCCUCAAUUCGAAAUUAAUUAAAAUAAAGCUUUAGAUCUUCUUCUUCCAUCGGAGUUUCUCCCCCAUUAAUUCAAAGAAGAUAAAAUUAUGGUCGGUUGUAAUUACCAGUGCCAAGAAUCAGUUUAGCAGCUCACACAAAUACACGCACACACACAAACACUUGUCCACGGUCCGUCUCUGCCGUAAAAAAAAAACUCUUCACAUUCAAUUCAAAAGACACAAACAUGCACCUCCAAGAAAAGGUUUUUUUUUUUCAUUCGCAAGUACUUUGUUCGUAGGAAUUGUGAUCCGGUUCUUUUUUCUUGAUCCUUAAUUUGUUUGCCAAAAAGAGAAAUUUGAGUCGAGCGUCCUAUUUUUUGUAACUUUUUUUGUUAUUCAUUCAUGUUUUAGAUUUAUGUUCUUUUUUCACUUUUUGCAUUUUUUUGAAUAAAUGGGAUUUGCCAACAUGUAUAAAUCACCAAAUAAAGUUAAUACAAUAAGCUAAAGCAAACGAUUAUUAGAAUACGUUCCUUUACAAUUUGCAUAAAGUUGUAAGGAACGUUUGGGGCUAUGAUCUUAGUUUGCUUGUGAUUUGGUCUUCGUUUUAUGUAUUCUCUUACUUUCUUGGUUUGUAACAUUUCUUGUUUUCAGGAUUUUUUCCUACAGUAUUGUCCAAAUGUCGAGGAAGAUGGUACGGUUAUCGAUGGGAGAGUUGGACAAACCGAGUAAGAGCGAAGAGGAGAUUGACUAUGACUUUAAUUUAAUUUGCUUGUAAUUGGGGAGGUAAUCAAACCCACUGAAAUAAAUUGAAAUAAAAGUCUGGGUUAUCUUUGAAUUAAUUAAUGGGGAAAAACUCCCAUGGAAGAAGGAAGAAGACCCAAAGCUUGGUUUUCAGUUAAUUUCGUAUUUUGACAAGUUUCAAAUUAAAUUCAGUUGAGUCCUUGAAACAUUCAAUUUUUCCAAUGUGAUAUUUUUAUGUGAAAAGACGAAAAAACCCAUUUAUUUUAUCAUGUGUUUCAUGCUUGCGCCCAUAUUUGUAAUGAUUCGCCAUAAUAUUUGCCCUAGGUGGUUAAGUGAGUCAAAAUAACGAAGUUGGGUGUGCCUUUUUUUUUAUUUUUAUUAUUAAGGUGGCAAAGUGCAAAAACAUGUAAAGAAUAGGUGGCAAAAUGCUAUUAAACCUAAAAUUUUCAUCUAAUUAUGCUUACACAAAUCCAAGUUCGUUUUGAAAGCAAACAACUAGAGCUACAACUUUCGUGUUAGGCGUAUUCGAUGAUACAAAGUUUAUGGUACUUACAGUUACAUAGUAUGCUCAAAAUUGUGCUUGCAUUAUGAAUUGCACUACUUACAUAGUUUCGUAUUUCUACCAUAACUAUCUCGUCUAAAGUUCAAGUGCCUUGAUACAAAAUGUAUUCAAAAGCCAAAACAAUAGACCUACAAGAAAAGAAUCAGUAAGGAUUUGGGUUUGCGUCUUUCAAAAUUUAAAUUGCAACUCAACGAAAAUUGAAAAAAUGCAGGUGUACUUUUGUAAAAGAGAUGAGGGAACACAAAUUUCAUUGAUAAGAUUGUAAGUUAGAACACAAUAAUAUUAUUCAUGAAUAUCGCUAAAAUCAUAAAUAAAUAAAAACAUUCACGAAUCAAAUAUAUUAAUUUCCGAUUCUUGCAAGACAAUGACAUGUCCAGUAGGGCUCCAGGGGAGGGUCCGGAGCACGGCAAUAUCCUCCGGGGCAAGGAUAGGACCCACAAGACACUUUGCUACACGCAAAAGUACAAACUUCUCCAAGGCAUGGUUCCAUUUUGAAACUUGGUUCACCAUUACAACUUGUACUACACAUUAUUGAAACCAAACCAUAAACAAGAAAAAUAAUUAUUAGUAUUUUCUUCCUCAUUGCUUCCAUUUAGCAGAGAGUGUUCAAUAUUAUAAACUGUCAUAAUUGUGUCUUUUUAUAGGUAGAAAUAUGUGAUGUUCAAUAAUACUGCAGUUACAUUAUACACUGAUAAAAAGUUAGGUAGGGAUUACUUGAAUUACAUGAUGAAAUCAUAAUUCAAACAAAGAUGUAUGCAAUAAUAUAAAUUUUCUCUUAAUAUAAAUAUAAAUUACAAAAUCAACGACAAAAGUAACAAUUACUGUAAUAAAAAUUGACUAGGUAUUUUAAUUAAUUUGAGUUGACUAUUGUAUUGUAAGGGACUCUUUGAGUUUUGUGCCAUUUCUCAAUGAAGAAAGGUCCAACCAUAUUUUUAGUAUUAAGGAUACAUUGAACCCUUAUUUUGUUUCAAAUUUACCCUCUCCUAUCUUACUCACUGCUUGAUGUUUUUUUUCUUUGUUUGUUUUCAAAUUUGAACUCUCUCUCUCUCUCUCUCUCUCUCUCUCUCUCUCUCUAUAUAUAUAUAUAUAUAUAUAUAUAUAUAUAUAUAUAUAUUUCACAUAUUUUGAGAGAGAGAGAGAGAGAGAGAGAAUUACCAUAAUAAACUAGAAUUUUAUUUUUGUGUUUUGGGAUUUUUUUCUUCUAAAAUCAACUAUAAAAUUAUUGUAAAUAACCACAAAAAAGUGGUAUUCAACCACAAAUUUACAAAAUAAAAAGCAACUAUAAAUUAUCGAAAUCGACUACAAAAAUAUCAAAAAGUUAUCCAAUUCAACUACUUAACGAAAUAAACUAAAAAGAAAAAACGAAAACACCCAAAUCAUGACUUGUCAAACUAAUGAGCAAAAAGUAAUUUGACUUGUGCGAUGCACAGGGCGGAUAAAAGUUAAUUUUGAUUAAAAUUCAAUUUAAUUAGUAGAUGUGUUCAAGAGAAUGUCAAAUGAAGCAACGUCUUUGGAUAUGUUAAUAAUUUUAUUAGUGCGACGUAUACUUACUAUUAAGCAAGUUACAUACAACAAUAUCUCAUAUUCAUUAACUUACAAAGCCAACUCAAUUUUCACCUUUACAGAUUUUAUUACACCCAAAACAAUAUAUUAGAAAAAAAUGGAUAUACAUGUCAUGCUAGCUCUCAAAGAACUAAGUCGUUAGUAAUGGAAAACAAAUGGGUGACGCUUAUUACACCUUAUAAUAGUAAAGAAACUUAACAUAAUUUUCCAUCACAAACAUCAUUAGAAAAAUAAUUGUAAAAAAAGCGCCAAUAAUUGUGAAACAAAAUAAAAAAAAUUGCUUACCAGUAUUGACACAAAAACCUAGUUUUGAGAUCUUUAUUAAGUUUUUCUCUAAGGAUUUUAAGCAAUAAAGAAACGAAAGACAUGAUCUGCGUAUCAAGAAACAAAACAAAAAUAAAGGGAACAAAUUUACGAUUUUCGAAUCUGUCAAAUAUAUUUAAACUCUUUUAUACUAGUCCUGGAAUUUUUCAGGAAAUCUUCUAAUAUAAUGGAUGUAUGCAGAAUUUGAAAAUUAGUUGAUAUAGGAUAAUUAGGAUAUAUGAAAUCUCCUAAUUUUCGAAAAAUCAACUAAUUUUUAGCAUAUAAUGGUUUCAAAAAAUGAAUUUAAUAAAUAAAAUGUAACCACAUAACAUGAAAAUCCGUUACUCUAAUGCUAAUACUAAUACUAAUACUAAUAUUAAUUAUAAUAUAUUAAUGGUAAUAUACUAAUGCUAAUCCUAAUAUACUAAUGUGAAUGCUAAUGUUAUUAUUAAUAUUAAUGCUACUCAUAAUUUUAUAAUUAAAAGUUAUUAUUAGUAUUAGUAUUAGUGUUAGUGUUAGCACUAAUAUUAGUAUUAGUAUGUUGAUACAUUAAUAAUUUAAUGUAACAAAUGUUAGAGUAUAUUAUAUUAUUAGAUAUUAUAGGAUAUUAUAAUUCUAUUAUGAUUCGGCUACCUAGAUUAGUUAGGAUUUAGUUACCUAGUCAAACUCUAUUACCUUGCAAUAUUUAUGUAUAUAUAUUCCACGUAACUUACCCAUAACAUAAUGGGGGUUUCUAUUAUAUUACGUAUUAUUAUUUCUCUCUUUCUCCUAUUCUAUUCUUCCUAUAUGGUAUCAGAGCACCAGGUUUUUUAACAUGGUCGUCUUUCUUCUCCAUGGCGGUGACCACCCAAUUUUCUCCCUCCCCCGGUGGUGGUACUCUAAUAUCUUUUUUUUUUUCUAUAUUUUCCACGAACACCACUCAAAUUUCCUCCCUCCCGCGGUGGUGGUAUUCUUCUCUUUUAAAUUAUAUUAUUUCUGACAUCUUCUUCUUCUUAGUCGAUUAUUCUCUUUUCUCUCUCUUUAAUCUCUAUCAUUAUCUUUAAUAAUUCUUCUUCCCCUCUCAUAUUUUCUCUCUCUCUCAAUUCAUACACACACAAAAAAAACAAAAGCAAUUUUAUUUUCUCUCCACGUUAUUUUUUUUCUAUCAAUUGGGCAGAUAUUUUCAGAGUGGAAUUCUCUAGCGUUGUGUUUCGCGGUUUCUGUCCAGUCUUCACUUUUAGAGUUUAUUCAUUUCAUCUACGGGAGCGUGUUAGCAAGUGAUUGUCCAGUCUUCACGUUCGUCAGCUUUCGACUGCAGGAGCGUGUUAGAGUAUAUUAUAUUAUUAGAUAUUAUAGGAUAUUAGGAUUCUAUUAUGAUUCGGUUACCUAGAUUAGUUAUGAUUUAGUUACCUAGUCAAACUCUAUUACCUUGCAACAUUUCUCUAUAUAUAUUCCAUGUAAAUUAACACAUAACAUAGUGGGGUUUUCUAUUAUAUCACGUAUUAUUAUUUCUCUCUUUCUCCUAUUCUAUUCUUCCUAUAAGAAAUAUGAAAUAGUUUUAACUUUUAUUUAUUUAAUAGACUAUUGAAGUUUACCAUUUAAUUACAAUUAAUAAUAUAAAAAUAUUUCUUAGAAUUAAUAAAAUUAAUUUAGGGGUCAUUAGAAAUAAGCCCCUCAUAUAGCUAAGAAAUGGUGAUACAUGCACUUCUUAAAUCUUUCUUUGUGAUAACCCCUAGAAACGUUAUUCCCAAUAUUACCCUUGUGUUAAUUAGCUAUCCCUAAAAAUCCGCUACCAAAUUUAAAAAAAAAAUUAUUUUUUAUUUUUUUAUUAUUUUCGGAUUUUAUUUAACUUUUUAUUUAUUUAAUUUUUUUAUAAUAUUUUUUUAAUAAUUUUUUUUUAAUAAUUUUUUUUUAAUUUUUUUAAAACAAAAAAAUGAUUUUUUUUCUCUACAGGUUUACUACGCCGAAUGUGACUAUAGUUGAAUAUGACUAUAGUCUAAUAUGACUAUAUGUGACUAUAUCAAAUGUAGUCAUAUUCUUGAUUUAUAUUGCAGUUUUUUACAUUUUCAAUUUAAAAAUUCUGAUUAUAUAGUCUAGUACAAUCAUGUUUACCAAAUUAUAUACAAAAAAACGAAGAUUGCCUAUUAUUUAAGAAACCAAUCCAAUCAACAUCCUCAAAAAAAAUUCACAAUUUGAAUCUUGAAACGAUAAGAUAGAACAUAUUCGAAUAUGACUAAAGUCAUAUUCAACAAUAGUCAUAUUCGAAUAUGAUUAUAGUCAUGUUAUUGUUGCUGCUCAAAUCUGAAACUAUAUGUUCACAUUUCUAGAAAAAAAAAAAAAGAGAAAUCGAAACAGACAGAAACAAUUACCAAACUUAAAUAUGACUAUAUGUGACCAGAUAUGACUAUUAUGUAUAUGACUAAAAAAACAGAUUUUUGUCAUUUGGCUUGCAAGUUGCACCAUUUUCAUUAGUGCAUUUCGUAGCCACCGCCACCAUUUAUUCCGAAGUUUCUUAUCGGAUAUGAAAUAAUGUUCAAACUGCAUCUUUUCAAAAAAAAAAUAUUGCCUGAUUAACAACAAUGGGAAUAUCAAAAUCAAACACAAAUGACCCCAACAAAUUUUAAAUGCAAAAUCUCUAAAAGUGAAGACUAAAAAAUGAAAAAAAAUCUCACCAAAUUGUGAUAUUUUCACAAUUUAUAUUCGAAGUUAGGGAGCACCAAAUUCAAUCUCCUCCGUACAGUAUAUAAAAAUAUAUACUCCGAAUAAUCUAUACAAAUGUCGGCCACAUCCUAGGUUCAAUUGCACGAAAAACGCGUCCAAUCUAGCUGCCCUGAAUUAUUCAGUAACAAAAACCAGCAGCGAGUUUUAAGAUUCGAUCUAUAUUUAGAGAAGUCUGAUUCCGAUCUCCACCAGUCAGAAGUUAUAUUGAUGUGUUACGAGUCCUGUAUAAAAAUAUCAAACCGAUCCGACGGUUAGAUCUUCCGAUGUGGCAUCUGCACGAAAACUGUUGCAUCUCAAAAACUUGAUUUUUCUCCUUUUUUUUCAUCCGCUCUUGGGAAGGAGAAUCGAAACCCGGCACCGACGCCGUGUGCGGCUGCGUGGUGGAGGAUUAUGGGUCUGAAGAAAAAAAAAAGAGAAAAGACGUUGUGUGAGAAAGAGAGAGAAUGAAAGAGAGAUAUAUGGAGAGAAUUGAUGUAAUCCUACAAUCACGUGAAACGGUUAUGGAAAAUAAAAAUAUUGCAAUUAUUUUAAAAACUACUAAUAAAGAUAGUUUCGUCUUAUCACAAUUGUUGAGGGGGGUUUCACUAAUUAAUAUUGGGCUUUGGGUGUGGACAAAAGUUUUAAAAGUCAAAUGAGUUUAACUCAUAAUAUUUAUGGUUUGAGGGGGGUUUUGCAUAUUUCCCCAUUAAUUUAAUAGUAAUUGAUAAAAUUUAACUAUCAAUAUUAAUAUUUUAAAUACAUAAUAGAAAAUUUAAUUUUUGCUGUUAGUAUAACUGUAAUUUACAUUGACAUAUCAAAUAUGAGAAUCAAAACAUAUGAUAAUAUUUUAUUGGCUUGUUGGAAUUAUAUAUUUGCUCAUGAAGAUUGAUAAAAGAAUGUAAAUCACUUACACUCUUGGAAAUACUCUAAAGAAGAUGAAAGUGUAAAAUUAUAAAGCAUAUUGAUACGGACUAAAUUGUCCUCACGGGGUUUCCUAACUAUUUAUUGGGCCGUGGAUUGAGUUUUCACUUAUAUUUGGCCCAAAGUCAUAUCAGGCCCAAGAAGAGGAGCUAUGGCAAGUUUGUUUAUUUCUUGUCCAUCAAGUAUCCUCACAUAUAAAUAGGGAGUUACUCUCAACCUUUCACUUCUAUGCUCUCUCUUAUAUAUCACACUCGAUUAUCUCUAGAUAAAAACUGACUUGAUCGUCGGAGCUUCUACGCCGGCAAACCCCUCCCGGCGUUGCAGGUACCCCUCCGGCGGAAUCCCAGACAAGCUAUCAUCCAAAAUAUCUUCCAAGGAGGACACGUCAUCAUCUCGACCAUUUUGGAGUAAAUCAAGUGGCGCCGUCUGUGGGAAAAAUCUCGAGCUAAGACGUGAGAUGAUUUGAUUUUUGGGAUCUUCUCCAUGAGGUUGGAGAUAAUGAGCUGCAAGAUCGAAGAUCGGUUCAGUGUAGUUCUUGGGGAGUUUUUUAAGGGAAACCAAGAAAUGGGCUCAAAUCUUGUGCUUGGAAUCCAGAUCUGAUGAAUCGAUGAAGUACAAAGAGAAGAAUCUAGAAAUAAAUAUUGCCCUAAUGGCUGAACUCGACAAAAAUCUAAAGAGAAAAAGAAAACAGAGUAGAUUCACAAGAUAAACAACAUGAAACGAGUCCAAAUUCCGAGUCAAGAGCUUGACGAAUCAGGGUGGGAAAAGAAAGGAGGCCAAGAAGUUACAUAGGGACAUUUGUUGAAGCUUGUCAAACACCGAGCAAGUUAGCUUCAACUUUAAGUUGGCAAAACAGUGGAGAACGAAAGUUGUAAGAAGCUGACUUCCUUGGAACCUGGAUUCAACACCGUCUCAGUGCUCGUUGAUCCAUGUCCACCGAGCUAAGUCUCGCCGAUCCCGUCGACCAAGCAAAGUCUCGCUGACCCAUGUCUGCCGAGCCAAGUAACGUCGACCUCGUCUGUCGAGAUCGAAUAUCGAAAAACCACCACAUGUGAAAAGAUUGAGGUCGAGAAGAAUCGGGAAGAGAAGGGGAAAAUUUCAAAGUUCCCCUGUCCCCUCGUAUGAUUUUCCCUAAAUCUAUAGACCCACCCGCAAGCUGUUCGAUAUAAGUCCCCAAAGAGCACACUCUGGGCUGAACACUUCGCCCAUCGGAUUGCAGUUGCACCAGAGAUUUUAUGACCUGGUCAACUUCCAAGGCUGGAAUCGAGCUCCAUGUUUGUCUUGAAGUUGUUGGAAAGAGGAACUCGUGAUUUUUUAUGUCUAUUGAAAACGCGCAUCUGUAUCUGAACUACAACUAAAGCUUUAGCAUGACGGUUCUCUUUGAAAGCAAAAAAUUGUGUAGAAAUUAAUAUCAAGGCGAUUCUCUUCGCCCGGGUUCACUAUUCUGGCUGCUCGCACCUGUGUUAUGGAUUGGAACCUCCAAAAAAAAAAAAAAAAAAAGGGAGAACGAACAAAAAUGGAGGAGUAUGCCGACCCAUGUCGCAUUUGUGGCAGGAUUAUGAGCACUUCGAAUUAUUAGUUUUGUUGAUAAUGAAUUUUCAGUUUUAUGAAGCAAUCUUAAACGAUUGUUGAAGAAUGCUGGAUACCGACAAUUUGUGGUUGGCUAGACCGAAGUGAAAGAUGGAAGUCCUGAUGGUGCACAUAAACUGUUUGAUCGAAGGUCCAGGAGAACAGCAGGCUUUUGCUGGCACAUUUUAUGAAAGCAUAGCCGCGACUUCGUUUUAUAAAUCAUAUCUUGGCCAGACCGUAUGCAACAGGUGACCCUGCUGCAUAGAAUCAAACAAAGUUUGCGGAAAGGAGUGAGAUAAAGACAGAGCUCAUCGACCAAUUGAUGUAUAUUUUGGGUUUAUAAGACUAUGGCAGUCGAGCUGUACUUUGAGAAGCUGGGGCGAGCUAUUACCGAGUAAAUGUCUUACUGAGAGAUGGGAAUAACGACACAUUAGCAUUUGACAACACAACUAUCGAUGAGGUAUGAUAUUAAACAUCAAAUUGGGUGGCAAGAGGAAAUCGAAAUGAUUCUUGAACGAGACUUCUUCCCAAUUAUCGAGACAGUGAGGCAAUCUGACAUCCGAGAAAGAUGUUUGGGCAGAGGUCGUUCUGGCCCAUGAAAACUCAUUACAAGUGGGAAGCAUUACAAUACUACUUGUGGAAAUAUGAGAUAAGCUUAUAUUGGAGCUCAAUCUUGCAUGAGUUCGAUGCGGCUCAGUACGAGACGAGACGGGAUGACUCAAUCACGGCAUAAAGACACUAAACAAUUGGAUCUAUGAUUUGGUUUUCAUAGGAUGGUGCUCAAGAGUUUCUGAAAAGAGGUGUGGAAUAAUAAUUCUUCCGGGGUCUUGUGUCGUUUGUUAGUUCGGAGCUAACAAGCACAAAAUUGUCAAUUGAAAUUGACUCGCACGGUGUUCAAAGGAAAUUUCCGUUGAAAAGUCACCCAUCAAAGAUAUAACUCGGAGGAGUGGUAGAGUAUCAAUAUAUGCCCAGAAAAAAUGCAAGGUAUAUCUCCUCCAGACCCGAGAGCAACUUCAGCCCAUAUUUGUCAACGCGAAAUCUACAAUGGGAUUGAUAGAAAGUAAGAAGAAUUGAAGAUUUUCUUUACCACGAGAUGAAUAUUUCGAAGUCGCGAGCUCAAUGAUGGGACAAACCUUUCCAAGAGCUCGGUACAAAUCAUUCACAAGGCUCUUUUUUUUAUUUGGUUAAUGUCUCAAUCAACUUGAGGACUAUCUGUAUAUAAGCUCACCAUACUCACGAAAGAUUCGUUGGUCAGCUCGCAAAUUAUUUCCCUCGAGUUUCUAGAAGAGCAAAUCUAUUUGUAAUAGCUCUAAUUGAGAAAGGUCGACUGGACUAUUCUCAACGUGAUUUUCCUGAAAUUGGAUUUCUUUAGCUCGAAUAUUUUCAAAAGUCAUCCCUUGCAGCUCAAAUUUCCUGAAGUUUGGAUUUAUUUCUAAAACAAUGAUUCUUGGGGCUCGUGUUUAUUGCUUGGAGCACCAAUAUAUUACUUAGAAAUGUCUUGUCAAGGAACUCACAUUUACAGAGACAGUCUUCUUGAGCAACUUAUGGUUGUUAAAAAUUCUCCGAGAUUUGAAUUUUUCAGAGUUCGCUCUUCUUGAAGCUCGAAUUUUCCUCGUACAUCUCAAACUCCGGGAAAUAUUUCUUAAAGCUCUUAAAAGGCCAGAGUUAUAUCUCAACACAAAAGCGAGUAAUUAACGAUCUCGUUUACCGCUGAGCCCGUUUCUUAUCUCGAAGUGGAAUUCUUUAAGGCUUGUAGUUCUCUACUACCUCGCACUGGUCAUAUGAACCUCGCUCGCCAUCUCGAGCAUAAAGUUACGAAGGAAGAAACCUCUCCUAAUCACCUCCCGAGUUGGGUAUGAAUCCUUGUGGUUAUCAUUUCGGAAUUGGUAAAUGGUUUCCAAGACGGAUUAGCUGAGUGCCACUACACACCAUAAUGAGAUAAUUACAAGAUAAGGAGUUGUCUUGCGCAUUCUCUACUUCAAACUCGAGCUAGGAUAUGGUCAUUGCGAGUUAAAAACAAGAAGCUCGAUCCCUCGAGCUCGUCUUCAUCGGGAUUUUUUGGAGGCUCGUAUUACAGCUUGCAUUCCUCUUGCACAACUCAUAUAUCAUCCGGAGGAUCUCGACACUUCGUAAAUUUAUGAAAUCAACAUGAGACCUAUCAGACUUCUACGAGUUGACAAAGAGCAAAUUUUGAAGCUCACAAUCACAACUCAUGCCUCAGAUUUAUCUAUGGUAAUCGGAAUUUUCGUCAGUCAUAUUUACUUCGAGAAACUUGAACUCGUCUCGUGAAGCGGGACCUCGGGAACUCAACGAUCUUGCAUGAGCUCGAUGCGAUCAAAACAAAACAAAGCAACACAAUCAAAGCAACAUACACUAAAAAGAGACGAUUAUCCAAACCCUUUUGGAUAUAUGAUGGUGUUCAGUACCGAGAAUCUUGUGCCACUGGUUAGCUUAGCGUUGACAAGCAUGGGAUUGUCGGUCAAAAUUUCUUCACAUGGUGUUCCAAAGGAAAAUGUCUUGUGCACUACACAUUCACCCAUCGGAGAUAUAACUUGGGGGAGUGGUACAUGAAUUGAACAAAAACUAAAGUACCGACAUAUGUCUUUAUGUCCAGAAUAAUAGAAGUUACAUCUCCUCUGGAGCCAAAAGCAAUCUUAGCUCGCAUAUGUCGACAUGAUCUACAUCGGGAUUACACAAAAAAAAAAAAAAAAAAUAGAUGAACACUUUGAGCUCGCGAGCUCAAUGGUGGGACAUAAUUCUCCAAGAGCCUGCUGCAUGUUAUUUACAAGCCUUUUCGGUUGGGCCAGCCAUCUCAAUCAACUGAGGGGUUCUGAAUACCCACUAUUUAUAAGCUCAAUCUUCUGAGAUCUCGAUCUUGAAUGAGUUCGAAUAUGUCUCGUGAACGAUUUGGGCUCUCUAUAAAGCUCGACAAUACUCAUAUUUAUAAGUUGCGAGUUGAUGGUUUUCACAAAACCCGAAACUAAUUCCUUGGCAGGGCGUUUUUCAAGAUCACAUUAUUCUCUCGAAACGAAUUCUUGAAGUCCGUAUUGAUCGCUUGGAGCUUGGCCAGCUGACUCCGAGCCAGAUUUCGCCGACCCAGUGCCUGUUGAGCUGAAUAUGUCGGACCCAUCACUUAUGCAAAUUUGGUUCUUUACUCAGCACCACCUCCGCUGAUGCAUAUUGAGUCGGAACCCGUCUGAGGGAUGUAUUCGGACAACCAGGUUUUCUUUUCUCGGUUGGUGGCGGGAUGCUUAAACUCGCCUCUCUAAACCUGACCAUCUAAGGUCACCGACCAGCAUGGGUAUUCGGGCGCCACAGGCCUAGACCUUACCCCUUAGCUCGGUAUUGCUUCACAGAUAUCCAUGCCUUAUUAAUUCAAGGGCUCGAAUUUUCUUUCAGAUACCCCGGAAGAUCCCUCGAGGCACAAAGUUUAUUCCCAUGAUUUAGCGGGGCUGGGCUUUCUUGAAGUUCGGAGUUCUCGGAAUGAACUUGACGCUUGGUGAAACCUUGAAGCUCGCACUCACAACUCACACCUCAAAUUCAUUUAUGGUAAUUGGACUUUUUGUCGCUCACAUUUAUUAAGAGAGGAGAUUAUGUGAGAAGAGAAGAUACACGCCAUAUCUUUAUGGUGUUGUGAGGCUUCCACCUCAACAAGAGAUCGCUACGAGUCGAGGCGAUCAAGUUUUAACACCACCAGGUUUAUCGGAGCUCAUAUUUCUAUCUUAAAAUGGGGCUCUCUCCUAGCUCGCAUUCUCUACCUAAAGCUCGGAGUUAUCCCCUCGGCGAGAUUGCUGAAAACUUACUUUAUCCCGGGAGAUCGCGUUCACAUUGCUCGCACUUCUAUGCCAAUUCUCCCACAACUCCGAGCCAGAUUUCGCCGGCUCGAACGUUGCUAUCUCGGUGCUCUCUAACCGAAUCUCGCCGACCCAAUGCCUGUCGAGGCCGAAGUUAUUCUCGUACAUAAAAGCGAGUUAUAAAAGCGGGUACUUAACGAUCUUGUUUGCGGCUGAGCUCGUUUUCUUACCUCGAAGCGGGAUUUUUCGAGACUUGUAGUCCUCUCCUAUCUUGCAUUGGUCCUAUGAAGCUCGCAUCGCCACCUCAAACACGAAUCUAUGAAAGCUCGAACCUCUCCUAAUAUCCUUGCGAGGUAAAUUCUCUAUUAAAUGAUGUGUCUAUACCUCCAUGGCAAUAACUCUUUGCAUGCUGAAAAACACUUCGAAAAAUGCAAGUUACUCAACAAGUGUUGAACUAUUGCUUGAGUAAGGUCAGUAUAUAGAUUAUUUUUCAUUGAACUAUCCUAUCACCUGGAUAAGUCAUGUGUGGGGUGGAAGGCAUGAAACAUGAAAUUAUCCAUCACCUGGAUAGAAUAUAUUAAUACAAUAAUAACUAAUGGAUCGGUGGAAAAGUGAAGCGUUAAAUCGCGCAAAAAAAGGCGUUAAAUCGCGCAAAACGAGUCGUUUAAUUGAGAAUAAAUAAGGCGAGAUAAGUGCAAAAAUGAAGCACUUAAUCGCCCAAAAAUGAAGCGUUAAAUCGCCCAAAAAAAAGGCGUUAAAUCGCGCAAAAUGAGUCGUUUAAUCGAGUAAAAAUGAGGCGAGAUAAGUGCAAAAAUGAAGCAUUUAAUCGCGCAAAAAUGAAGUGUUAAAUCGCGCAAAAUUAGUUGUUUAAUCUAGAAAAAAACGAGGCGUUAAAUUGAGCAAAAAUGAGUUGUUAAAAUAUGCAAGAAUAACCUAUCAAAUCGAGUAAGUAAAUUGCUAGAGACAUUCAAGCCAAUACGGCAAGAUAAGCGCACGAGUCAUACAAUCCGAGAAAAAACGAUGCAAGAUGAAAAGACAACACGUGAAUAAUACUCAUAGUCUAAUCACGACUUUUAAUUUAGACUUCGGAGAAGGGGGGAGUAGUUGAUACGGACUAAAUUGUCCUCACGGGGUUUUCUAACUAUUUAUUGGGCCGUGGAUUGAGUUUUCACUUGUAUUUGGCCCAAAGUCAUAUCAGGCCCAAGAAGAGGAGUUAGGGCAAGUUUGCUUAUUUCUUGUCCAUCAAGUAUCCUCACAUAUAAAUAGGGAGUUACUCUCAACCUUUUACUUCUAUACUCUCUUUUAUAUAUCACACUCGAUUAUCUCUGGAUAAAAACUGACUUGAUCGUCGGAGCUUCUAUGCCGGGAAACCCCUCCCGGCGUUGCAGGUACCCGUCCGGCGGAAUCCCAGACAAGCUAUCAUCCAAAAUAUCUUCCAAGGAGGACACGUCAUCAUCUCGACCAUUUUGGAGUAAAUCACAUAUGAUAUUUCAAUGCAAAACUGCAAGACCUUUCAUCAGCCUGACAAUCCUUUUGUUUUUAUGUUUGAAGUAAUUAAUUCCUAAAUUCAUUGUUUUUAUGUUUGAAGUAAUUAAUUCCUAAAUUCAGUGUACGAGGCUGGCUAAAAUUUUGUAUUUCUCAACAAAUAAAUAAUAAAUAGUAAAUAAUAAAUAAUAAAUAUUAAAUAAUUAAAAUAUAAACAAUGAUUAAAACAUAAAAAAUAAAAAAUAAAAAAUAAAAAAUAAAAAAUAAAAGAGUUUGUUUACGAAUACCUAACCUUAACAUGUGUGCUGUCAGGUGUGUGCUUCUAUCAUAUAUCUGACAAACUAUUAUUGUCCACUAAAAUUUACCCUUUAAGCCCUUUAACAUCGUCUGUUGUUCAUCGAUUGUUGUUUGUGAUUUCUACAAUGGUUCAAAUAUAAUUUAGUUUUGGUAAUCAACUGUUCUAUCAAGUACGGCCGGUUUAUCGACAAUAACAGUUAAAAUUGGAUUAGAGAUCAAAAUUAAAUAAUUAAUGAAAUUUGGAUUUAAAUUAAAAUUAAUUAAAUUUUAUUAAAGAAAUUUGAUUUGAGCCUCUUAAAUAAAUAGUGCAUGACGAGCUUAUUUAUAAAAGUCUCUUAAAAAAAUAGGACGAAUGUCAAAAAGGUCCAUCACAUGGAGCUUAAAUGUACAUUGGUUAAAAAAAAAAAAAUAGUCUCUCAAUUGAACUCAUCCUCAUAUCUUUAGUCUAAAAUAUCCUCCAAAAUAUAUUUUUUUAUCAAUUACAUCCAUUAUUCUCUAACUUCCUUAAUAUUACACAUUGACCCCGAAUUUAAACAAAUAUAUCACAUUAACCCCCAAAAUAUUAUUUUUUUUAGAAAAUAAUUUUUUUUUCUGAAAUUUUUUUUCCGGCCAGAUUCUAGCGUAGACAUUUUUUUUUUGAAAACUUGUUUUUUUCCUGAAAUUUUUUUUCCGGCCGGUCAACCACCGUUGACCGGCGGUCUCCAACGUUGACGUUUUUUUUUUCGAUUUUUUUUUCUUAGAAAAAACAUAUUUUAAUUAAUAUUACUGUCUUGGCUACUAAAUUACUGUCUCAGACAAUAAUAUUACUGUUUGGGACAGUAAUAUUAUGAAUAUUAUUUUCCCGAACAGUAAUAUUAUUGUCUAAGAUAGUUAAAUUAUUGUUGGAGACAACAAUUUAGCAGCCAAGGCAGUAAUAUUAAUUAAAAUAAUUUUUUUUAAGAAAAUAAAUUUCAAAAAAAAAAGGUCAAUUAGCAGUUAAAUUACUGUCUCCGACAGUAAAAUAACUGUUGGAGACCAUAAAUUAGCAACGAAUACAAUAAUAUUAAUUACAAUUUUUUUUAAGAAUAAAAAAGUCAAUUAAUAGUUUAAUUGUGAGGUGUGUGUGCAUCUAUCAUAUAUAUAUCUGACACACUAAACAAAGUACCAAACUAUUGUCCCACUCAAAUUUGUCUUACGUUUAUAUCAGUAUUCGUCAUCUCAAACGUCAUACUUUCUGAACCCUAUCUAUGUUGUAUACAAAUUAAACUUGACUUUUAAAUUGAAAUUAAUCCAACUAAAAAAAAUAACAUAUCAACAGAAUCACAACCACAAACUCCCACAAUUCCUUUCUAUAUAUAUAGCAAUUAGCAUAUAUAGUGAUAUAUUCUCCAAUCCUCAUGUCUCUUUCUUUCUCUCACACACACUCGCACGUAAAUUCACACACACACACAAUCAUGGAGCAGCAGCGGCACGUGCUGUUAGUUACAUUUCCGGCACAAGGCCACAUCAACCCAUCCCUUCAGUUCGCCAAGAGGCUGACCGCCAUUGGCAUCAAGGUCACCUUCGCCACCAGCCUCUACGCACGGCGGCGCAUGGCCAGAACCGCCGCCGGACUGCCCAAGGGGGUCACCUUCGCCGCCUUCUCCGACGGGUACGACGACGGGUUCAAUCCCGGAAACGACGACGCCGGAAAGUACAUGACGGAGAUUAGAAGCAGAGGCUCCCAAAGCCUGAGAGACACCAUCCUCGCCGCCGCCGAGCAGGGCCGCCCCGUCACCCAACUGG